This 92188-nucleotide long non-coding RNA is filed under the name Hordeum vulgare. Its description in RNAcentral is "long non-coding RNA (HVUL_LNC010618)". The stretch from base 12541 to 12676 matches the Rfam family "MIR1120/MIR1122 microRNA precursor family". The record is from RNAcentral. Lineage: Eukaryota; Viridiplantae; Streptophyta; Magnoliopsida; Poales; Poaceae.
CGCUGGGCGCCGUCAAGGACCAGACCAGCAUCGGGCUUGCCAAGGUCACCAGCAACAUCGCGCCGGAGCUCGACGUGCUCAUUGUCAAGACCACCAGCCACGACGACGAGCCGGCCGAGGAGCGCCACAUCCGCGAGAUCCUCCACCUCACCUCCGGAUCCCGCGCCCACGUCGCCGCCGCGGUCGCCGGGUGCGCCCGCAGGCUCUCCCGCACCCGCGACUAUGUCGUCGCGCUCAAGUCGCUGAUGCUCGUGCACCGUCUCCUCACCGACGGCGACCCCUUCUUCCACCGCGAGCUCCUCCACGCCACGCGUCGGGGCACCCGCCUCCUCAAUCUCUCUGACUUCCGUGACGAGGCACACUCUGGGUCGUGGGACCACUCUGCCUUCGUCCGCACCUAUGCGCUGUACCUUGACCAGCGCCUCGAGUUCCUCCUCCACGAGCGGAAGCAGGGCUCCAACGCUAAUGGAAGCACCAGCCUGAACGGGCCAUCCCCGCGUGACCGUUGGGGUUCUCCUGACCCGUAUGGCCGGCGGUCACCCUCGUACACCUCCCCUCCGGGGAAUGGGUAUGGAGGGUACGAUGAUAACCGUGAGAGGAAUGGUGGGAACUCUGAUGACAAGAGGCCGCUGACCCCUGUGAGGGAUAUGAAGCCGGAGCGGGUCCUUGGCCGCAUGCACCACCUGCAGCAGCUGCUCGAUAGGUUCCUCGCCUGCCGCCCCACAGGUGGUGCGAAGCAGAGCAGGAUGGUGCUGGUUGCACUGUAUCAGAUGGCGAGGGAGAGCUUCCAGCUCUACGCUGAUAUCUGUGAGGUGCUUGCAGUUCUACUGGACAGGUUCUUUGACAUGGAGUAUGCUGAUUGUGUGAAGGCCUUUGAGGCAUAUGCCAGUGCGGCAAAGCAGAUUGAUGAGCUUUGCUCAUUUUAUGCUUGGUGUAAGGACACCGGGGUUGCGAGAUCAUCGGAGUACCCAGAGGUGCAGCGGGUCACUGAUAAGUUACUGGAGACAUUGGAGGAGUUUAUGAGGGACCGGGCAAAGCGUCCCAAGAGCCCACCACGGGAGCCUGAGCCCGAGCCCGUCAAGGAGGAAGAGCCAGAGCCGGAGGACAUGAACAGCAUCAAGGCGCUUCCUGCACCAGAGGACUACAAGGAGCCUGAACCCGAGAAGGUGGAGGAAGAGGUGAAGCCAGAGCCCCCGCCGCAGCCCCAGGGUGAUCUGGUGGAUCUUAGAGAAGACACUGUGAGUGCAGACGAGCAAGGUAAUAGGCUUGCUCUGGCCCUAUUCCAAGGACCACCUGCUGCUGGUGGUAGCAAUGGGUCAUGGGAGGCCUUCCCUUCCAAUGGUGCCAACGAAGUGACUUCUGCGUGGCAGAAUCCUGCGGCUGAGCCCGGGAAGGCCGAUUGGGAACUUGCCCUUGUGGAGACGGCUAGCAACUUAUCCAAGCAGAAGGCUGUAAUGACAGGUGGUAUGGAUAACCUGCUACUGAAUGGUAUGUACGACCAAGGUGUUGUCCGUCAGCAUGUCAAUGCACAGGCGACUAGUGGGAGCUCCAGCAGUGUUGCCCUACCUGCGCCUGGACAGAAGACACAGAUGUUGGCUCUUCCGGCACCAGAUGGUUCGAUGCAGAAUGUAGGUGGAGAUCCUUUCGCGGCAUCCCUUACCUUUGCACCACCGUCCUAUGUGCAGAUGGCCGAGAUGGAGAAGAAGCAGCAGUUCUUGACACAGGAGCAGAUGAUGUGGCAGCAGUACCAACGGGAUGGCAUGCAGGGGCCAUCGAGCUUGGCCAAGCUUGAUCGGACCUACAACAAUGGCUUCGGCCCAAAUCCAGCCAUGCCAUACGGGAUGCCAAACGCGCCAAUGGCGAAUACAGGGUAUUACUACCCCACUUACUGAGCUAUUCUUUGUCCAUCCUUACAGUUGCUGUGAAUUUUGUUCUGUAUUUGUGGUCUUACUUCUUGGGGCUGUGUCCAGCAUCAGUUGUUGUGUCCCUGGUCUCUGGAUCAAACCUUUUGGUCUCUUAUAUAUAUGUAAUUCUAUUUGUUUGGAACCAAAUGCGGCAUCUAUGGGUUGGUUAUAGUUGAAUACAUAAUCUGAGCUGAUGUUCUUUCAUACUGUUUGAUACUAGAGACUUGUGCAUUUUGUCGGUCCCUUGAUACUUCCACGCUGUUGUUAGUAUGCCGCUGACAGUGUACUGCAUGUCACAUCUGUCAUCUACCUGAUAUGAUGAAAAAAUGUUCCGUUUCUUAGAUCUAGAUCUCCUUGUUCGCUGGAGAAGUUUGUUGCUAGUAGUUGGCAUUAAGGAAGACUUUAGGUGGUUUUAAUCAAUUAUAACUAAGUUGCUUUCGGUGACAGACUUUGGGGCAAAGUUAUCUUGUACUUAAAUGAUACGGAUGUUGGAACGGUCCUUCAAUUUGGUGGCUAUGUCUAUGAUCCUUAAACUCAGAAACUGCUUCAGUACGGUCCCAGAACUUGAGAAUACUGUUUUAAUACGGUCCUUAUACUUGACAAACCCGUCUUAUGAUACGUUUCACAUACUCCCUCCGGUUCCAAAUAUUUGUCUUGAAUUUGUUUAGAUACGGAUGUUCUAACACUAAACAUGUCUAGAUACAUCCAUAUUUAGACAAACUCAAGAUAAAUAAUAUGUCUAGAUACAUCCAUAUCUAGACAAACUCAAGAUAAAUAAUAUGAACAGAAGGAAGUACAUUUCUUGUACUCCACAACUUUUUUCUUCAGAAAACCGUCUCAUAAUUUAUUUAAUUACAAAAAGCCUAAUGUCAGAAAUAUGGGUUGCACAUGUCGGUACGGGAAAAGAAAAAACAACAGCUAUAUGAAGGAUCGAACCUAAAGAACUGCAGACUAUCGGUCAAUUAGUGCACACAAGCAAACUACCAGGUCAUCAGUUGCUUCGCGUAAAUUGUUGAGCUAGAGGUUAUCUUUCUAUUCUAUGUACCUCUUCAUGCAUUUUUUUAUGUAAUUUUGUGUAUGGCGUAACUAUAGGCCCGCACAAAUUUGUUUUAUUCUUUUCAAUAUAUCUAUUUUCUGAAUUUCAAAAUAAAUUUGCCAUAAAACUUAAACAAAGUGUUAGUCCAUUUAAAAAGAUCAACAUAUUUUUAGAAAUAUUUCAUGUGUACUAAAAACUAUAAUAGUGUUUUUGAAAAGUAUUUCAUGUGUAUUAAAAAUUGCAAACGUGUUUUUGAAAAAUGUUCUUCAUGUAUUCAAAUAAUGGUCAACAUGUACUAACAAUAUAUUGCUUAAAAUAAUUCUUACAUUUCCAAAACCACACUUAACAUGCUUUUAUUACGUUUCUAGAAUUUAUUAUUAUGACACAAUAAUUUUAAAUACACACUGAACACUUUUCAAAAUACAACAUUGCCAUUUUUUUAAUAAUUGAGUAUUUUAAGUAUAGAAUGAAAUACACAAUAAUUGUCCGUGCUUGUGGCCAUUUUUUAAAUGCAUAACAAACAUUUUUUAAAGACGUUUGUAAAUUUUUAUUACACGUGUAACAUUUUCCAAGAAGAUAUUUACAGUUAUUAAUAUACAUGAAAUUUUCCCACUUAGGUUUUUCUUCCAUUUCUGUUUCCAAAUGGAAAAAUAAUAAUAUAAAAACAUGAACUUGAAAAAACUAAAACAAACUUCUGCGGUGCAAUAGGAGUGCCAUAUAUAAUAAAUAUAGAUAUAGAAAAACGAUUGACGAGGAACGCAAGAACCCUAUAAUUUAGGUCAAGUAGAGCGUUACAUGGUGGUCAGCUUGUGUGUACUAAGCAAACCGCACUAGAAGACCGGAAGGUCUUACGUUUGACCCUCUGUAUUGGGAUUUUUUUUUGUUCCCCAUACUGGUAAGUGAAAACCACAUUACACAUUUAACUUUAGGUGUUUUCUUGCAAUUAAAUAUAAUCAGAGGCAGUUUAAAAAAAUCGUGCAAUACACGAAACAUAUGUGAGACGUAUCAGAGGACCAGUUCGUCAAGUUUAAGGACCGUAUUGAAGCGGUAUUCUCAAGUUCUAGGACCGUAUUGAAGCAGUUUGUGACUUUGAGGACCAUUGUGGACAUCGCCACCAAGUUUGAGGACCAUACAUGCAUUUGACUCUACUUAAAUAGGGCUCGAAUGAUUGCCCUUGCUGCUGGUGCCUUGCUGCUGGUCGAAGUUAUGGAAUCCCUGUUUGCGCUAACAUUUUAUGUGGAGUAUAGUGUAUCGAUAAAUGGUAGCAUAUCGAUCGAGCGCUGAGUAGCGAUAUAUAGACGAUUUUUUUUCAGAAUCGGUCAAUUAUAAAUCAGUUAAUCGGUCGAUAAAUCAAUUAAUCGGCUAUUUGAUGAGCCAUCGAAGUUAAUCGGAGAUAAAGCAAUUAAUCAACUAUUCUGUGACCAUACGAGUGGAGAUUAAUUGAUCAAGAUGCUGAUUAACUGAUUGAUAUUUGAAACCAUGCAUUUUAGUUGUUGGUCGCCAAUGUAAGUUUUGAAUGUUGAUCCCAUCAACAUGAUGAAACAUUUGGUACAAUCUGAUCAUUAAUCUUGUGUCCUUAGUUGUGUCACACUCGGCAGGUUUUUCUCUAGUUUUGAAAAACCUUCGUUUUUUGCCUAAACAACUUUUCAGAUAUUAUGUUUUUGUCCUUCCGUCACGGUCCGUCCAGUUAGUGUCGUUUGACCGUGUGUUAACUGUAUGUGUGGACUUUUUAUUGGAUCAUUUUACCCUUGCUUCUUCACUCUGUGGCGAGACACUGUCAAGCGGGACCCAUCACUCUCCCACUUCACUUUUAUUUCUAUCCCGUGAGUCAAACCCUUGUCCAGAUUCCGUCCCCCUCUCUCUCAAAUACUAUCCCCUUCCCCACGCACAGUGCUCCGUCGUCACGGUUCGAGCAGGCCAUGACGCGACCAACCAUCUCGGCGUCCCUGUCGGUGGCCACGCCAGGGCGGCGGCACCAUGGCCACGGCGACUGGGGGCGAAGGGGCGGUGGCCGACGGGAGGCCGCGGGGGCGAUCGGACCUGGCCGGCCGACGCCAGACCCGAGCAAAGGUAGCGGUAGCACGAGGCGACGGGGCUGACUGCGGGAGCCUCGAAGUCCACGACGAUGGGGUUGACCUGCAGGAGAGAGAGGGUCGACGGGAGGUUAGGGAAGAGGAAGAAGAAGGAGAGGCAAGGGAGAGGGCGACCGACGACAAGGCGGUGUGGUUCGGUGGGGAGACGGCUCGCCGGCGGAGGCAGCGGGCUCACGGGAGCUCGACGGCGAGGCUCCGCUCGGGGGAGGGCAACAGGGUUUGCCGGCGACGACAGCACCAUGGAUCUCGUUGGUGGCCAACCUAAGCAUCGACGCUAUAGAUCCGGUCGAUUGCUAGUGUGGGAGGCUAGCUGCGUUCCCACUAGCGGCGGCGCCAUGGAUCCCAUCCGUGGCCAGUGAGGGAGGCCAUCGGAGGCUGCAGCGGUGGUGGUUGGCGGCGGUGGGGAGAAGCUGCAGCACCAACUCCGGCUCCGUUGGCUCGAGCGAGCUCAUCCUCUUUUUUUUUUGACAAGCCGGCGAGCUCAUCCUCCUCCUACGAAUUGCGGCCUCUAAUUAUCGACCCAAUGUAAUUAGCUAGGAUUUAACUAAUGGUCGUGGACGAAUGUUAAUUAUUAUACCAAAAUGUGAUGGGAAAUUGAUGUGGUGUUUACGAAAUGUCAAUGUCCAGUAGAUAUUUAGUUUGGUUUGUCAUGGGUCCCACAUGAUAUUGAGAUGAGAAAGAGAUGCUUUUUUCAACGAUGGAUCCCACUUUACAGUGUCUCGUUAAAGAGUGAAGAAGCGUGGCAACAUAGUCUAAAGAAAAGUUCACACACAGUCAAACAAGACUAACUGAACGAAAUUAAGACAAAAGGACAAAAACAUAAAACGAGCAAAGUGGUUUGGGCAAGAACGAGAGUUUUUCAAAACUAGGAACAAACUUAUCGAGUGUGACACAACUAAGAGUAUAAAUUCAAUUUUCACAAUCAUUUAUGAGGGGACGGUGCUCGGUGGUGGGUGCUGGGAUGGUUUCACCAACUACACCAUGCGGGUUAUAGUAGUCGACUAGUCGGUAAGGACGAUCAAAUCAAAGCGAUCGGAUCCGUCGUGCAUGAUUGACUCUUUCGCUUGGUGCUGUGUUUUCCUGAAGAAAAGUAACUUGGAGCUUUGUUUCCCCAGGUCGCUUUCUUCUCCUGACGACCUUUUCUUUUCUUCAGUGCUGCUUGCGGUCAUCUGGUUACAAUUCCUUCGCUUUCUCUCGGCCCUUCUUUUCCAACUACGAAUGAUUGGACGUCUGGAAUACACCUCGUCAUCUUUAUCUCCUCCGUUCUGAAACCAGAGGUAGUAGGCUGUAGCCUAGUGGCAUGGGUGGGCAAUGGCUCAUCCUGCGGGCUGGCUUUGAACCCCGUCGGGGUCGGAUUUCUGGUGCUCAUCCUGGGAUCUCAUUUUUUUUUGACACCAGAGGUACUACUAUUUUUUAAAUUGCGUGUUUGCUAGCCUAGAUCACAACCAAACGGGUUUAGUGGAUGUGGGAAAACCCCGUUUGGUAGCAUCAUGCACGAACGCCUGUCUUGCACAUACACGAACAUCAAUGCAGCCCAGAGCAUGCCUCUCCAAACGGGUUUAGUGGAUGUGAGAAAACCCCGUUUGGUAGCAUCAUGCACGAAUGCCUUUCUUGCAUACACACACGAACAUCAAUGCAGCCCAGAGCAUGCCUCGUUAGGAACACUUGAAUUAACAGUUUCAAAUGAUCCAGACUGAGUCGGACGUAGAAGUGAGGCAUAAUGUAUGCUGUGGUAGAGGGAAAAUCAUGAUAGAGAUGACGGGAGAAGAAAAUCGGCCGGUGCGGGAUGGUAUGAAAUCUAGCAUCACCCCUUCCCAAUUUACUUGCUCACCUCUAGCACCAUGACAAAUCCAACUUUAGGUCUUGCCUUGUUCGGCGGCAAUGACUCUUAGACCUGCGAAAGCAGUGGCGGUGACGGCUUCGGUCUCCGCCAACAGGACCCGCUUCUCCUCUUUGUCUUCGACUUCAACUCGUCCUCCUCGCCUACAUCAUGGAUGGGUCGUUGCUCCUCCCAUAGGAGUUGUUGGAUAUUCUUAAAAUGAAGGGUGAUGUAGCACAAUAGUAGAAGUACUUUCGUUGGUUAAGAACCAAAUUUUAUCGAUAACAUGACCUACACACGAACAAAAUAAUUACUUGCCGUCACUCCCCUUGUACUUGCUAGCCACAAAGUUAAAAGCAAAUAAUAAUGAUGAUAUCAAAGAUAAUAAUAAAUAGGAUAAUGAUAGAGAUAGUAGUAAUUGUAGAAACUUGGAGAUUUAAUUGAUAAUAAACCCGGGGAUCAUAGGUUCACUAGUGGCUUCUGUGUUGAAAGCAGCACAACGAAGGGUAAACAAAUUAUUGUUGGACAAUUGAUAGAAUUAUGCAUAGUUUUGAAUAUCGUCCAUGAUAUAAUCAUUACAUCUGUUAUAAGUAUACUUUUAAACUUACCGACGUCUAAUACUAGUAGUCCACCUCAAGACAGCUAUCGAACAUGCAUCUCAAAGUAAAAUUUUCAUAAUAUACAGAGUAACACAAUACGCAAGAUAACAUAAUAUAGACAAAGUAGGAUCAAUCAAUAUGAUCAAACCCCAUCGUUUUUCCUUACUAGCAACAACAUAAAUAUGUGCCCUUAUCUUUUCUGUCACUGGACAAGAUCACCGCAAGGUUGAACCUACUACAAAGCACCUUCCCCACUGAAGACAAAUCAAUCAAAUUCGGCCAAAGUAAACAGAUAGAUCAGAGCGAAAUUCAAAGCUAUAAAACUACAUAAAUAGGUAGGCUCAAGAACUCACAGAAUAUCAAUCAAUAAUCUGGUCAUAAACCACACAAAUCAUCGGAUCACAACAAACACAUCAUAAAAGAUUACAUUGGAUAGAUCUUAGAGACGAUCAUUGUAUUGAAGAUCAAAAAAGAGAGAGAAAGCCAUUUAGCUACUGCUAUGGACCUGUAGGUCGUGAAGGAGCUACUCACACAUCAUCAUGGAGCCAACAAAGUUGAUGAAGAUGUCUCCACAAUGAUUUCCCCCUCAAAUAGAAUACCAAAAGGGGCUCCAGAUGGGAUCGCAGUGAAACAGAGGCUUACGACGGUGAUAAAAUUGUCUCGGGUCUCGCUCUGGAGUUUUUGAAAGAUUGUGGAAUUUAUAGGCCAAAAAUUAGGGCAACUGGAGCCAAGGGGCCACAAGUCACCUCGGUGACUUGUGGGGCUCGUGUGGGUCUUCUGGUCCUCCACAAAUAUUCCAGGGUCUCUUAUAUUCCAGAAAAGAACACAAAAAAGUUUUGUCGUGUUUGGGCUUCGGUAGGUAUGGUUUUUCUGCGAAACGCAAAUCAUGUAGAAACAAGAAUUGACAUUGGGCACUAAUUAAUAGGUUAGUCCAUAAACAUAAUAUAAAAUGACAUAUAAAGUAUACAAAAGUGAUAAUAUAACAAUAUUUAACAAUAAAAAAUUAUAGAUACAUUAGAGACGUAUUAGCAUCACGAAGCUUGAUUCCUACUCGUCCUUGAGUUAGUAAAUGAUAACAAAAGAAUUUUUUAUGUUGAAUGAUAUAUAACAUGUAUUUGAUCUAUUGAUGUAACUUGGAUACGAAAUAUGCAAGACAAUAGUCUAUCAAUUUGAUAUUGAAAUAGUAAUACAUGAACAUGUUAGUAAAUAAUUAUUUCCUUUCAGAAUAUUGAUGUUAAAGAAAGUGAUCCUUAUACGCUAAUCAAAAUAAGCAUGUCACGCUCAUUCUUCCCGGUAUAGAGAUAUCAAAUCAAGCACAACCCUGGUGCCAAACUAAGUGAUUCACAUAUACUUUUGUCACUUCAGUUGUUUAAACUUCCACUCAAAACUUGAGUGUGAGAUAAGGUCUUAAGCACUUGGGAUGCAAAUAGAAUGGUGAUUGUGAUUUAUAAGAGAAGAUAAAAAGUGUGGGAAAGUCUCACAUCAACAAGGCUGGGCCGUUAAGCAAUGAAGAGGUCUUACAAUCGAUGUUAAUGCGAGGAGUAGGGAUUGCCAUGCAACGAAUUCACUUAGAGAUAUAAGUGUAUGAAAGCUCUCUAUAUGGAACUAAGUGGGUGUGCAUCCAACUUGCUUGCUCAUGAAGACCUCGAGCAUUUGAGGAAGCUCGUCAUCGGAAUAUACAAUCCAAGUUCAAUAAUGUAAAAUUGCCACUAGUUAUACAUCAAAAUGAUGAGGACGCUCUAUAUGAAAUGCAAAGUUCUAUUUUGUAGCGCGAGUGUGGUAAGAGGAUAGUGAUGUGCUCCCUUUCUUUUUCUCCCAUUUUCAUCAUUUUCCUUUUAUUUUCUCCAUUGCUUUGUUGGUAUCUAUUUGGUCUCUUUUUAAUACCAUUUUUUAUCCUCACAUGUAGGGGCACACCCUAAUAAUGCAUCACAAUUUUAUUUCACUUACAACUCAAAAGACAUAAACAACAUGAUGACCAAAAAUGAAUGCCUCUGACAGUGUACGAGGAUGUGCAAUGGUCUAGCAUAACAUGUAUAUGAACGAUGAACGGUGGCUUUGCCAAAAAUAUCAUAUCAGCUCUAUAUGAUCAUGCAAAGCAAUAAGACAAUGAAUGCUCAAGUCUUAAAAAUAGUAAGAAUGGAAGUUGAAUGCUAAUAUAUCUCGGAGUGGCUAUGAAAAUGCUACGAUAGGUAGGUAUGGUGUGUUUUCUGAGGAAGGAUAUAAUUAGGCUUAUGUAUGAGAGAGCAUGUCAUCUCACGGGAUUUGGAUGCACCUCGGAAGUUUGCACCAAAUCCCGAGGCGAGAGUGGGCAAUACACGGUACCGAAAAGACUAGCAAGAUAUGGAUAGAUGGAAGUGCUUUUAUACCAUAGACUCAUAUUAAACAUAAAUAGCUCAAAUAUUUAUUAUGAAAACUUAGUUAGCCCUCGAAGCAAAGUAUAACCCCUAUGAUCUUAGAGAGGAGGUUAGUAGGAGUUAACCAUCACUCGCCUCCAAUCCAAACACACUAGUGUUUAAUCAAUCAAUGAUAAAUUAUACCCCAAACUCGCCACUAUUACCAGCGGCCACCCCUUUCAUGUGUUAGGAAUUCACAAGCUUUACCAUCAAAAUUAAUACUUAACUAUAAUUAAUUAUUAAUAUGCUAAUCUAUUACCACCUCAAAUAUCGCCAAAUAUUGCAAGGAAUCAAACACAUCAUAUUCAAUGAUCUUACAAAUCCAUGCUAGUUUUUAUUAUACAACCUCUAUAUACCUAGCAUUCCCGGACCAACAAUAUAACUCAUGCAAAUUACCACAUCCUAUUUAAAUAUCAUUAAAUAUAUAGGUGAAACAAAGUGAGUACACACAAUAAACAUAUCGCCAUGCUCAAACAAAUAUAAGUGAAGAAUUAGAGAUUUGCCUUAGCUCAAAAAGAUAUAAGUGAAAUACGGAUGAACAUUCUAUAAAUUAGAUGAGUGUGUGGCUUCUCAUAAUAAAUGUGUACAGGAAAAUAUGAUUGUGACAAAAACAGACGCUCCAAGAAAAAUACAUAUCAAGUGGAGAAUAAAAAUAUAGCUCCAAGUAUGAUAUACCGAUAGUUUGAAGACAAAUGAGGGGAUGCCUUCUGGGGUAUCGACAAGCUUAGAUGAUUUAGUCUUCCUUGAAUAUUACUUUGGGGUGCCUUAGGCAUUCCCAAGCUUAGAUUCUUGUUGCUUCUUGUUCUCCUUCAUAGUUCCAUCUCAUCCAAAACCUUGAAAACUUCGAUCACACAAAGCUUAACGAAACUUCGUGACAUAGGUUAGUAUAAUAGAAUAGAUCAUUCACUUAUGGUACUUCCAAGGAAAGUUUUGUAAUUAUUUAUAAUAAAUGUUUACUGUAUUUUAUCAUUCCUACAAUUUAUACCCCUCAUACAAACCAUAAAUACUUUAAAACAAGCAAAAAAAAACAGAAUCUGUCAAAAAUAGAACACCAUGUAAAGAUCUACUUUCUCGUCAUACUUCUAUAACUUUGAGAAUUAUGGAAAACCAGGAUACUGUAGAGAGUUUGUAAUUUAGUUAUGUGUAAACAUUUCAGCAAUUUAUCACGUUUCAGUACAAAUAUACAAUUCAAUCACUAGACACAAAGUUUCUGUUUCCCCAAAGAACUUAGUGAACAAAUAUUUUUUCAGUAUCCCAAAGGUUUGACUUGGCACAAAAGAAAAAUAAAAGAUACAAACACAAUUUAUAUAAAGGAAAUAAUCCCGUUGACACACUAAAAUAGAAAGGAAAAAAGAAAGAUAAAUAUUGUGUUGCCUCCCAACAAGCGCAAUUUUUCAAUGCCCGAAGUUAGGCAUAAUGCAAUCUAUCAAGUAUUAUCAUCUUUAAAUGCUAUACCAUAUGUACUUCUCAUGAUAGAUUCAUAAGAAGGUUUAAUAUUCUUUCUAGGGAAAUGUUCCAUAUGUUUAUUUAGAGGAAUUUGGAAUCGUGUAUUACCUUACUUCAUGUCAAUAACGACGCCUAUAGUUCUCAUAAAGGGCCUCACAAGUAUAAUUGGACAAGACAAAUUACAUUCAAUGUCAAGAACAAUAUAUAUCUACGGGCACAUAAUUUUUAUUUCAAUAAUAAGCACAUCAUUCACUCUUCCCAUCGGAUUUUUAAUAUUAGAAUCCACUAGGUGCAAAUUUAAAGAAUAUUCACUCAUGUUGGAGAAACUGAGAAAAUCAUACAACACCUUUGGCAUAGUUGAAACAUUGGCUCGUAGAUCACACAAAAAAUGGCACUCUUAAUCCUUAAUUUUACUUGUGUGUUCUCAAUCAUCAUGCACCUUUCUAGGUAUGGAAAUCUCUACUUCAAGUUUCUCCUCAUUUGUUUUAAUAAGCGUCUCUACAUCAUGUCUAGUAAAAGCUUUAUUUUGUUUGUAUUGAAACAAGGAAAUAUAUUAAGUAAGAGAACAACUUUUAUAAUUAAAGUCCUUGUAAUCCAAAGUAGUGGGAGCAUCGCUACCUAAAGUUUUUACCUCUUCCACCAACUUUUAUCAUUAUUAGCAACAAGAUCAUCACCCUUCGAACAACUGGAUACCUCUUAGCUAAAGUUGACUCAUCUCGAGUCCCAUCAUUAUCAACUUUAAUGUCUCUAAACAAAGAUUGAAUAUAAGAAACACCAAUAAUUUUAACAUCUUCACCAUUACUAGCAACAAAACAAAAUUCAACAUUUUUUCGCUCGUUCUCUUCUAGCUCUAAGCAUAUCAAUGAUUUUACUAUUGUAAUAAUGAAGACUUGGAUGACCUUAAGAUAUUCACGCAUUCCAUUUUUAUUAGGUGGCAAAAUUUUAAUUUUAAGAAUAUCCAGAUCAUGCAGAAGUCUAUCCAUGUUUCAAAACAUAUCAUCAACCUUAGUAAAAUUUUCUUCUAUCAUAGCAUUGAAACCUUUUGAGAAUUAAUAAAUUCUUUAAUAUUGUUUUUAAGAUUAGAGGGCAUCAUAUUAUUAUUAUUAUAUGAAUUUCCAUAGGAAUUAACACAAUUAUUAGAGGGAUUACCACGAUACGACCUAUGAUUAUUAUUGAAGUUCCCUCUAUAAGCAUUAUUAUUCAAAUUGCUCCUUGGAACAAAGUUCAGAUCAAUAGCAUCAUUAUUUUGAUUAAUACUCCCACCGUCCCAAAAUUCUUGUCUUAGGUUUGUCAAGAAAUGUAUGUAUCAAAAUACUAAAACGUGACUAGAUACAUUCAUAUCUAGACAAAUCUCAGACAAGAAUUUUGGGACGGAGGGAGUAAUAGAUAAAGGCACAUCAUUUGGAUAACUCUUGUUACUAAGCACGGACAUAAGAGCAUCAAAUUUAUCACUUUGGGAGGAGAUCUCCUCGACAUAAUGCACCUUCUUACUUGUUGGAGUGUGCUUGGUGUGCCAUUGGGAAUAAUUGGAAGCCAUGUUUGAGAAGCUUUGUGCAUAAAUAUAUCACUUGCAUUUGAAUCUAGAAGAUUUCUCGAUUAAAAGUUCAGUCCGACAUAGAAAUUUUGUACUAUCAUCCAAAGACUCAAUCCAUGUGUAGCAAAAUAAAUAAAGCAUAAGUUUUAUUCUCUCCCAUGCUUGUGCAAGACGCUCUUGGUCAAGUUUCUUACAAUUCAUAAUUCGAUUUCUUAGAUAAAUUUUUUUUGCGGGAGGAAAGUACUCACCAAUGAAAGCAUCUUUGCAUUUAUACCAAGAAUCAAUACCUUUUACGCAAAGAAGACAACUAUGCUUUUAUCUCUAUCUGUUAGAGAAAAAGGAAAAUGUUUCACUUUCACAAUAUCAUUAUUCACAUCUUUAAUUUUUUGCAUAUCACAUAAUUCAACGAAGGUAUUAAGAUGGGAAGCAACAUAUUCAUUAUAAUUUCAAGAAACAUGUUCUUUCAUGACAAGAUUUUAUAAGACAACUUUAAUAUCAUAAUACUCUACGCUAGUGGCGGCACGAGCAAUGGGAGUACUAAUGAAACCAUUGUUACUAGUACUUGAGAAAUCACAAAGGUUACUAGUCUCUUUUUGUAUUACACACACACACACACAAAUAUGUAUGUAUAUAUAUAUAUAUAUAGGGCGGGUCUAUUCUACAAACACCCCUAAGACCUUAUUAUCAUAACACUUUUCUUAUCAUGCUAACACCACGAAACCAACCGGACACAACCCACCCCACCCGUGCAGCCCAGUGCCCAUCUUCCCCACCCACACCACAACCCUCCUCCCACUUCCCCACCCAGCAGUGCAAACCUCCACAUUCUUCCUCUCCCCCGCGCAUCGCACCCACCCCAACUAUCGCGGCCAACACCUCGCGCCAUCUCCAAGCCACCAUCCCUGCGCCGUCCCCGCCUCCUCCUCGUGGCCGCCCCGCCUCCGACCGGCUCCACCAUAAGCGAAUCAGGUUGGGCACCCCUAACCCCCUCCAAACCGCUGGCACACCCCGCGACCAUGGCGGGAUUCGGCCGUCAACGCCCCCGACGAGGACUUCUCCACCGGAUCCGACCCUCGCUCCUCCGGGACUCCGGCUCCUACCUUCCCUCGCGACUCCCUCACCAAUCUCUUCGCACCGCCAUGCUUCCCAGCGGCCGCCACGGCUCCACCCUUCCCAUACACCACGCCUCCUCUCACAUCGGCCAGCGCUCCUCCUACCCCCACCACUCCCCCAAGGUGUUGCCUCUCACCCCUUUGAAUCGAGCCACCCCACCCCGACCACGACCACAGCUCCACAUCAUGAUGGACGCACUCCACGACAACGACCCCGUCCUUGCGACGGUCGACCAUGCCACAAGAACUGAUCCAGCUGUCGUGCAAUGGAUCUGGCCACCCCGUGUAAAUCCCUCCUCCUCACAAGAUAGCGGCAUGGGGCCAUGCCGACCCCACCGUUGACCGUUGAGUUGCACGCCAGGUGUGGGUCAUGGGCCUCCUCACUUCCUGCAUUUCCCCUAUGGCCACCUACGUCGUGCGCCUAGGCUCGCACGGGAGUUUGGUGGCCUCCCGUCGACGUCCCGCAUGGAUUAACUGAUGACCCACAAGUAUAGGGGAUCAAUCAUAGUCCUUUCGAUAAGUAAGAGUGUCGAACCCAACGAGGAGUAGAAGGAUCUGACAAGUGGUUUUUAGUAAGGAAAUAUCUGCAAGCACUGAAAUUGUCGGUAACAAGUGAUUGUGUGGUGAGAUGAUUCGUAGCGAGCAACAAGUAACAAAAGUAGCAACGAUGCACCAAAGUGGUCCAGUCCCUUUUGUAGCAAGGGACAAGCCUGGACAAAGUCUUAUAGGAGGAAAAACGCUCCCGAGGACACACGGGAAUUUCUGUCAUGCUAGUUUCAUCAUGUUCAUAUGAUUCACGUUCGUUACCUUGAUAGUUUGAUAUGUGGGUGGACCGGCGCUUGGGUAAUGCCCUUACUUGGACAAGCAUUCCUCUUAUGAUUAACCCCUCUCGCAAGCAUCCGCAACUACGAAAGAAGAAUUAAGACAAAGUCUAACCAUAGCAUUAAACUAGUUGAUCCAAAUUAGCCCCUUGCGAAGCAAUGUAUAAACUAGGGUUUANCCAAUCGGAGUCGCGAGAUGGAGAUUGGUUACAAGUGAUGAACUAGGGUUUGGAGAUGAGAUGGUGCUGAUGAAGAUGUUGAUGGUGACGAGUCCCCUCCGAUGAGAGGAGUGUUGGUGAUGACGCUGGCGACGAUUUCCCCCUCCGGGUGGGAAGUUUCCCCGACAGGAUCGUCCUGCUGGAGCUCUAGAUUGGUUCUGCUCAAGUUCCGCCUCGCGGCGACGGCGAAACCAUGAAAAAGCUCCCGUCUGACUUUUUUCUGGAUGAAACCCUCCAUAUAGCAAAAGAGGGGGGCAAGUGGGCCAGCAGGGUGCCCACAAGCCCCCAUGGCGCCGCCCGGGGGGUGGCCGCGUCGUGCAGGCUUGUGGCCACCCCCUGGCGCCCCUCUGGCGCUUCUUCGGCCCAGUAUUUUUCAUAAAUUGGGAAAAAAUCUCCGUUGAUUUUCACGGCGUUUGGAGUUGCGCAGAAUAGGUAUCUCAACUUUGCUCCACUUUUAGGCCAGAAUUCCAGUUGCCGGUAUUCUCCCUCUUCAUGUAAACCUUGCAAAAUAAGAGAGAAAAGGCAUAAGAAUAGUACCGUGAAGUGAAAUAACAGCAAAAGAAGCGAUAAAUAUCAAUAUGAAAACAUGAUGCAAAAUGGACGUAUCAACUCCCCCAAGCUUAGACCUCGCUUGUCCUCAAGCAAAAGCUGAGCUGAAUAAAUAUGUCCACACGUUUAGGGAGAGAGGUGUCGACAAAACAAGAUACGAACAUGCAUGCAUCAUGAUCAAGCUCAUAACAGCAAUACCAACAUAUACUCUCUCAUGCUAAAGUGACAAUUCCUUCACAAAGUAAAGCAUGGAUCAAGAACCUUACCGAGAAGUAACAACCGAUAGCCUUUAGUCAUUGAAGCAAUGGCAAUUUAUCACAACAUCAGAAAGAGUUAAAUAAGAGCUUGUAAAGCAAAUACACAUACUCAAUCAUUCUUUCAUUUUCUACAAUUGCUACAACUCACGUGGUACUCAUGAGAUCAAAGUUUCAGCUGAACACAAAGAAAGAUAGGGGCUUAUAGUAUUGCCUCCCAACUGCUUACCUCAAGGGUAAUGUCAACAAUAAUAACUCAUGAAUGCCUACCUCCAAGUUGACAUAUGAAUAUAGAUCUUUCCCAAGCAUGUGACGGUAUCCAAGACAAAGGCAAAAUAGGGAAUUGGUGAAGAUCACCAUGACUCUUUCAAGGGCAAAAAGUAAAGGUACAAGAUAGGCCCUUCGCAGAGGGAAGCAGAGGUUGUCAUGCGCUUUUGAGGUUUGGAUGCGUGUCCUCUUAGUGCGGAGGAACGUCACUUUAUAUUGCCCCUUGUGAUAAAGAACUUUAUUAUGCAGUCUGUCGCUUUUAUGUCUUCCUCAUCACAGGUUCGUAUAAAGCUUAUUUUCCACACACUAAUAGGUCAUACAUAUUAGAGAGCAAUUUUUAUUGCUUGCACCGAUGACAACUUACUUCAGGGAUCUUAUUCAAUCCAUAGGUAGGUAUGGUGGACACUCAUGGCAAAACUAGUUUGAAGGUUUAUGGAUGCACAAGUAGUAUCUCUACUUAGUGCGGGAGUUUUGGCUAAUAUGAGGUGGAAGCAAUCGUCACAUGCUAAGGGAUCUCUAAUCAUAUAACAUUGUUCAGAGCUAAGAAAACACAAUUCAUUACGUUGUCUUCCUUGUCCAACAUCUACUUCUAGGCAUGCAAUGGUUUGGUGAGUGUUCACAAUCAUAGAUGGUGUCAGAAAUGAUAUAUUUAUAUGUGAACCUCUCCUUCCUUAUCGCUUCCUAUUAAUUGCAACAAUGACUAAGGUCUACGUUUGCCUACCCUCAACAAGUUUCAAUCCUCAUUCUUUUUAUAUGUGAAGCCAUCACUUCCCAGAAGAUCACUACAUGAUCUUUCAUGCUUUUGUUCUAUUCUCACUCUUUUGAUCAUGGCAAGAGGCAAAGCCCUUCAACUAAGACAUUCUUUAUUAUAUGGCUCACGAGCAAGAAUACAUCGGGGGUGACACAAAGCAAAACUUAAGACUAAAACACUAAGACUUUUAAACUACUAGAGAAAGAGAAAACUGAAAAGGAAAACUAAAACAAAGGUAAAGGCAAAAGAUGUGAUGGUGAUACGAUACCGGGGCAACUCCCCCAAGCUUGGCAGAAGCCAAGGGGAUUGCCCAUACCAAUGCUCAGUUGUCUUCCUUUGGUGGUGAGGAUGGUGGAGUUGUUGAAGCAUGAGUUUGAUCCUCCGUCUUCCAAGGCAUAGGUGCUCACCAUGGAAAGAUGAACGGGUCUCCGGAAUCCUCAAAUCUGCAGCCAACCUUAUUGAUUUAAAUCUAUACUCAUACUCACAGUUUUGGUUCUGUAGGUCAUAGAUCUGGCCCUGGAGUUGAUCAACCCUAUCAUAGAGCCUGGAGAGAUGCUUCCCAAUAUCAUUGGCAUCAAUCCUGUGCUUGUUGGUGAACUCCGUGAUCAUCAUGUGGUUGGCGGUGAGUCCACGCUCCACCAUCCCUUGGCACUUGAAGACUUGUUGCUCCAUUGCUUCGAGCCUCGUCUCCAUGCUUCCGGUCUUCUUAGGCCCCUCAACAUCACGGAUGUGCAACAUCCCCUCACGCAUCUCUAUAGAUUGAGGGUGUUGUAGCACUUCCGUGAGGUAGGGAUUGAUGACCUUCUCUAAGAUCUUGUCCUUUGGAGCUUUUGGGGAAGUCAUGGCGAUCUAGAUCUGCAACAGAAACAGGCUCGAAACGGAAAACAGUGGAAAUCUGCGUGAUGCAGGGGUCAGAACAAGCGGAAGUAUAUAUAAUGAUUUUUUUCCAGACCAGAAGGAGUAUCCUGCACGAAAACGGAGUCCGGGAGGCGCACGAGGUGGCCACAAGCCCUCACGGCGCGGCCAGGGGGUGGGCCCGCGCUGUGCAGGCUUGUCGCCUACUCACGCACUUUCCGGACUACUUCCAAUUUAUGUAUUUUUUCUAAUAUUCCAAAACGGAGAAAAUUUCCUAUGGGGAACGUUUUGGAAUGUGUUUUCUUACCGAAUCUCAUACCUCUUCGUUUUCGGAGUAUGAAACAGGUUGAUAAAUGUCCCUUAGGUAUUCUUCCGGAGUUAUGGUAUUGAUGAUAUUGCUUUCAACAUUUAUGGGAGUACCUGAGAUAUAAUGCUUGAUUCUCUGCCCAUUUACCACUCUCGGAUAAUUACCUUCCAUGUUGUUGAUCUUGAUAGCACCGGAACGAUAUACUUCCUCAACAACAUAGGGACCUUCCCAUUUAGAGAGAAGCUUGCGUGCAAAGAAUCUUAAACGAGAGUUAUAUAGCAAGACAUAAUCACCUACAUUGAACUCACGCUUUUGUAUCCUUUUAUCAUGCCACCUCUUAACCUUCUCUUUGAAAAGCUUGGCAUUCUCAUAUGCCUGAGUUCUCCACUCAUCAAGCGAGCUAAUAUCAAAUAACCUCUUCUCACCGGCAAGUUUGAAAUCAAAGUUGAGCUCUUUGAUUGCCCAAUAAGCUUUAUGCUCUAGCUCAAGAGGUAAGUGACAUGCUUUCCCAUACACCAUUUUGUACGGAGACAUGCCCAUCGGAUUCUUAUAGGCAGUUCUAUAAGCCCAUAGUGCAUCAUCGAGCUUCUUAGACCAAUUCUUUCUAGACCUAUUGAUAGUCUUUUGCAGAAUUAGUUUAAUCUCUCUGUUGCUUAGCUCUACUUGACCACUGGACUGAGGGUGGUAGGGAGACACAAUUCUAUGGUUGACAUCGUACUUAGCAAGCGUUUUACGGAAAGCACCAUGAAUGAAGUGUGAACCACCGUCGGUCAUUAGAUAUCUAGGGACUCCAAAUCUAGGGAAGAUAACUUCUUUCAGCAUCUUGAUAGAGGUGUUGUGAUCAACACUACUAGUGGGGAUAGCUUCUACCCACUUAGUGACGUAAUCAACAAUAACUAAGAUAUGCGUAUACCCGUUGGAUUUUGGAAAAGGCCCCAUAUAAUCAAAGCCCCAGACAUCAAAUGGUUCAAUGACAAGUGAAUAGUUCAUAGGCAUUUCCUAACGUUUGCUAAUAUUACCUAUUCUUUGACAUUCGUCACAAGACAAGACAAACUUACGGGCAUCCUUGAAGAGAGUGGGCCAAUGGAAACCUGAUUGCAAUACCUUGUGUGCAGUUCUAUCUCCCGCAUGGUGUCCCCCGUAGGCCUCGGAGUGGCACUUCUGUAGGAUCUGUUCCUGUUCAUGUUCAGGUACACAACGUCUAAUAACACCAUCUAAUACUUCCUUAUAAAGGUGAGGAUCAUCCCAGAAGUAAUGUCUCAAGUCAAAGAAGAAUUUCUUCUUUUGCUGGUAUGUGAAACUAGGUGGUAUAUAUUUGGCAACGAUAUAGUUUGCAUAAUCAGCAUAGCAUAGUGCACUACGUGAAGCAUUGAUGACAUUCAAGGGAAAGCUAUCAUCAAUAGGUUGUGGGUCAUCAAGAACAUUCUCCAACCUAGACAAGUUAUCUUCUACUGGGUUAUCAGCACCCUUUUUGUCGACAACGUGCAAAUCAAAUUCUUGUAGCAAGAGAACCCAUCUGAUAAGUCUAGGUUUAGCGUCCUUCUUCUCCAUGAGGUACUUAAUAGCAGCAUGAUUAGUGUGAAUAGUGACUUUGGAAUCAACUAUGUAAGACCUGAACUUUUCACAUGCAGACACGACUGCUAAAAAUUCCUUCUUCGUAGUGGCAUAGUUUCUGUGGGCAUUGUCUAGAGUUUUACUAGCGUAGUGAAUAACAUUCAACUUCUUAUCAACUCUUUGCCCUAGAAAAUCACCAACAUCAUAAUCGCUAGCGUCACACAUGAUCUCAAAAGGUAAGUUCCAAUCAGGUGGUUGAACAAUAGGUGCAGUUAUCAAAGCCCUCUUAAGUGUUUCGAAGGCUUCCUCACAAUCAUCGUCGAAGACAAAAGGGAUAUCCUUUUGCAAGAGAUUGGUAAAAGCCCUAGAAAUCUUAGAGAAGUCUUUAAUGAACCUUCUAUAGAAACCAUCAUGACCAAGGAAGCUUCUUAUACCUCUGAUAUCUGUGGGGUAUGGCAUUUUCUUGAUUGCAUCAACCUUAGCCUUAUCGACUUCAAUACCUCUUUCAGAAAUUUUAUGUCCUAAGACGAUGCCUUCAUUAACCAUAAAGUGGCACUUCUCCCAAUUCAAGACAAUAUUGGUGUCUUUACAUCUCUAUAAGACUUGAUCAAGGUUGCUGAGGCAAUCGUCAAAGGAAGACCCGUAAACGGAAAAGUCAUCCAUGAAAACCUCGACAAUCUUUUCACAAAAGUCAGAGAAUAUAGCCAUCAUACAUCUUUGAAAGGUGGCAGGUGCAUUACAUAAGCCAAAAGGCAUACGUCUAUAAGCAAAGGUACUGAAAGGGCAGGUGAAAGGGGUCUUCUCCUGAUCAGAUUGUGCAACUGGUAUUUGGGAGAAACCAGAAUAACCGUCUGGAAAGCAGAAGUGUGUGUGUUUGGACAACCUUUGUAGCAUUUGGUUGAUAAAAGGCAAAGGGUAAUGAUCUUUCCUAGUGGCCUUAUUCAACUUCCUAAAAUCAAUCACCAUCCCAUAGCCAGUAAUAAUCCUCUAUGGGAUCAACUCAUCCUUAUCAUUAGGGACAACGGUGAUGCCUCCCUUCUUAGGAACGCAAUGCACCGGACUCACCCAAUCGCUGUGAGCAACAGGAUAGAUAAUACCCGCUUCUAGGAGCUUCAAUAUUUCUUUUCUUACUACUUCUUUCAUCUUAGGAUUCAAUCUCCUUUGAUGAUCAUCAAGUGGUUUGAAUUUAGGAUCAGUUUUAAUCUUGUGCUGGCAUAGAGUAGGACUAAUGCCCUUAAGAUCAUCAAGAGUAUAUCCAAUAGUAGCACGGUGCUUCCUCAAAGUUUUUUAGUUGCUUCUUUUCUUCAUGCUCCGAGAGGCUAGCAGUAAUUAUAACAGGAUAUAUCUCUUUUUUAUCAAGAUAGGCAUACUUAAGAGUAUGAGGCAACUGUUUAAGCUCGAACACAGGAUCACCCUUUCUUGGGGGUGGAUCCCCAAGCAGUUCAAUAGGCAAGUUAUUCUUAAGGAUAGGAUAUUGUUCUAAGACAACUCUAUCUAUUUCAUCCCUUUCAUCCAUAUGCAUAUCAUUUUCAUGCUCAAGCAAGUAUUGCUCUAAUGAUCAGUAGGAGGCACGGCAAUAGAGGCUAAGGCAGUAGUUUCAUCUCUACUAGGCCACUCCUUUUCAUGAGGUUGUCUACCAAACUUAGAGAAACUGAACUCAUGUGACGCUCCUUCAAAGCCAACAGUGACAUUUUGCUUCUCACAGUCAAUAUGAGCAUUGGCGGUAUUGAGAAAAGGUCUACCAAAUAUGAUGGGACAAAAGCUAUCUUGUGCGAUAGCAAGAACGAGGAAAUCAACAGGAUACUUCAUUUUACCACACAAGACUUCAACAUCCCUAAGAAUUCCCAUAGGGCAGAUAGUAUCUCUAUUGGCAAGCUAAAUAGUGACAUCUAUAGGUUCUUUCUCAACAGGUGCAAUCUCAUCUUUGACUUCAUCGUAUAAGGAUUGAGGUAUUGCACUAACACUAGCACCCAAGUCACAUAAGCCAUGAUAGCAAUGAUCUCCUAUCUUAACAGAAACCACAGACAUGCCAACAACAUGCCUAUGUUUGUCUCUAGCGUGAGGUUUAGCAAUUCUAGCAGCAUCUUCACAGAAGUGAAUAUUAUGUCCCUCAACUUCUUCAGACAGAAGAUCUUUGAUAAUCGCAAUGCUAGGUUCAACUUUAAUUUGCUCAGGGGGUGUAGGUGUUCUAAUAUAGCCUCUACGUAUCACAGUUGAAGCUUUAGAAUGAUCCUUUAUCCUAACAGGGAAAGGUGGUUUCUCAAUGUAAGCACUGGGAACAACAUGAUCACUAUAGGCAAUGACUUUCUCUUCAACUGGAGUGGGUUUAACUACAUUGACUUCUAAAGGAGGAUGAUAUUUAAACCACUUCUCUUUGGGGAGAUCAAUAUGAGCAGCAAAGGAUUCACACAAUGAAGCUACUAUCUCAGAGUCAAGUCCAUACUUAGUGCUAAAAUCACUAAAGGUAUUUGUCUCAACAAACGAUUUAACGCAAUCAAACGUGAAAUUCAUACCUGACUCCUUACCUUCUUCAAGCUCCCAAUCUUCAGAGUUGCGUUUAAUUCUCUCCAAUAAAUUCCAUUUGAAGUCAAUAUCUCUCUUCAUAAAAUAACCGAUACAAGAAGUGUCAAGCAUGGUGCGAUCAUCAUGAGAAAGCCAAGCAUAGAAGUUCUGAAUGAUAAUUUCUCUCGAGAGCUCAUGAUUGGGGCAUGAAUAUAGCAUUGAUUUAAGCCUCCCCCAAGCUUGAGCGAUGCUUUCUCUGUCACGAGGCCAAAAAUUGUAAAUAUAAUUUCGAUCACGAUGUACUAAAUGCAUAGGAUAAAACUUUUGAUGAAAUUCCAAUUUCAACCGAUUGUAGUCCCAUGAUCCAGUAUCAUCACAUAGCCUAUACCAUGUCAACGCCUUAUUAUUCAAAGAUAAAGGAAAUACCUUCUUCUUGACCUCAUCCUCGGGCACACCUGCAAGCUUAAAUAAACCACAAACUUCAUCUACAUAGAUAAGAUGCAAGUCUGGAUGUGAUGUUCCAUCUCCUGUAAAAGGAUUAGCCAGCAGUUUCUCAAGCAUACCCGAAGGAAAUUCAAAGCAAAUAUUUCUAGUAGGUGCAGCAGGUUGAGGAGCAACCAUUCCUGCUUUCGUUCGAGGUGAAGAUACCCCGAACAAGCCCCUCAAAGGAUUAGUAUCCAUAGUGACAAGUGACAAUAAAUUUCAGCAUCUAUAUGAAUGUUUCCUUACCAAGUUCCACUUACCAAAGGCGCUUCACUCCCCGGCAACGGUGCCAGAAAAGAGUCUUGAUGACCCACAAGUAUAGGGGAUCAAUCAUAGUCCUUUCGAUAAGUAAGAGUGUCAAACCCAACGAGGAGCAGAAGGAUCUGACAACUGGUUUUUAGCAAGGAAAUAUAUGCAAGCACUCAAAUUGUCGGUAACAAGUGAUUGUGUGGUGAGAUGAUUCGUAGCGAGCAACAAGUAACAAAAGUAGCAAUGGUGCAACAAAGUGGCCCAAUCCCUUUUGUAUCAAGGGACAAGCCUGGACAAACUCUUAUAUGAGGAAAAACGCUCCCGAGGACACACGGGAAUUUCUGUCAUGCUAGUUUCAUCAUGUUCAUAUGAUUCACGUUCAUUACUUUGAUAGUUUGAUAUGUGAGUGGACCUGCGCUUGGGUACUGCCCAUACUUGGCCAAGCAUCCCACUUAUUAUUAAGUCCUUCGCAAGCAUCCGCAACUACGAAAGAAGAAUUAAGACAAAGUCUAACCAUAGCAUUAAACUAGUGGAUCCAAAUCAGCCCCUUGCGAAGCAACGUAUAAACUAGGGUUUAANCCAAUCGGAGUCGCGAGACGGAGAUUGGUUACAAGUGAUGAACUAGGGUUUGGAGAUGAGAUGUUGCUGAUGAAGAUGUUGAUGGUGACGAGUCCCCUCCGAUGAGAGGAGUGUUGGUGAUGACGAUGGCGACGAUUUCCCCCUCCGGGAGGGAAGUUUCCCCGGCAGGAUCGUCCUGCCGGAGCUCUAGAUUGGUUCUGCUCAAGUUUCGCCUUGUGGCGACGGCGAAACCACGAAAAAGCUCCCGUCUGAUUUUUUUUCUAGACGAAACCCUCCAUAUAGCAAAAGAGGGGGGCAAGUGGGCCAGCAGGGUGCCCACAAGCCCCCAUGGCGCGGCGUGGGGGGUGGCCGCGCCGUGCAGGCUUGUGGCCACACCGUGGCACCCCUCUGGCGCUUCUUCAGCCUAGUAUUUUUCAUAAAUUGGGAAAAAAAUCUCCGUUGAUUUUCACGGCGUUUGGAGUUGCGCAGAAUAGGUAUCUCAACUUUGCUCCACUUUCAAGCCAGAUUUCCAGUUACCGGUAUUCUCCCUCUUCAUGUAAACUUGCAAAAUAAGAGAGAAAAGGCAUAAGAAUAGUACCGUGAAGUGAAAUAACAGCAAAAGAAGCGAUAAAUAUCAACAUGAAAACAUGAUGCAAAAUGGACGUAUCAACUACUACCCAAUGCACAGCACUUCCUUGGCAUCCAUUCCUCGUCAUUGUGCAGUUUGACAGGAAGUGCAUUUCAAUUCAGUGCAUAUUCGGUGCUCGUGGAAGAAGUCCACUAUGGUUGCUCUUGAGGUUUCCUUGUUUUUGCAGGAGAGAUGAGUGCUCCAUACUCCGCGCCCCAUCCCCAUGGUCCGUGCACCUUCCCUGGAGUCAAUGUUGUUCGUGGGCACAAGGGAUGCAGUCCAUAUGUUGAGGUACUGCAGUGCGCUCGGCGUGCGUGCGACGACAGCCCCAUUGCAGGAAGUGACAUGCUGCUCCUUGCCUGCCAUCCCAUUCCUGUGCUACAGAAGGAAAGCUCCCAUCGUCUCCAUGUAGUUCGCCCCCCGUCAUUGACACCAUGGGUUGUGUGCGACAUGUAGUGCCCUGAUUGCAAAAAAAUAGCUUAUGGCCACUUGGUUUGAAGGAAAGUGCAUGUCACCGUAAGAGCGGUUCACCAAGAGAAGUUCAUUUUUCUUUCUUUUUAUUGUUGUUUGUAAUUAUUAAAAGAUUGGUUGCAGUUCUUUGUAAGAAGCACUGUUGUUUGAUUUGUAAAGAGAAUCGACGGGGUAGUUCCUUCCAUUAGCACGGAACAAAAGUAAAAAACAUUGAAAGAAGUAAAAAAGAUGCAGUCUACUAGUGUACUGCUUGCGUCUCGUGUGUGAAGUUUUUUUACUCUGGUGGAUACAACAAAAAACAUGCAAUUUAUUUCGAUUUGGGUCGCGGCUCACUUCUGUCUUGCUAAAUAUUGAUAAUUAUGCAGUUCUCUUUGUCGACAUUACGGUGGAGUUUUAUUUCUGAUGCCUUUCACUCCGUCGAUUUUGUGUCACAAAAAGCAGAAUGAAAAAGGACAAACACAACUCAUGAAGUUAGCUUGCCCAUCAGAUGCAGUGCGGUCUUCAGUACGAUGCAGUGGAUUCCUGUGUCACAUGCGGUUCAUGCGUCGAUUUUGGUCUCGUGAAAAUAGAGUGACCGCAUUUUGGAAUUUCAAUUUGCUCUUAAAUCGUAAGGAAUUUGUGCCUCGUUGAUAUCUUUCCCACUCUGUAUCAUUUGCAUCAUUCCGACGAACGGUUUGGAAAAAUACGAAAAUACGCUCGCUGCAACUCGUAUACAACAACACCGUUUUCAAAAUUCCUCUAAAAUUGUGAGGAAUAUCAACAAGUGACCAACAUAUGAAAGUUGCGCCUAUUCCACAGAUUUCCAACGUCGUAUCAUACGUCUCAUUCCGACGAAUGGUUUUAAAACUACAGCGAAAAACAUACCGAAAAAACAAAAAAAAUUCAAAAAACAGAAUUCCGUUUUUAGUAAUUUUGAAAUUAAUCUCAAACGGUAAGGAAUUAGAGAGAGUAAUCUACAUGAAAAAGAUGCGUCUCGAUGAUACAUUUCCAACACCAUAUCGUUUUCUUCAUUCCGAUGGGCGGUUUAGAUUUUCUUUUGAAAAUACGCUCGCUGCAGUCCAUCAUGCGUCCACCAUUUUCGAAACUGCUCUCAAACCGCGAGGAAUCCCGAAAAAUGUUCAACAUGACAGAGUUGGAGAUUUUUCGUAGCAAUCCAAUGGUUUAUUAUACACGUCAUUCCGACAAACAGUUUAAAACCUCGAGCCAAAACGGUUUCGAAAUAGCGCGUGUAGAUUUUUCCGGUGACAUUGCAGUGUUUCGUUUGAUAGGGAUGCACUGCACUAACGUUGAACGUGCAGUUGGGAAUUGUGUGCAGAAUAACUAUUUUGCUAAUAUUAGCAAAAUAGACAGGUUGUAUAUAUAUAUAUAUAUAUAUAUAUAUAUAUAUAAAAUCUUAUCUCAUACGUUAAAAGAGACCGUAAAAAAAUAGAUGGUCAUCGUAAAAAAUAUUUUAUGUCACGUAAAAUUACAAACAUAAAAACAAAGUGUAAAUUAUACAUAAAAUGCGAUUUUUCUGGUCUUAUGAUCUAUAUUUUUAUUUUCUUAUGGCAAGUUUUCCGUAGUUAAUCAUUAUAAAUGUAUCUAUUUGCAUUUAAAAUUUAAUUUAUUUAUUAAAUGGUCGUAAAAUUACCUCGAGUGAGGAAUAAUUUAUUCUGCACCCUGGGUGAUGAAUAGAGUUUCUCUCUCUCUCUCUCUAUAUAUNNNNNNNNNNNNNNNNNNNNNNNNNNNNNNNNNNNNNNNNNNNNNNNNNNNNNNNNNNNNNNNNNNNNNNNNNNNNNNNNNNNNNNNNNNNNNNNNNNNNNNNNNNNNNNNNNNNNNNNNNNNNNNNNNNNNNNNNNNNNNNNNNNNNNNNNNNNNNNNNNNNNNNNNNNNNNNNNNNNNNNNNNNNNNNNNNNNNNNNNNNNNNNNNNNNNNNNNNNNNNNNNNNNNNNNNNNNNNNNNNNNNNNNNNNNNNNNNNNNNNNNNNNNNNNNNNNNNNNNNNNNNNNNNNNNNNNNNNNNNNNNNNNNNNAUAUAUAGAGAGAGAGAGCACCUAGGUGCCUAGGCUAACAACUGCCCUUAAGAACUUAUUCUAACACCACUACCUUAUUCUAACAACACUCCCCACCCACCAUAGCUACAAAAUAACCACGUAAAAAGGAGAACCCACCCACCUUAUCCUCUCCUCAACCAGUCCUCUCUCUCCCCUUCCCCACAACCGCACGACCUCCACCUCCUAGUGCUGCCAGCCACCUCUUCCCCGCGCUAUCGAAACAGGCCCACCAGCCCCACCCUCCCACUCGGCGACAUACUGAUGUCUACUACACAACUUUAUUCUUGUAGACUCGUGUUGGGUCUCCAAGCACAGAGUUUUGUAGGACAAUAGCAAUUUUUCCUCCAGUGGAUGACCUAAGGCUUAUCAAUCCGUGGGAGGCGUAGGAUGAAGAUGGCCUCUCUCAAACAACCCUGCAACCAAAUAAUAAAAAAUCUCUCGUGUCCCCAACACAUCAAAUACAAUGGUAAAUUGUAUAGGUGCACUAUUUCAGUGAAGAGAUGGUGAUACAAGUGUAGUAAUGAUAGUAGAUAUUGAUUUUGUAAUAGUAACAAUAAAAAACAGCAAGGUAGCAAGUAACAAAAGUGAGAACAAACGGUAUUGCAAUGCUUAAAAACAAGGCCUAGGGUCUGUACUUUCGCUAGUACAAUUUCUCAACAAUGCUAAUAUAAUUGGAUCACAUAACAAUCCCUCAACGUGCGAUAAAGAAUCACUCCAAAGUUCCCAUCUAGCGGAGAACAUAAGAAGAAAUUGUUUGUAGGGUACGAAACUACCUCAAAGUUAUUCUUUCCGAUCAAUCUUUCCAAGAGUUUGUAUUCGAUCGAUCUAUCCAAGAGUUUGUACUAAAAUAACGGAAUAACAAAUUUAUAUUCAUAAUACUCAAUCCAACACAAAGAACCUCAAAAAGUGCCCCAAGAUUUCUACCGGAGAAACAAAGAAGAGAAUGUGCAUCAACCCCUAUGCAUAGGUUACCCCAAUCUCACCUCGGGAAUCCACAAGUUGAGUGCCAAAACAUAUAUCAAGUGAAUCAAUAUGAUACCCCAUUGUCACCAAGUGUAUUCAUAUCAAGACAUAAAUCAAGUGCUCUCAAAUCCAUAAAAGUAUUCGAUCCGAUAAGACGAAAUAUCAAAAGGAAAACUUAAUUCAUCACAACAAGAUAGAGAGGGAGAAACACCAUAUGAUCCAACUAUAUAAACAAAGCUCGCAAAACAUCAAGAUCGUGCCAUCUCAAGAACAUGAGAGAGAGAGAUUAAACACAUAUGAAAGGACGUGGAUGUCGCCUAGAGGGGGGGUGAAUAGGCGCUUUAAAAUAAUUAAGGUUUAAGCUUGAACAAAUGCGGAAUAAAACUAACGUUUAAUUUGUCAAGCACAAAACCUACAAACAACUAGGCUCACCUAUGUGCACCAACAACUUAUGCUAAGCAAGAUAAACAACUAAGUGAUAGCAAGAUAUAUUACAAUAAACAAUAUGUCUAUCACAAAGUAAAGUGCAUAAGUAAAGGGUUCGGGUAAGAGAUAACCGAGGCACGGGGAGAUGAUGAUGUAUCCCGAAGUUCACACCCUUGCGGAUGCUAAUCUCCGUUGGAGCGGUGUGGAGGCACAAUGCUCCCCAAGAUGCCACUAAGGCCACCGUAAUCUCCUCACGCCCUCGCACAAUGCAAGAUGCCGUGAUUCCACUAAGGGACCCUUGAGGGCGGUCACCGAACCCGUACAAAUGGGAAACCUUGGGGGCGGUCACCGAACCCGUACACGUGGCAACCCUUGGGGGCGGUUACCCGUACCCGUACAAAUUGCUCGGGGCAAUCUCCACAACCUAAUUGGAGACCCCGACGCUUCUCGGAGCUUCACACCACAAUGAUUGAGCUCCGAGACACCACCAAGCUUCUAGGACGCCAAAGCAUCCAUGAAGAACAAUAUCUAGGGUACUAAGUACCAAAGGUANNNNNNNNNNNNNNNNNNNNNNNNNNNNNNNNNNNNNNNNNNNNNNNNNNNNNNNNNNNNNNNNNNNNNNNNNNNNNNNNNNNNNNNNNNNNNNNNNNNNNNNNNNNNNNNNNNNNNNNNNNNNNNNNNNNNNNNNNNNNNNNNNNNNNNNNNNNNNNNNNNNNNNNNNNNNNNNNNNNNNNNNNNNNNNNNNNNNNNNNNNNNNNNNNNNNNNNNNNNNNNNNNNNNNNNNNNNNNNNNNNNNNNNNNNNNNNNNNNNNNNNNNNNNNNNNNNNNNNNNNNUCACUUCCACGUAUCACCGUGGAGAACUCAAACCGAUGCAACUAAUGCAAUGGCAAGAACACACGAAGUGGUCAAGUCCCUCACACUCAAAUCCCUCCACAAAGCUAUGGAGAAAUAUGAGAGGAAGAACAAGGAGCUCACAAAGAACUCCAAGAUCUAGAUCCAAGGGGUUCCCCUCACAUAGAGGAGAAAGUGAUUGGUGGAGAUGUGGAUCUAGAUCUCCUCUCUCUUUUCCCUCAAGAACAAGCAAGAAUCAUUGGAGGGAUUGAGAGUAAGCAAGCUCUAAGAAUGUCAACAAUGGAGGUAGAACAAGAACUCAACAGAUGGAUGAGACCAAGGGGGAAGAAGACCCCCUUUAUAUAGUGGGGGAAGGAAUCACACAGUUGCCCCCACUUACAGCCCGAGCCGAGCGGUACUACCGCUGGCUCCAGCGAUACUACCGCUGACCCUCCGGCGGUACUACUGCUGGCUGCAACGAUACUACCGCUGACCCUCCUGCGGUACUACCGCUGAGCCCAUGGUAGCGCAAAGAUACUACCGGGCCAACCACCGCCAAGAAAGUCUUCGCAAAAAUGUCCGACGCAGUACAACCGCAAAGAUGACGGUACUAAAAUCUUGGAGCGGUACUACUGCUGACCAUGGGCGGUACUACCGCUGGGACAACGGUACUACCGCCAGCUCUAGCGGUACUACCGCUAGGGCCAGCGGUACUACCGCCAACUCUAGCGGUACUACCGCUAGGUCCAGCGGUACUACCGCUCGCCACUGAAACAGCCAUAACUUUCGCAUACGAGCUCUGAAUCGAGCAAACCCAAGCUUGUUGGAUUCAGGACGACAAGAGCUAUCCAAACAGCGAUGUAUAAGAUUCAGGACGAAAUCUUAAGACCAUGCAGAUAUGAAAAUGCCAGUGAUAUAGAGAUGUGAGUCCUCUGUGAUUGAAGAACCGGCAAAAACUCCAACAUCGAAAACAUCAUAGUAGAUGCAUAUGGACUCCGUUUUCGAUGAACUCGAGAUUGUCAUGAAGAUGACCAUAAACUCUAAAACUCACAAAGAGAAACACCAAACAAGAACCAAGAAGUAUGAUGCAAGGAUGCAAAUGGUUUGAGCUCUCAAUGAACGAUACGAUCAAGCUACUCACUUGAGAGCCCCCCUUGAUAGUACAACAAUCUAUCCUAAACAGAAAACCUAUCAAGGGCAAACCUAUACCUUGCACCUCGUCCUCUUGAGCUAGAUGAUGAUGAUCUUGGCUUCCUCAAGAUGGACCACCUUUCUUGAUUGCGUUGGCUUGAUGAAGACUAGUUGAUUGCUCCCCCAUACUCACUAUGGGUGAGCCACUCUUCAGCAUAUCUUCACAAGUCCAUUGCCACCACAAUGGACGGCAAGCUUCAAGCAUGAUAUCUUCGUGCUGAUCCACUUUAACAUGCAAACCGCAAUCUUGAUGACAAUCACCACUUGACGUCAUCCUUCAUGGGUUGUAUGAGAUCUUCCUCUAGACGCAAGCCCAUGGAAACACACCUAACCCCCACAUAGAACCCUCACAAAGACCAUGGGUUAGUACACAAAUACGUACUGGGCAAUGCUUACCAUACCAUGGGAUCACUUGAUCCCUCUCGGUACAUCUUGUACGCUUUGUGUGUUGAUCAUCUUGAUUUACUCUUUGUAUGACGAUCUUGAUCAACCUUGUGUCUCUAUGACCAUUCUUUGGAUAAUACCGUGAAUACCACCUUGGUCAUCAUAUAAACUCCUUGAACCCAACAGAUGGACUUCAAGAAGUGCAUAUGGACAAAUCCUAUAAAUAUAACUUAAGGCAACCAUUAGUCCAUAGGAAUUGUCAUCAAUUACCAAAACCACAUAUGGAGAUAUAUGCUGUAACAACAUAGCUAUUGGUACAAACCCACAGCCCCGAGGAUGGACUACUCCCUCCUCAUCAUUGUGGCUACCGGGAUGAUGAAGAUGGCCACCGGAGAUGAUCUCCCCCUCGGCAGGGUGCCAGAACGGGCUCCCGAUUGUUUUUUCAUGUCUAUAGAGGCUUGCGGUGGCAAACCUUAUCAUCUAGGGUUAUUUCUGGAGGUUUCUCUAUUUACAUGAAUUUUGGUCGUUGGAAUAACGCCAAGAUGGGACACGAGGUGUCCACUAGGUACCAGGCCAUGCCAGGGGGGCAGGCGCGCCCUGGUGCCUAGUGGGCAGCCUGGGCCUCUUCUGGUUAGCUUCCUUGGUCAGCUGGAUGUCUCGUGGGCAGAAAAAAUCUCCAAAAAGUUUCGUGACAUUUGGACUCCAUCUGCUAUUGAUUUUCAGCGAAGGAAAAAACAACAAUUGGCACUCGACACUAUGUCCAUUGGUUAGUCCCAAAAAAUGAUAUAAAGUUGCUAUAAAAUGAUUGCAAAACAUCCCAGAAUGAUAAUAUAACAGCAUGGAACAAUAAAAAAUUAUAGAUACGUUGGAGACGUAUCAUCAUCCCCAAGCUUAAUUCCUGCUCGUCCUCGAGUAGGUAAAUGAUAGAAACAUAAUUUUUGAUGUGGAAUGCGGACUAACAUGUUCAUCAUAUUCUUUUCUUUAUAGCAUGGACAUAUGGACUUGUAGAUGAUUCAAAGCAGUAGUCUAUAAUUUGACAUGAACGCUAGUACUCAAGCAUAUCAAGAAGAAACCAAGUCUAUCAAUAUAUCAACGCUAAAGAACGCUAUCCCUAGCCCAUCAUGCUCAAUCAUAGAUCUAUUCAUGCAACACACACACAUGUUAGCUACAUCCAAUGCUCAAGUAUGAUGAUAGUGUUCCGUAGUUGGUGCUUUAUAAGAGAAGAUAGAUACUCACAUAAAAACUAAAAAUUGCAUAGAAGUAAAUUGAUAUGCGAGAUUUGUAGAGGCGCGAGAGCUCAAAGCUUAAAUUGAGAGAUACAAUUAUUUUGGGUGAAAUGCUUUUCCUGUCAACAAAAACGACUAAGAGUUCCCAAUAUCUUCCAUGCUAAAAAAUCAUAGGCGGUUCCCAAAUUCAAAAUAAAGCUUAUUUGAUUUUCCACCAUUCUUUCACACUCCACGGCUAUCCACAUCCAUGGGUACCGUCCAUACCAACAUUUCCAAAGGAAAUUAUUAUUUGACAACAUAAAAUAAUUUUUCUUUGCAUUUCGGGACCGGGCAUCCCUAUUACCGCCAUACUCUCGUGCAAUGACAAGUGAAUAAACACUCAUCUUGAGAUUAACAUAUUUCACAUGGAAGAUACCGACCACCCCUUACCGCAUCAUGAGCGGUACAUGCACACAUAACAGAAGUUUAUUUUGAAUAUUAGAGUUGGCACAUACAAAUUUACUUAGAACGACACUGAAAUACCGCAUAUAGGUAGGUAUGAUGGAUUGAUUUGGGACAACUUUGGGUUUAGGAUUUGGAUGCACAAGCAACAUUCUGGCUUAGUACAAGUGAAGGCUAGCAAAUAGAUUGAGAAGCGCCCAACCAAGGUACGAAAACUAUCAUAAGAGAACAUUAAACAUAACUAACACGGAAUAAUGCAACACAAGUAGGAUGUAGUUUCAUAGCAUAAUUAUCGACUUCAUGUGCAUGCAUAAGGAUUCACAAACCUUAACACCAAUAUUCUUACUAAAGCAUAAUUACUCAUCAACACAAAUCACAUAUCCCUAUCUUCAUAUCAUAGAAUUAUUGCAAAGAAUCAAGUUUAACAUCCAAUGAUCUUCAUGAAUGUUUUUAUUAUACCUCCCGUGGAUAUCUAUCACUUUGGGACCAAUUUAAUUUAAAGAAAAUUGCCAUUGUUAAUAACAAGCUCUCAAACAGAUAUAAGUAGAGAACGAGAGCACAAGUUUUUCAAAAACUUUAACUCUUAAAAUAAUAUAAGUGAAGGAAGAUAGGAUUUCUUCAAAGUUUCUACUAACUCUCAAAAUAAUCUAAGUGAAUCAUGAGAGCACUUUUCUUCAAAAUAACAACACCACCCUGCCCAAAAAAUAUGGGUUAUUUACUUCUAUGCCCCACUUCGCUUAGUUUUGCUUGUUUUUCCCCACUCGCUUAGCUUUUCUCGUUUUUGCCCUACUUCGCUCUAUCCACUCUAGCAGGUGGCCAAUUUUUGGUUGCUUAUUUUGAUUUAUGCAUCUCCACUUUGGCUGGACAAGUGUGCGGAUUGUUGUUGUACCUGAUCUGAAAUACAAUGAGAAGUAUAUGCUAGACAAUGGGAUUGAGAUCAAGCAAACAAUUAAGAAAAAAGUACCCAACAAAAAGUUACCUGAAUAGUCUUCUUCCCACGCAUACCAGUGGCAUGCAACUUUCAACUACACCUAGGAUCUGGGCAGUGCACCGUCAGCUUUCAUUUCUCAUUCUUCUCAGUGCCAUAAACAUUAUUGCUCUGAAUGCAAUACAUUGUAAGUGCAUUCCGAAGUUCAGCCAUAUUUUUGUAUACUACACCUGCAUUAAGAUUAGGAUUAUUUCUGUUCCAUUCAAUCUGUGGCAUGUCUUUGCCGUCAUAUUCCUCUUCAAUCAGCAUGUCAUUGUUCUCCUUCUCCUCUUCAGAACCAGUAUCUACAAAUGGAACGAGGCCCAAUUUUCUCGGAUGAUCCACAUGUUCAGGGAACAUCUUCUCAUCUUCAUCAUCGUUGGGAGGCACGACCUCAUCGGGCAACACAUCCACGUCUACACUGGUUGUAGUGGUUUGAAUUGCACCGCUAGUAAGUUUAGAUGGGUUGGGCCUAUGAGGUGUGGGUGGAAGUUCAGAAUUAGCAAACUUUGAUUUCUCAAGAGCCGCCCCUUUCCCGAUUCCUUUGGCAAUACUUUUAUUUUCUGAACCACUCUCACUACAAUUCUACCAAAGCGGCUAGUCAUGUUCUGAGCAAACAUACAACCUAUCUGCUCGUCAUUUUGUAGUGGGAAAAAUUGCUCAUCAAGUAUUUCCCAUUAUUUCACCUGAACUGAAUCACAUUCGGACCAAGCAUAUUUCAUACACAUUGCACCCAACAAAUCUUUGAAUGUACAAAUCGUCUCCACCACUAACGGAUACCAAAACCCCUUGGACGGUUCAUCCAAACCCAUAACAGAAGUUUCCAUUCUUACCACCAAACGAUAAGCACUCUGUUUGUUCAUCCUAUACCCAUUUAACGAACGAAAAUCAACAUACUAUUGUCAAUUCUCCCCGUAUUUAAUUGCAAAAUCACACAGAUGAGAGAUUCAUUACUUACUUCUGUGGAAUCCAACUGCUAUCGGAUCCCGGAAUGACCCAGACCUCGCCACGAUCAAUGGCGGAAGAAACGCUCGCCAUUGAUGCGUCGUCGCAGCUCACCUCAAGCGGAAGUAAUAGUGAGUGGCAGGGAAGGGCGGGGCGUGGCGGCUGUGGCUGUUGCGGCAAGUGGCUGUUGCGGCGGUCAGAUCUGCAGUGUGGUGGAUUCAAAAUGGGGCACGUCGAGUAGCUGUUGUGGCGGUUAGAUCGGGAUUGGCGUGGGGUGGAUUGAAAAUGAGGCCCCACGUAGGCCCCACCCCGAGCCCCACUCAUGAGCGCGAUUAGGUGCCCCAGGCCGACCCCACUAGUCAGGCCAAGUAACGGUCAAAGGAGGUUGACCCGACAGAAACGGUCGCUUGGCUGUAUGCGAGAGUGGGAUAGAGCGAAGUAGGGCAAAAACGAGGAAAGUUAAGCGAGUGGGGCAAAAACGAGCAAAGGGAAGCGAAGCAGGGCACAUAAGUAAAUAAUCCAAAAUAUAUAAGUGAAGUACUAGAGCAAUUCAAUCAAACUACUCUCAAAAGAUAUAAGUGAAGAUCAAUGAGUAGUUAAACAAUUAAGUAGAUAUGUGAGGACUAUCCCUCAAUAAAUAUUUUCAGAUAUGAUAUUCUAUUUCAAACAGUAAUAAAACAAAAGACACUCCAAGAAUAACACAUAUCAAGUGCACAUAUAAAAAAUUAGGCUCAACAUAGGCUAACCGAUAGUUGUUGAUGUAGAAAGGUGGGAUGCGUAGCAACCCCAAACUUAGAUGCUUGAGAUUUCUUGAAAUAUUUACUUGGGGUCCCUUGGGCAUCCCCAAGAUUUAGCUUUUGUAUCUUGUUCAAUCCUCUCAUAUCCAGGUUUCACCUAAGUCUCAAAAACUUCAUCCACACAAUACUUGAAAAGAACUCGUGAGAUAGAUUAGUGCACAUAAGUAUAAAUCAACUCUUUAUGUACUGACAAGACAAGUUACGUAAUAAUUUUCACACAUUAGGUACUGUAUAACAUCAUUUCCACAAUUUACAUCUACUAAUAUAAGCUAUGAAAACAAUAGGAUAAGUAGAUAACAAACUAUGGCAGCAAUUUGUCCAAACAAUAUAGUUUGUAGCAAUGUAUGUAAAAAGUGUACUUAUAUAUCUCCAAAAAUUCUGAACAUUUAGCACGCGCUAAAUAAUUUGUAUGAAAUUACUUUGUAAUUUUUUUAAAUACUUAGCAUGUUCCAGUAAAAUCUGAUAAUCCAAAUACUAUAAUGAAAGUUUCUGUUUUUGUACAACACACAUCACACAUGCAAUUCAAGCUUUCUAAAGGAAAAUCCUGGAACUUUUUAAGAAAAAUAAAAUUAUAAAUAACAUCUAACAUAUAAGUAUAAAACAAAAUGACUCCAAGCAAAACACACAUCAUGUGAUGAAUAAAAAUAUAGCUCCAAGUAAGAUAUAUCGAUAAUGCUGGAGAUCAAAGUUGGGAUGCCUUCCGGGUCAUCCCCGAGCUUAGACGCUUGAGUCUUCCUUGGAUAUUACCUUGGGGUGCCUUGGGCAUCCCCAAGCUUAGGUUCUUCCUGCUCCUUAUUCUCCUCAUAUUGGUAUCUCACCCAAAACUUGAAAACUUCAAUCACACAAAACUUAACGGAACUUCAUGAGAUGGGUUAGUAUGAUAAAUACACAUCAUUCACUUAGGUAAUGCCAAGACAAGAUUUAUAAUUGUUCUCACAUGAUUCCUACUCUAUUAUAUCAUUCUCAUAAUUUAUAUCACUCAAUAUAAUCUAUGGAAACACUAGAACAAGCAAAUUAUGCACGCAAAACAAAAUAUGUAAAAAACAGAACAAUGUGUGAUGAUCUGGAUGAAAACCACAUUUUACUAAUACUAAAAAUUCUGAAAAAAUAGGACAACGCAUAUAAUUUGCAGAAAAACUGUUUAAAAUUUUCAUAAUUUUUUGAUGCUUCGGUAAAAUUAGAGAAAUUCUGCACUUUACGCAAAUGUUUCUGUUUUUGCACAGAAUCAAACAAGCAAGUAUCCACACUAUCCCAAAGGCUUUACCUGGCACUUUAUUGAAAUAAAAGCUAUAAAACAUGACUAAUACAAUAUCUUAAUCAUGUGAACACAGAAAAACAAAAAGUAUAAGUGUUGGGUUGUCUCCCAACAAGCGCUUUUCUUUAAUGCCUUUUAGCUAGGCAUGAUGGUUUCAAUGAUGCUCACAUGAGAAUAGUAUUCGAAAGAUGCAAGAGAACAUCAUGAAUCACAUGACAAGAACAUUUAAGUCUAACCCACUUCCUAUGCAUAGGGAUUUUGCAAGCAAACAAUUUAUUGUAGCGGUAAUAAACUUGCAUAGGAAGGCAAAACAAGCAUGACUUCAAAACAUUGAACACACAGGGAGGAAACUUGAUAUUAUUGCAAUUCCUACAAGCAUAUGUUCAUACCUCAUAAUAAUUUUUCAGUAGCAUCAUGAAGGAAUUCAAUAGUAUAACUAUCACAUAAAGCAUUAUUUUCAUGAUGCAAAAGCAUAGAAUUUUUAUUACUACCCACACGAGCAAAAUUCUUAUCAUUAAUAGUAGUGGGAGCAAACUCAACAAAACAACUAUCAUGAGAUACUUGAUUCAUAUAAUCCAUGUGAAAAUUAAAAUCAUGAUGAAAAUUUUCAUGUUUUUUAUUAGAUUCUAUAACAUACAUGUCAUCAUCAUGAUCAUCAUAGAUCGCAACUUUGUUGUCAUAGUCAACUGAAGCCUCUUCCGAAAUAGUGGAUUCAUCAUUAAAUGAAGUCAAGACCUCUCCAUAUCCACUUUUGUUAUUAUGACAGUAAGAUUUAACACCCUCAAAAUUAGUGGGAUCAUUAGUACCUAGAAUUGACACUCUUCCAAACCAACUUUCAUCAAUAUAAUCAUCAUAACUAGGAGACAUGCUAUCAUCAUUAUAAAUUUGUUCAUCAAAAUUUGGGGGACUAAAAAUAACAUCUUCAUCAAACAUAACAUCCCCAAGCUCGUGGCUUUGCAUACCAUUAGCAUCAUAGAUAUUCGCAGAAUUCAUACCAACAAUAUUUCAACCAUUCUCAUCAUUUAUGCCAAAUAUUUUAUUGAAUUCUUCUUCUAUCAAUUGAGCACAAUUUUUCCUUUCCAUAAUUUUCCACAAAGAAAUGAUAAAGAGGAACAAUUAGUGACCACCUUAAUUCCAUUUUUUGUAAUUGUAUUUUUAUAAAACAAACUAGUGAUAAAACAACAAACUAAAAGAUUCAAUUGCAAGAUCUAAAGAUAUACCUUCAAGCACUCACCUCCCCGGCAACAACACCUGAAAAAAGGUUGAUGUCUACUAUGCAACUUUAUUCGUGUAGACUCGUGUUGGGCCUCAAGCGUAGAGUUUUGUGGGACAAUAGCAAUUUUACCUCAAGUGGACGACCUAAGGUUUAUCAAUCCGUGGGAGGUGUAGGAUGAACAUGGUCUCUCUCAAACAACCCUGCAACCAAAUAAUAAAAAGUCUCUUGUGUCCCAAACACACCAAAUACAAUGGUAAAUUGUAUAGGUGCACUAGUUCGGUGAAGAGAUGGCGAUACAAGUCUAAUAAUGAUAGUAGAUAUUUAUUUUUUAAUAGGCACAAUAAAAAACAUCAAUGUAGCAAGUAACAAAAGUGAGCACAAAUGGUAUUGAAAUGCUUAAAAAUAAGGCCUAGGGUCCAUACUUUCGCUAGUGCAAUUUUUCAACAAUGCUAAUAUAUUUGGAUCACGUAACAAUCCCUCAAUGUGCCAUAAAGAAUCACUCUGAAGUUCCUAUAUAGCAGAGAACAUAAGAAUAAAUUGUUUGUAGGGAACGAAACCACCUCAAAGUUAUUCUUUUCGAUCAAUCUUUCCAAGAGUUCGUACUAAAAUAACAAGUUAUCCUUUCCGAUCGAUCUAUCCAAGAGUUCGUACUAAAAUAAUACCAUAACAAAUUCAGAUUCAUAAUACUCAAUCCAAUACAAAGAACGUCAAAGAAUGCCCCAAGAUUUCUACCAGAGAAAAAAGACGAGAACAUGCAUCAACCCCUAUGCAUAAAUUACCCCAAUGUCACCUCAGGAAUAUGCGAGUUGAGUCCCAAAACAUAUAUCAAGUGAAUCAAUAUGAUACCCCAUUGUCACCACGAGUAUUCAUAGCAAGACAUAAAUCAAGUGCUCUCAAAUCCAUAAAAGUAUUCAAUCCAAUAAAACGAAAUUUCAAAGGGAAAACUCAAUUCAUCGCAACAAGAUAGAGAUGGAGAAACACCAUAUGAUCCAACUAUAUUAACAAAGCCCACAAUACAUCAAGAUUGUGCCAUCUCAAGAACACGAGAGAGAGAGAGAGAGAGAGAGAGAGAGAUUAAACACAUAGCUACUUGAAAGGAUCGAUAUGGUUGAAUAGAAGGGGGGUGAAUAAGCAACCAAAAUUUUUAAGCUUUUAUUUAACAAAUUAAGUUUAGCAACAAAUAGGUUGUCUAGAUAUGCAACUAAGUGAGCAACUUAUAUGAUGCUAGAAACAAUAAAAACAAGUAAGUAACAAAUACAAGUAAAUGUAAGAAGUAACUACAAGUGGGACCGAUGAAGACGAGGAUGUGUUUCUGAAGUUCCUUCCCUUUGAGGGGAAGUACGUCUGCGUUGGAGUGGUGUGGAGGCACAAUGCUCCCAAGAUGCCACUAAGGCCACCAUAUUCUCCUCACGCCCUCACACAAUGCGAGGUGCCGUGAUUCCACCAGUUGUGCCCUUGAAGGCGGCGACCGAACAUUUACAAACAAGGUUGGGGAAAUCUCCACAACUGAGGUGGAGGCUCCCAACGAAACCACAAAGCUUUACCACAAUGGAAUAUGACCUGAAGGUGACCUCAACCAUCUAGGGUGCUGAAACACCCAAGAGUAACAAGAUCCACAAGGGAUUGGUGGGGGGAAUCAAAUUUCUCUUGGUGGAAGUGUAGAUAAAGGCCCUCUCAAGCAAACCCUAGAGUAUCAACAAGUUCUGUUGGCUAGGAAGAGAGAUCGGGCGAAUAUGGAGCUUGGAGAAACAAUGGAGCUUAGGGUUAGGAAAGGUGGUCUUCUUGGGGAAUAAGAACCCCCUUAUAUAGUGGGGGAACGGAUCCAACCGUUACCCACUCCCUCAUCCUACAUCAGAGUGGUACUACCGCUCGAGGGAGCGGUACUACCGAUGAUAAGAGGUAGUACUGCUCCAGUGAGGAGCGGUACUACCGCUGGGGCAGAGGGCAGCAACCAAAGAGGGAGACAGAGGCCGGUAGUACAACCUUAGCGGUAUUACUUCUGCCAGGAGAGUUACUACCGCUUAUAAGAGGUAGUACCACCUCCUAUAUCCACCCAGGAUAUGCUGCGGACCUAGUCUACAAGUACCAAGGGGUUGUGGCGCGGUAAUAACAAGCGGUACUACUGCUCGCUGUGCGAUACUACCACCCUGCACUACCGCUCAAGAAACCGCUUAGUUCGACAUAAAAAGUGUCGAGACCCACGGGUAGCGGCACUAGCCAGCAGAACUAGAUAGACCACUUCUGCCCAUGAGCGAUACUACCGCCGACCAGGGUGGUACUACCUCUAAUAAGAGGUAGUACCGCUUGGAUCUUUCUAGGCAGGAUAGGGCAAGGAAGGAUUCUCCAUUGAGGCAGGAAAGAGGGUGCGAAGGAAUGUGUACGUGAUGAUUCCACACAAACCUUUAUGAAGCAGACCCCCUCUUAAUAGUAUGACUUCUCCUACCACUCAAGUCCACCGACAACGAAACGUAAGAGAGAAAACCGUCUUCAUAUAAUACAUCGAGGGGCUUGAAUCGUCUUGUGCCAAAUGAUGAAAUACAUAGAAGGCUUAGCGCAGACGAUUAGUCCGCAAACACAUUGUCAUCAAUCACCAAAACCACUAGGGUAGAAAUAUACCCUUACAAUCUCCCCCUUUUUGGUGGAUUGAUGACAACACGGGAUUUGCACAGAAGAUAUAUAUAAGAAAGAAUGCAAACCCCACUCUCUACAAAAUAUAGAUAGGUUGCCCCUAGAUGUGUGCACUAUUUAAGGAUGCUUUUGGAAUGCAAAGUGCACACACUAGGAUCAACACACACCCUAUAUUUUAUAGACAUACACUACUUGCACUAGGGGAAAUGAAAGUAAUAUAGAUGCAAGAACUGAUGUGAGCAUUAAUACUAGGGCACAAGAUAAGCAUCUCACAAACUUAAUACAUACGAUAAAAUUAAGAUAGCACAUGUAUCACACCAUAUGACGAAGUCUCACAAGAGUCCCACACACAUAAAAAAGCAAAGAAAAUGAUAAAAGAGUUCACGAGUGAAUAAAUAUGGGCAACGAAAAGAACACUCAUGACUCUCGCAAAUCCAAACUCUGUCCCCCUUUGGCAGCAAGACACCAAAAAGGACAUAGAGAACAAAGAGGAUCCAGGAAGGGCGGUGACGUUGCAGACGAACAUCAAUAUUCUCUAGACUCAUAGCUAUGAUGAACGGUUCCAGGAAGAACAGGAGAGCUAGGCAAGUUAGCAUCGGAAUCCCAUGGGCAGUGACGAGCAAUCCACGUGUCCUCAUCAGUGAGCUUGUCCCCAGAACCGCUCUUAGUCGUUAAACCAGCAUGCCUACCAAGAGCCUUGUGACAAGUGAUCACCACCUUUUCAGCCACAUGAGCUUGGUACCGACCCUUGGCCUGCAGACAUAAGAGCUUCUUCAUCUUCUCUUUGAGCUUCUUAGUCCAAGAUGGUUCUACAUUAGGGGGCACAACACGGGAAGCAGUGUCAUCUUCAGCCACAAAAUCAUCAUCAACCUCUUCCUCAUCAGAAUCAUCCUAAUCUUCUGUCACAUCCUUCUCAAGAGCAGUGUGAGUAGCUCACUUAUCCUUGUGACAAAGCUGAACCACUUUGUGUGAUACCAGCUCCCCACACUCAAACAUAAUAUCAGGAGAAGUCGUUGUCCAAGUUUUCUCAAUCAGAAGCAUCAGAAAGGGCCCAUAGAGGGGGCACUUACGCUUAGAAACAACAGAAUGAAGCUCAGACCACGUAACAUGAGAACCAUCCAAUGGCUUCACAUUAACCUUGAACUUAUGAAAUUCGCACAAAAGGAGCAUAUCCACCAAGUAUGAGUGUAACGCAUCCAGAUUCCAACACGAGGAAAGAGAGUGUGCCUGAAAAUAUGGUGCAUAAUGUCUAGGAAUGGUUCCAACACCAAGGUGGACUUGCCGGUGGUGGAGGAGAUCUUCUCAGUACUUUACUUGUACAUGGCUUGCUUGUGGGCUGGAGCCAUCUCUAUGUGGGGGUGGAAACCAAGAGGGUUCUCGAUUCCCUUGUCCUCAAUGUCGAGAAUAUUCAUAAAAGUCUUCCAGGGAGCAAAAAGUAACCCGUGGUUUGCCAUCCAAGUCAAAGUCCUGUCCUCAUAAGUUCCCACAUGCACCGUGGCAAAGAAGACAACAAUAAUCUUGACAUCAAAAUAUUUUUGGAACUGCAUAAUGUUGAGAAUGCACAACUUUUCACAUAGAGAAAGAGAAGUCCCGAAGUACCUGGCAUUUAGCUGCAAAUAUUCAACAUCAAUGGAUUUUACAUGUGGAACAUACAGGUUAUCGCUUGUCUUCAGAAUGUCAUUAUAGACUGAUAGUUUCUUCCUGUUCCAGAAGGGAUGGUUGCGCAUAGAUGGCUCCUCGGGUUCUCCAUGGGGAUAGGCCUUGCGGGACAUCCAUAAGUCCUUAGCAUUUAGAGUUGCCAUGGAUUGGGACUUCAAGGGCCUGACAGCAGAGCGCUUCCCCUUAGACUUGGAAGCUGCCUGACUAGCACUCUCUGCUUUAACAACCCCUACGGUUGACUAGAGCUAUCCGCCUCAGAUGAACGGUAACGUUUCAUGCUUCCAUGGUUGGAGUUCGUUCUUCGCUCCUGGUGAGCAGAGAUGCCACCUCCUGAGAUCCAAAACAAAACCAGAGGAGAACACGAGGGUAAAAGAUGUGCAUAAGUCAACAAGAAACCAAGAAACGGGAGAAGAAGGUGAUGGAAUCAGGAGGAAGUAUGUGUUCUUGGAAGCCUAGAGCGGUAGUACCGCUGCCAAGAGCGGUACUACCUAUUAUGGUUAGUAGUACCGCCCAUAGGAGCGGUAGUACCACUCAAGGCAUAGAACGCGGGGUGAAAACCACCACUGGUCAGAUCCGGAACUACCGGGAUGACAAGAGCACCCAAUUCCUACUAAGAACAUCAUGUCUACUCCCUAUCCGCCUUCCUCAUCCUACUCAUGCCGCUAUUUUUGACAAAAUAGGCGAGGGAUACAUCUCGCAUUGCUCAAAACCAAGAUAGGUCAAGGAAAAUUAAACCAAAAGGAGAGAAGAACGGGGGGCAAUAUCUGUAUCCAUGGGAAGAGGAAGGGGUGGGAAUCGAUUCCACCAGUUGGAAUCGCAAAAGAGCUGUCGAAGACGGAGAUCGGUGGAGGCCAUCGGAGCCCUUGGAUCGCAUGGAGAGAGAAACCCACGAGGAGGAGUGGGGAUGAAUGGUAUGUGGUGUGGAAAAUGGCCCUGCCCGUGCCCCAUAACCCCUUGUGGAUUCACAUAAGCAGUAGUACUGCUCUAGGAGCGGUAGUACUACUGCCAGGAGAGAUACUACCUCUUAUGAUCAGUAGUACUGCUCUAAGAGCGGUAGUAAUACCCGAGACAGCCCAAAAACGUUUCCAAAAACGUGGCACAAGCAGAGAAGAACAUUCUUGUUAACCCAAAGUGGCAUGAGACUGAAACACUGCCAUGAUGAAGGUGAUACCCCAAGUUAUGAAGAAAUAAACCAGAGAGAAAUCAACUUGGGGUUACACACAAGAAAUACAACAUGCUCUCAAGAAGAAAAUGCCUCGCUUAGGAGGGGGCGGUGGCCGAAGCCACCUAUGUUUGAGUCAAUUGGUAUGGCACUGGGAAGAUUUUAAUCUUGGGCCCAAGACCAAAACUCGUCUUUUGAAGUACAAGUGUCAUCUAAAUGACUGAUGCGAAAUACUUGAUCGAUUUAUGCAUAAUAGGGGAGGGAGCAUUCAUUGAGAGAACAACACUCCACCUAAUUCCAUGCCUACACCUAAACAAGAUAGUAUGAUGAGAGUGGAGGGGUGUGCCUAACUUCAAUUCACAUUGCUAAAAUCAAUUAUAUUCAGCUCAUGCCUUAACUUGCGAAAUCUUGCUUCAUUCAAUAGGUUCGUGAAAAUGUAUGCAAGUUGUUCAUUAGUGUUAAGGUAAAUGAGAUCAAUUUCCCCACGCUUGAUUUGAUCCCGAAUGAAACGGUGACGAAUACUAAUGUGCUUCGUCUUGCAAUGUUGAACUGGGUUGUUGGAGAUCGAGAUAGCACUUACAUUGUCACAAUAAAGAGGCACUUUGUCACAAGUGACACCGUAAUCCUUUGAAGUUUGCCUCACCCAUAUGAACUGAGCACAUCAACUUACAACAGCUACAUACUUUGAAGACCAACUUAACAGAGAGCGACCAAGGAAUUGGAAACUUCCGGAAGUUGACUUCCUCUCCACACGGUCUCCCGCCCAAUCCGAGUCGGAAUGUCCUAUGAGACCAAAUGAAGCACCUUUGGGAUACCAUAAGCUAAAGUUUGGGGUAUGAGCCAAAUAUCAAAAUAUUUGCUUGACCGCCACAUACUGGCUUUCCUUAGGUGCGGAUUGAAAACAAGCACAAAUUCCCACACUCAACAUAAUAUCCGGUCUAGAUGCACAAAGGUAAAGCAAAGAGCCAAUCAUAGAGCGAUAUACAUUUAGAUCCACAACUUUACCAUUGGGAUCGAGGUCAAGAUGGCAGUUGAGAGGCAUGGGAGUGUGUCGGUGACAGGACACCUAUGGGGGGCUCAACGAUCCCCUUUUGCUGGUUUGGCGGGGAGAGGGGUCGCGGCAAGAGCGUAACCAACACUCAGGGCCCAGCAAGAUCAGUUUUACCCAGGUCCAGGCCGCGUUGUGCAUAAAACCCUACUCCUCCAUGUGUAUAGUUAUUUGUAUUAGUUUACUGUAGAUCCGUCCCUCUUACAGCCUUUCGAUUGGUCAAAAAGCCAAAAGUCCUUUCUACUGAGCCUCGGGCGUCCUUUUAUAGGCGAAGGGGUCACCAUAGUGGCUCAGUGGGUGAAUGGUGGGUUCACGAGUGGAACAGUGCCGACCGCCCGCCACAGUGUUACUGUGGUGCAUUAAAUGCUUCGACAGACUUCCUGACCUUGUUAGGGGGUUUGACACGUACCCACACGUGGCAACUUCGGGGUGUUGCGCUGGUGUGUGGGCGGACACAUGGUCCAUGCAUCAGCGGUGGCGUGUUUGUCGGUGGAGGCGUUCUCAGGACGCGAAGGCGCCCUGGGUCCACGCCUCUCUUCGGGCCUUCUUUUCCUCCCCUGCAUGGUCACCUUCUGUGGAGAGGGGUGCCGGUGUCCGCGCACUAGUCCGGGGCACUGGAGACCCCGGUCUUUAGUGCACCGACAGGAGCCCCCGAGCCUGGUCCACACACGCAUGUGGGGCGUUGUUGGGCGAGGCCCAAAGCGGUGCGCGGACUUGCGGGCGCCGAGCUUAUCGGAAUUGAGCCAUUGCAGGCUUUCUUUCCCCACGUUGCGCAUUGAACGCACGAAGUGGGAAGGUGCACGGCGUGCGCGUGAUGGCCCCUUUAUUCCCCCAAAACGAUUCCGCCACGCAUUGGACAUGCGCAACGACGGUCGGGCAAGUGGAUAUCAUGGCCUCAAAAGCUGCGGGCAUGGAUGGGCCCGCCCGUGCAUGCAUUGGUGCAUCAGGGCGGUUCCAUGUUCCGCUCGUGACUUGAGGGCGAUUGGGCGAGAGGGGCGACGACUUCUCGAGCGAGGAGGGUGGCCUCCGAGCUUUGCCCUAUAAAUUAGUGUGAUUGCGCGGAGGUUUUGCCCAUACAUCUCAUUCUCAAAACCUUCAGCGCCUGUCGCCUUGUCUCUCUUGCUUAUUUUCAUCUUUGUCGGUGGCACCCGCCCCUAACCAUGGUUAGGGGAUAGGGCCGUCCUCCGUUGGCCGCCAGGGCAGCAAGGGGAUCCCGUUCAGAUCAUGCGACAACUUAUGGGGCUGCAGCCAGUGGCAGCCCUGUCGAACGUGGAGGGAGAGGCUCGAGGGGACGAGGAUGCUUAUGAAGUGGUCGAGGGAGGCGGAGCCCUGCCUCGAUCUCCCUCCUCGUGCCCUCUUCUUCGGGUUGCCACUCAGAGGCGACACCAUUCGAGUUCAUCGUGGAGCUUCGUGGCCCCCUUCGGGGUCACUUGCAUCUCCCUCGUUGCCUCGCCAUGGUGAUGGAGUUCGAACGACCUCCCGUCUUCUGGCUACGAGCACACAAAUUCUCUCAUGGCGCCAUGCAGGUGCACGCGGAGUAUCCGAAGCCCCAUUCCAUGCUACCUGGGCGCAGCUGGAAAGCCUUCGCCCACGCUCAUGGACUCGAGGACGGCUACGCCCUCCGUUUUAAGCUGACGGAGGCCCGUAUGCUCGUCGUCAAGUUCUACGGGCGCUCCGGUGUGCGUCUCGGCUGCUGCAAAGAAGGCUCGAGCGGCAUCGAAUGCUCCGCUUCGAGCGACAACAACGGGGAGGGCGGUAGCAGUGACGGUGCUGGGCCUAGUCUUAAGCAUGGGGGAAUCGAACCGGAGGAUGAUUCCCCCGGCUAGGACCGAGUGCUUCCUGCACUAGCGCGGCCGGAUCACGCCCCUCGCCCUCCUUGGAGGGGGGAUCUCAACCGGAUCCGUCGUCCCUUCCCGCGCCUUGACGAGGCCAAACCCGCUCCCGUCGGUACAACGCUGGUCCCGGAGGAGCCAACAUGGAUGUACCGCAGGCCUUGUCGCGUCUUGUCUUCAUGAACUCUAAUUCCUCCGCGUGGGUCGAUCCUCGUUUUAAAAGACAAAGUCUUUAGGUUAGGACAACAACGCAUUGUAAGUGCAAUCAAAUGUAUCUAGACGAAUGAAUGAAUAGAUGCAUCCUUUAUUUGACUCUCAUCUUGUAUGAUUAUUCUCUUGUACUUUCCACAUGCUUGCUGGCUUGAAUUAUCCUGCCGCGAGUACUUAGAGGAGCGGAUCCUCAGAAAACUCAACAGAGGAGGUCGUCACCGGCAAGACUCUUUGCCGCACUCAGUGCAACCAUGUAAAUCAUCGAGCGCGGCUCGAGGUGAAGUACGGUGCUACGAAGCCGCCGAAAACAUUGAACGAGUUCUAAACAAGAUGAGGGCGCUCUGUGGCCGGUCAAGUCGUUGAAUAGGAUAAAAACAAAGUCUGAGUGCACUGAUCUUAGCAAGGUCCAUCUACACGCGAGAUUUUCAUACAAAAGUCGAAACUUCGAAAGGAUACAACUAGUCUAUCCAGAGUCUAGCAAGAGGUUUGCCUUUGUACUUAUCUUGCGCGUCGCGGCAUUCUUAGCCGCAGCGUGUGAAGGUGCUGCCGGGGAGGAAUAUCUUGCACCACUGGCAAGAUCACGUUGCCCCCCAGCGGCCUCCUUGCUGACGAGGUUUUUGCCGGUGGCUUUUGGCCAGACUGAAGGAAAGAGGCGCGCCGGGGAGCAACACUUUCUCAUCUCUUUUGCAAGAGGUUUGCUGGCGGAGCCUCGGAGCGCAUCUUUCUGGCGUCACGGCGCUCCAAGGAGAAAUGCGAGCCAGAGGGUGCGUAAAGGGGCGGUUCGGGGCCUCAGACGCGUCCUCGACGACUAUGCAGCACUCCGGAGAUGUGCGAUGGCCGGAGUAAGCGUCGGAGGCCUCGCAGAAGCUCCUUGUCACGCCCUCGACAGCAGCGCGAGCAUUCCAAGGAGGUGUAUCAGCCGGGCUAUGCAGAGCUCGGGGCUUCCGCUCCUUCCACCGGCGCUUGCAUAACACCCAUGGAGGUGCUAUGUGCUCUCGCGCGCAAGCAGAGCAGCCACUGCCUCCUCUCGCUCCGGGAGGACGCUGCAGCGAAUUGAGAUCCAUUGAGCCGUCGAACGGCUCGUCGGAUCGGGACGGCACUGACGCCGGCCUGCUUCCGGCGAUCCCCCUACCUGGCGCGCCAAGGAUGUCGGUGAAAGGAUUGACACAUAUGGGGGCCUCGACGGUCCCCUUUUGCUUGUUUGGCAGGGUGAGGGGUCGCGGCAAGAGCAGAACCAAUAGUCAGGGCCCGACUAGAUCAUUUUUACCGAGGUUCAGGCCGCGUUGUGCAUAAAACCCUACUCCUGCAUGUGUUUAGUUAUUUGUUUUAGUUUACUGUAGAUCUGUCCCUCUUACAGCCUUUCGAUUGGUCAAAAAGCCAAAAGUCCUUUCUACCGAGCCUCGGGCCUCCUUUUAUAGGCCAAGGGGUCACCACAGUGGCUCAGUGGGUGAACGGUGGGUUCACGAGUGGAACAAUGCCGACCGCCCGCCACAGUGUUACUGCGGUGCAUUAAAUGCUUCGACAGACUUCCUGACCUUGUCAGGGGGGUUGGACAGUGCUGCCUCUUGAGCUUGCGUUGGUUUUUCCAUUGAAGAGGAAAGGGUGAUGCAGCACAGGAGCAGUAAGUAUUUCCCUCAGUGUGAGAACCAAGGUAUCAAUCCAGUAGGAGAAUCGAGGUCAAGUCCAGAGUACCUGCGCAAACACAAAAGAGCUUGCACCCAACGCUAUAAAGGGGUUGUCAAUCCCUUCAAGAUUGAUUGCAAAGUGAGAUCUGAAGGCGGAAAGUGCAAUGAAGUAAAAGUAUAAGGCUGAAAAUAUGGUGUGAAGUAGACCCCGGGGCCAUAGUGUUCACUAGAGGCUUCUCUCAAAAUAGCAAAUAAUACGGUGGGUGAACAAAUUACUGUCGAGCAAUUGAUAGAACCGCGCAAAGUCAUCACGAUAUCUAAGGCAAUGAUCAUACAUAUAGGCAUCACGUCCGAGACAAGUAGACUGAUACUUUCUGCAUCUACUACUAUUACUCCACACAUCGACCGCUAUCCAGCAUGCAUCUAGUGUAUUAAGUUCAUGACGAACAGAGUAACGCCUUAAGCAAGAUGACAUGAUGUAGAGGGAUAAACUCAAACCAAUGAUGAAAACCCAACCUUUUUACCCUUGAUGGAAACAACAUGAUGCGUGCCUCGUUGCCCCUUCUGUCACUAGGAGAGGUCACCACACGGUAUGAACCCAAAACCAAGCACUUCUCACAUUGCAAGAAUCAUAGAUCAAGUUGGCCAAACAAAACCCACAACUCGAAGAGAAUUACAAGGAUAUGAAAUCAUGCAUAUAAGAGAUCAGAAGAAACUCAAAUAAGAUUCAUAGAUAAUCUGAUCAUAAAUCCACAAUUCAUCGGAUCUCGACAAACACACCGUAAAGAAGAUUACAUCAGAUAGAUUUCCAUGAAGAUCAUGGAGAACUUUGCAUUGAAGAUCCAAGAGAGAGCAGAAGCCAUCUAGCUACUAGCUAUGGACUCAAAGGUCUAUGGUGAACUACUCACGCAUCAUCUGAGAGGUCAUGGUGUUGAUGAAGAAGCCCUCCGUAUCCGAAUCCCCCUCCGACAGGGCACCAAAACGUGCCCCAGAUGGGAUCUUGCGGAGAUAGAAGCUUGCGGCGGCGGAAAAGUAUUUUCGUGGAUCUCUCUCACAGUUUUGGAAUUUUUCUGAAUUUAUAGGCGGAAGAGGUAGGGCAGACGAGCCACACGGGGACCACAAGCCUGCUAGGCGCGGGGCCCCCCGGCCGCGCCUAGGGGGCCUGUGGGGUCCCCUGGUGGCCCCUGCCUUGGUUCUCAAGUCUCGUGCGUAUCUUCUGUUCCGGAAAAAAAUAUUUUGGAAGUUUUAUUCCGUUUGGACACCGUUUAAAAUCCUCCUCUGAAAAGGGUCAAAAACACGGAAAAAACAAGAACUGGCACCUGACACUGAGUUAAUAAGUUAGUCCCAAAAAAGAUAUAAAAGACAUACAAAACAUUCGAAGUUUGACAAGAUAAUAUCAUGGAACCAUCAAAAAUUAUAGAUACGUUGGAGACGUAUCAAGCACCCCCAAACUUAACUCCUGCUCGUCCUCGAGUAGGGAAGUGAUAAAGACUGAAUUUUCGAUGUGGAAUGCUACCUAGCAUAGUUGUUCUUUGUAACUUAUUUCAUGUGCCAUGAAUGUUCAGAUCCGUAAGAUUGAAAACAAUAGUUUGCUAUUGACAUGAAAACAAUAAUACUUCAAGCAAACUAGCAAGGUAAUCAUGAACUUUCGAAAUAACAAGGCCAAAGAAAGUUAUGCCUACAAAAUCAUAUAGUCUGGCUAUGCUCCAUCAUCCUCACAGAACUAAUUUAAAUCAUGCACAACCCCGGUAUUGGCCAAGUAAUUGUUUUUGCACUCUUACUUUCUCAAACCUUUUACAACUAUCACGCAAUACAUGAGCGUGAGCCAUGGAUAUAGCACUAUAGGUGGAAUAGAGUGUGGUGGUGGUUGUGAGACAAAAAAGGAGGAGAUGGUCACAUUGACUCGGCGUAUCAAAGGGCUAUGGAGAAGCCCAUUAAUAGAUAUCAAUGUGAAUGAGUAGGGAUUGCCAUACAAAGGAUGCACUAGAGCUAUAAGUAUGUGAAAGCUCAAAAGGAGAACUAGUGGGUGUGCAUCCAACUUGCUUGCUCACGAAGACCUAGGGAAAUUUGAGGAAGCCCAUCAUUGGAAUAUACAAGCCAAGUUAUAAAAUAAAGAUUCCCACUAGUAUAUGGUGGUGACAAAACAAGAGACUCUCAAUCAUGAAGAACAUGGUGCUAUUAUGAAGCACAAGUGUGGAAAAGAUAGUAGCAUUGUCCCUUCUCUCUUUUUCUCUCUUUUUUUAUUUGAGCUCUUUGGCCUCUUUUUUUCUCUUUUUUUUAUGUGGGCAACUUUGGCCUCUUUUUUUUAUUUCCUCACAUGGGACAAUGCUCUAAUAAUGAUGAUCAUCACACUUCUAUUUACUCACAGCUCAAAGCUUAGAACGAUCAUGACUCUAUAGGAAAUGCCUCCGACAGUGUACCGGGAUGUGCAACGAUCUAGCUUGGCGUAUGACAUUGAAAUAUCUCGCUAGCUAUCUUACGAUCAUGCAAUGGCAAUAUGAGAGUGACGACACAAGUCAUGAGAUGGAACGGUGGGAGUUGCAUGGCAAUAUAUCUCGGAAUGGCUAUGAAAAUGCCAUAGUAGGUAGGUAUGGUGGCUGUUUUGAGGAAGGCAUAUGGUGGGUUUGUGCACCGGCGAAAAUUGCGCGGUACUAGAGAGGCUAGCAAUGGUGGAAGGUGAAAGUGCAUCUAUACCAUGGACUCACAUUAGUCAUGAAGAACUCACAUACUUGUUGCGAAAGUUUUUAUUAGUAAUCGAAACAAAGUGCUAAACGCAUACUCCUAGGGGAAGGGUUGGUAGGUGUUAACCAUCGCGCGAUCCCGACUGCAACACAAAGGAUGACAAUCAAUAGAUCAAUUAUGCUCCGACUUCCUAACAUAGCAGUUCACCAUACAUGCAUGUUACGGGAAUCACUAACUUGAACACAAGUAUUUCUAGAUUCACAACACCCUACUAACAUAACUCUUAAUAUUACCGAGUCCACGUCUCAAAACUAAUUGAGAGGAAUCAAACUUCUCUUUCUACUCAAUGCUCAUGAAGAUGGAAGUUUUUGUAUCCUCUUUGGGUACCUAUCACCUUUGGGACUAUUUUCAUGGCACAAACCAACUACCAAAUCACGCACCGCCAUGCUCUAAAAGAUCUAAGUGAAGCACAGAGAGCAAAAAUUAUCUAGCUCAAAAGAUAUAAGUGAAGCACGAUGAGCAUUCUAGCAAAUUCACGAUGAGUGCAUGUAUGUCUCAAAAGGUGUGCAACAAGGAUGAUUGUGACACAACAAAAAGAAAAGACUCCUACGAUACAAGACGCUCCAAGCAGAACACAUAUCAUGUGGUGAAUAAAAAUAUAGCUCCAUGUAAUGUUACCGAUGGAUUGAAGACGAAAGAGGGGAUGCCUCCCGGGGCAUCCCCAAGCUUAGGCUUUUUGGUGUCCUUGAAUUUGUCUUGGGAUUCCUUGGGCAUCCCCAAGCUUGAGCUCUUUCCACUCUUUAUCCCUUUGUCCAUGAGAACAUCACCCAAAACUUGAAAACUUCACAACACAAAACUUAAACAGAAACUCAUGAUAUCAUUAGCACAAGAAAACAAACUACCACCUCUUUAGGUACUUUAGCAAUCUUGAUUUCUAUUUAUCUUGGUGUUAGAUUACCGUAUUCUCACUUUUCCAUGGCUAGUACCCCCCGAUACUAUCCAUAGUUUCAUCAAAACAAGCAACCAACACAACAAAAACAGAAUCUGUCAAAAACAGACCAGUGUGUAGGAAUUUGUAUACUUAGUAUACUUCUGGUACCUCAAAAAUUCUGAACAAUUACGAUUGCCUGGGAAAAAGGAAUAUCAACCAGAAGAAAAAAGAAUAAACUCAAAAUCUCUUUCUUAAUAAAAAUGAAAAAUAAUCUCGUGAGCGAAAAGUUUCUGUCUUUUUCCAGCAGGAUCAAACAACCAUCACCAAGACUAGUCAUAAAGGUUUUGCUUGGCUCAAACACAAAAAGAAACACAAAAGUCACAAUCAUAACAUAAUUAUGAUGGUGUGUAUGCAACAAAACAGAAAUAAAAAGAUAAAUUCAUUGGGUUGCCUCCCAACAAGCGCUAUUGUUUAACGCCCUUAGCUAGGCAUAAGGCGAUAGAAUCGUGUAUCGUCGUCUUUGGUGCUCAAACCAUAAGUAGCCCUCAUCAUAGAUUCAUAAGAAAAUCUUAUUUUUCUAGGAAAAUCCUCCAUGCCCUUUGAUACGUCUCCAACGUAUCUACUUUUCCAAACUCUUUUGCCCUUGUUUUGGACUAUAAUUUGCAUGAUUUGAAUGGAACUAACCUGGACUGACGCUGUUAUCAGCAGAAUUGCCUUGGUGUUAUUUUUGUGCAGAAAUCAAAGUUCUCCAAACGUCCUGAAAAUUUACGGGGAGCAGUUUUGGAAAAUAUCAAAAAUAUCUGCGCCAAGUUCCACCUCAAGGGGUGGGCCAGUGGGCCACCACCCCCUCGUGGCGGUGGGCAGGCUUGUGGGGCCCAUAGGCACCUGCCGCCCCCAACUCCAGCUCUAUAAGUUGUCUUUCAUCUGAGAAAAAAAUAAAAAUAGAAGUUUUCGUCGCGUUUUCGAUACGGAGGCACCGCCACCUCCUGUUCUUCAUCUGGAGGGCAGAUGUGGAGUCCGUCUUGGGCUCCGGAGAGGGGAAAUCGUCGCCAUCGUCAUCAUCAACCUUCUUCCCUCUCCAAUUCCAUGAAGCUCUUCGUCGUUUGUGAGUAAUCUAUUCGUAGGCUCGCUGGGCGGUGAUGAGUAGAAUGAGAUCUAUCAUGUAAUCGAGUUAGUUUUGAUGGGGAUUGAUCCCUAGUAUCCACUAUGUUAUGAGAUUUGAUGUUGCUACUACUUUGCCAUGCUUAAUGCUUGUCACUAGGGCCCGAGUGCCAUGAUUUCAGAUCUGAAAUUAUUAUGUUGUCACCAAUAUAUGUGUGUUUCAGAUCCGAUCUUGCAAGUUGUAGUUACCUACUAUGUGUUAUGAUCCGGCUACCCCGGAGUGACAAUAACCGGAACCACUCCCGGUGAUGACCAUAGUUUGAGGAGUUCAUGUGUUCACCAAGUGCUAAUGCGUUGGUCCAGUUCUUUAUUAAAAGGAGAACCUUAAUAUUCCGUAGUUUCCUUUUGGACCCUGCUGCCACGGGAGGGAUGGACAAUAGAUGUCAUUUAAGUUCUUUUCCCUAAGCACGUAUGACGACACACGGAGUGGAUGCCUACAUCACAUUGACGAAUGGGAGCUAGCCACAUAUCUCUCCGUGUUAUAGGUGUUGCAUGAUGAAUAUCAUCCAAACAAAUCACCGACCCAUUGCCUACGAGUUUGUCCUACUGUUGCUACUGCUGUUAUUUGUCUUGCUCUGCUGCUGCUACUACUACUAUUGCUACUGGUGUUACUUGUUUUGCUCUGAUGCUACUGUUGCUACUACUGUCGCUUGCUACUGUUGCUACUUGCUAUUGCUGUCACUACUACUGUUCCUUGCCACUCCUAUUGCUCGCUUCACUGCCGUUACUCGCUACUUUGCUGUUACUACUGUGCUUGCAGAUACUAAUCUUUCAGGUCUGGUUGAAUCUAACAAAUUCAGCUACUAAUACUUGAGAGUAUACUCUCACCUCCUGACGGGCUUAUCAACAAAUUGGGUCGAAUACUCUACCCUCGAAAACUACUGCGAACCCACGCGCUGGUGGGCCAUCAACAACAUUCUUCCAGUUUCAUUGCCGGGGAGUGCUAGUAGCAUUCUUCUGGUGCCGUUGCAGGAGAAGGUUCGUUGUCAUAAGCAUUCGUCUAGCUAACGGCAGAGUUUGCAGGAUCAGCCCUUUUCUGGAGACAUUGCCAGGGAAGCACAGCUGACGUCAGCAUUUUUCUGGCGCCGUUGCCGGGGAGGUAUUUCUAUAUUCUCUGAGUUACUUGGGAUUUAUAUCUGCUGAUCACUAUGAAGAAUCUGAAGGAUCCGAAGACCAAAGUCUCGCCCUCAACUACGAGGGGAGGUAAGGAAUUGCCAUCUACCUCUGCACUUGAUUCACCUUCAGUUAUGAGUAAGUUUGCGACUUCACCUCCUGCUCGAAAUAUUGAUAUGUCGCCUGUGCUUGAUGAUGCUUGUGAUACUACUGCUAGAGAUGCUAUGGCUGAUACUACUGCUAGAGAUGCUAUGCUUGAUACUACUGCUAGAGAUGUUAUGCUUGAUACUAUGCGAGAUACUGCUAGACAUGCUAUGCCUGAUACUGCUAGAGAUGCUAUGCUUGAUACUGCUUUGCCUGAUGAUGCUAGAGAUGCUAUUUUGCCUGAUGAUGCUAUGCUUGAUACUGCUAGAGAUGCUCCUUUUCCUGCUCCACUAGGAGUGUUCCUUGAUGCUCAUAUUGCUAGAGUUACUGCCAAUGCUCGUGAUGCUUCUGAAAUUACCGAUACUAUUGAGAUAGAACCUGCUUUUGCUCCUGCUAGAUCUAGCUCUCCUAGAUAUGAAUUGCCUGAUAUACCUGAGGGUUACGUUAUGGAGGAAGAGAUAGCUGAGGACUUUCUUGCGUGUAAGGAUGCCUAUGACGCUGAGAAAUUAAUUCUCAAGUGGAAGGAAAAAUCUCGGGAAGUUAGGAUGAAAAAUGAUCCGAAGUUUGCCACGUCGCCUAUCUUUGUCACCGAUAAGGAUUAUGAAUUCUCUGUCGACCCUGAGAUAAUCUCUCUAGUUGAAUCUGAUCCUUUUCACGGUUAUCAGUCUGAGACGGUCAUAACCCAUCUUGCCAAACUAUCCGAAAUAGCCAACCUUUUCACUAAUGAGGAGAAGAUCCGCCACUACUAUAUCCUUAAGCUGUUUCCUUUUUAUCUAAAGGAUGAUGCUAAAGCCUGGUUCACCUCUCUUGCUCCUGGAUGUGUGCGUAGUCCCCAGGAGAUGGUCUAUUACUUCUGUGAGAAAUAUUUCCCUGCCCAUAAGAAGCAAGCUGCCUUGCAGGAAAUAUACAACUUUUCUCAAGUCCAAGAAGAGAGUCUUCCACAAGCUUGGGGGAGGCUCGUCCAGCUACAUAAUUCUUUGCCUGAUCACCCUCUCAAGAAGAACGAGAUACUUGAUAUCCUCUAUAACGGACUUACCGAUGCCUCUAGAGACUACCUAGAUAGUUGUGCCGGUUGUGUUUUUAGGGAACGAACUGUAGAACAAGCUGAGACUCUACUGAAUAACCUCUUGAUCAACGAUAAUGCUUGGACUAUUCCCGAACCACCUCCUAAGACAACUCCGAAGAAAAGAGGUAUUCUAUUCCUCAGUCCCGAAGAUAUGCAAGAAGGCAAGAAAUCUAUGCAAGAGAAAGGCAUUAGAUCUGAAGAUGUCAAAAAUCUACCACCUAUCGAAGAGAUCCAUGGUCUCGAUAACCCGAUACAGGUAGUAGAAGUGAAUUCUCUACGUAGGUUUGACGAGAGUGAUAUUCCUUUUGAUAAACCUGCUAGCCUAUGCUUUGAUGAAUUUGACAACUUUGUUGCCAAACAACAGAGUUUCAAUGAUUAUGUUAGCAGACAUUUGGAACAAAGUACUCGUAUGCUUAGCCAUUUAAGUGCUUGUGUAGACAGAAAUGUCAAUGCUUUGAAGCUCCUGAGUAAACAUGCCUCUAUGAUUACUACUCAGGUAGAACAACUCUGUCAGAGUCAUUACUAGAGGAGGCAAAAUGACUCAGUAACCUUUGUAUCCUGAAGGUCAUCCUAAGAGAAUUGAUCAAGAUUCUCAAGGAACCAAUGCUGAUACACCUAGUCAUCCUAAGGAGAAGAAGAAGGAUGAUAGAAACCUGCACGCCAGUUCACCAAAUCUAUCACACCUGAAGAACCUAAUGAUAUUUCUGCGUCUGAUGCAGAAACACAAUCAGGUGAUGAACAUGAACCUGAUGACAAUGUGGACAGUGAUGUUCAUAAUAAUGCUCAACCUAGCCAUGAUGAGGAUGUGGAGAUUGAACCUACGGUUAAUCCUGAUAAUCCACAACCUAAGAGAUACGACAAGAAUGACUUUACAGCUAGGAAGCAUGGUAAAGAAAGAGAGCCAUGGGUUUAGAGACCUAUGCCCUUUCCUCCUAAGCCAUCCAAGAAAAAGGAUGAUGAGGAUUUUGAGCGCUUCGUUGAGAUGAUAAGACCCGUCUUUCUGCAUAUGCAAUUAACUGAUAUGCUCAAGAUGUCUUCGUAUGCCAAGUACAUGAAAGAUAUCGUGACUAAUAAACGGAAGAUACCAGAUCUUGAGAUCUCCACCAUGCUUGCCAAUUACACUUUCAAAGGUGGAACUCCUAAGAAACUUGGUGAUCCCGGAGUGCCCACUAUACCUUGCUCCAUUAAAGGAAACUACGUGAGAACUGCCUUAUGUGACCUUGGAGCCGGUGUUAGUGUUAUGCCACUCUCUCUUUAUUGUAGACUUGAGUUGGAUAAGUUGACACCCACUGAAAUUUCUCUGCAAAUGGCCAAAAAAUCAACUGCUUUCCCUAUCGGCAUUUGCGAGGAUGUGCCUGUUGUGGUUGCUAAUACCACUAUCUUAACAGACUUUGUUAUCUUGGAUAUUCCCGAGGACGAUGCCAUGGCUAUCAUCCUCGGAAGACCCUUUUUAAACACUGCAGGGGAUGUUAUAGAUUGCAACAAAGGCAAUGUCACUUUCCACGUCAACGGUAAUGAGCACACAGUGCACUUUUCAAAGAAACGAUAUCGAGUACAUUGCAUCAAUGCUAUUGAAAAGACUUCAUCGAUUCUUAUUGGGAGCUUUUAAUGCCCUAUUCCUCGUGUCAAGAUGAAGUAUGAUUUGCUUGUUGGGGAGAUUCAUAUCCCCAUUGAGGUGACUUAGUGGCUAUUCGAAAAUUCUCCGUUCUCUCUUGCGAUUCGAGAAGGUUUUGUCAUAAGGACUUGAUCAACCCCAUUGACGAAUUUCUUCCGAUGACCAUGAAACGGAUGAAUCAGAGAGUCACAUACCUCUGUUUUGAGUCUUCAUUUUCUGUUGCUUAGAAGAAAAAUGAUAGAAUUAGUUUAGCUUUUCCUGUUUUCUGUUCUAGCGUCCCGAAGAAAAAUACCUCGAAAAUAAAAGUUCUCCGAUGGUCUUGAAAAUUUAGUAUGAUUUUUUCUGGAAUUUUUGAAAAUUUCUGGGCCUGAGAGCUGGUCAGGGGGCCUGACCAGUGGGCCACAAGCCCCCCCCAACCGCUACCUACCCCUGGUGGCGGGGUGCAAGCUUGUGGGGCUCACAUGCAUCCCCUCCACUCAUUCCAGCUCCCAGCCUCUUCUUCCACCUCCAGAAAAAUUGUUUCGCAGCUCAAACCUGUGUUCUUGCUCAUUUGGAUGUGAUUUUCGAUUUCCUUGCUCAAAGCACCAUUCUCCGAACCGUUUUGGGGAACUUACUCCUUGGUAAGUGACUCCUCCAUUGGUCCAAUUAGUUUUUGCUCUAGUGCUUUAUCCUUUGCGAAUUCUUGCUACCUUGGUGACCCUGUUCUUGAGCUAGAAAAGUUGAUUUUAGCUGGCACCAAGUAGUUUUAGCACAUGAUACAGUCUCUAGGCACUAGUAGGAGUAGUUGCUACAAGUUGGGUUAACCCUUAUUCACUUUUCUUUCGAAGUCUCUAAAAAUUUCAGAAUUUUUCAGAGCUAGAAAAAGGAAGAGAUGAGGAGGUUCUUGAGAGGCUCUUCAAGCCGUAACCACAAGGAGGAUGAGAAGAAUCACCCCAAGUACAUAGUCCCUCGAGUCACAGAAGUUCGAGCGUGCGAGUUUCCAAGUGAUGAAUUUUUGCGCGCCACCGGACUUUAUGAAGACUUGUAUUACUUGGUGGAGAACGCAGGUCUUACUGCGUUCGUUGAAGAUAAGUGCCCACAAUAUCUCCUCUUCACCAAUAUUUUCGUUCAAAGCUUGAACUUUUAUCCGUGGAAGAAUCCUCCCAUGGUUGAGUUCAUGAUAUACGAUGUUCCCCAGUGCAUGAGGCUGCAGGAUUUUUGCAAUGUAUGCAAAUUACCUUAUGUUGGGGAUAUCCGUGACCCUCGUCCACGGGACUUGGAGGAUUUCAUUGGUUCUAUUGCUGUUGGAGAGGAGAGAGGAGUGUCUCACGCUAGAAUUGCUAGCAUACAUUUUCCUGUGCUUCGGUACUUCUCACUAUUUGUGGGAAAAUGUUUGAUUGGCCAUGGGGAGGCUGGAUCACUUAGUUCUCCAGACCUUGCGGUUUUGCAUGAAGGCCUUUAUAACAACAAGACUUAUAGCUUGGGCGCUAUAGUAGCUCAACGGUUGAACCUGAACCGUUCUAAAGGUGUUGUCUAUGGAGGUAUCUAUGCUACCCGUCUUGCCAAACACUUUGAGAUACCGAUUAGACUGGGAGAGGAAGGAGAGAUGCUUCUCCCUGAGAGAUAUCUGGAUUAUGGCAGCAUGGUUCGCCAUGAUUUUCUGGAUAGAGAUGCUUGUAGACGGAUGAUUUAUAACCUGGUGUUUAGUCAGGGUACUCGAGAGACUAUUACUUUGCCUGCUCCUUCUUUGUUUGAUCUUCAUGCAGGCAGGUACACUAUUAUGCCCGCAGACAUCUAUGCAUAUUGGGGCUUGGCCCAACCACAGGCGCACGUGCCCGAGCCGCCAGUCGAGUACUAGACGCCAGUUUAUCAGUGGGAGCCAGAGGAGCUCACACAGCAGUGGCAUCCACAGUCUGCUCCGGAGUAUCCUGGAGCUGGUUAUUUCCCACCUUGGGAGUAGACCAAGCUAGGCCAAAAGCCUAAGCUUGGGGGAGUACGUGUUCUCACCGACUUUACUUUCAUGCUUAUGCUCUCACUUUGUUAUCCGGUGUUUACACUUUGCCACUUUAUUAUCCAUGCUAGUUUCUUUUCGUUUUCUUGUUUUCUUGUUUUGUGUCCUUUUGAGAAAACCCAAAAAGAUUUUUCUUUCUUCUUUUGCUUGUUGGGAGCUUUCCCGUGUAAAUAGUUUUCUUUUUCUUUGUGUCAAGGUAGAAGAUAUUGGUUACAAUGCUUAGUGGUUCUUACAUGCUUACCUAUUUAGCUUUCAAAGAGCCAUAUUAUUUUGUCUUCUCCUUUGUGUUUGCGUGCAGAUUCAGCUUAGUCCAAUGCGCUUAUUAUCGUUUUCAUCGUUCGAUCGUGCAAAUGAAAGGCAACAAUGAUGAUAUAUGAUGAAGUGACUGAGACUGAAAAGCUGGUAUGAACUCUAUCUAUUUUGUUUUUGUAAAUAUGACUAGCUUGUUGACCCAGAUUUAGCUUUGUUGUGAGAGGACCAUGUUUGCAAUGACAACUUAGAGAUCAUAGUUUCUGAUGCCAUGCUUAUUUAGCUGAGAGCUUAUAAUGGUUUGUCUUGACUGCCAGCAUAGAUUUUGAGAUGACUAUGAUGUAGUAUGAUAGGAUGGUAUUCUCCUUUGAAUGUUUCAAGUGGCUUGACUUGGUGCAUGUUCAUGCAUGUAGUUGAAACAAAUCAACAUAGCCUCUAUGAUGUUCGUGUUCAUGGUGAUUUAUAUCAUGUUCAUGCUUGCAUUCAAUGUUAGUCAAAAUCAUUGCAUCUUGAUGACUGUUGUCGCUCUCUAGUUGGUCGCUUCCCAGUCUUUUGCUAGCCUUCACUUGUACUAAGCGGGAAUGCUGCUUGUGCAUCCACUUCCAUAAACCCAAAAGUUUUUCCAUGAGAUUCCACCAUACCUACCUAUUUGCGGUAUCUACCUGUCGUUCCAAGUAAAUUUGCAUGUGCCAUUCUAUAAACCUUCAAGAAUAAAUCUGUUUUGCAUGCCCGAACCGCUCAUGUGGUGACAGAGGGCUAUUGGUAUCUUCCAUGCUAGGAGUGUUAUCCUCGACAUGUGUUUAUUCACAGUCCUUCACGAGAAAGGGGUCGGUAUUUGGGAUGCCUAGUUCCAUGCUUAAAUCGAAAACAUAACUGUAAAACAAGACUCCCCCCGGAUUGAUGUUAGUAUGGACGGUACCCGAGGAUUCGUCUAGCCGUGGAGUGUGAUUGAUUGGUGGUGGGGGAGUUAAAACUUUAGUUUUCUGUUUGGGAACCGCCUAUAGCAUGAGUAGCAUGGAAGAUAUUGAGAACUCUUGGUCAUUGCGUUGACAAUGAAAGCAUGCCACCCAAAAUUAUUAUCUCUGUUUUCAAAGCUUGAGCUCUGGCACCUCUGCAAAUCAAUGCUUCUCUCUGCGAAGGGCUUGUCUAUUUAUUUUCCUAUUGAGUCAUCCUCCUCUUAUAUAAGCACCAAAUAGAGAGCACCUCUGUCAUUUUUAUGCUUUGUUUUUGACUGAUAUUGAGUAUGACUAUGACUGGAUCUUUGUUGCUAUGAAUUACAAUGUUUAGUCAGCCCUUGAUCUUUGAAAGUGCUCUGCAUUUAUGUUUUGCGGUCUCAGAAAGAGCUAGCGAGAUACCACCUAUUCAUAUUGCUUCAUGCUUGUUUUGAUUGAAGUGUUGGUAUUUGAAACUCAUUAUUAUUUGCUCGUUAGCUGAUUAUGCCAUUGAUAUUAGUUUACCGUGAGACCUUUGUGUCAUUUGCUUAUGUGGUCAACUUGUGAUCUUGCUGAAAUUCUGGUUAUGAGUUAGACAUAGUUGCAACAACAAGAUCAAACAGAGUUUGUCAAAGUUUUUCUUUCUCUCUCAGUUUGUCAACUGAGUUGCUUGAGGACAAGCAAGGUUUUAAGCUUGGGGGAGUUGAUACGUCUCCAACGUAUCUACUUUUCCAAACUCUUUUGCCCUUGUUUUCGACUAUAAUUUGCAUGAUUUGAAUGGAACUAACCUAGACUGACGCUGUUUUCAGCAAAAUUGCCUUGGUGUUAUUUUUGUGCAGAAAUCAAAGUUCUCCAAACAUCCUGAAAAUUUACGGGGAGCAGUUUUGGAAAAUAUCAAAAAUAUCUGCGCCAAGUUCCACCUCAGGGGGUGGGCCAGUGGGCCACAAGCCCCUGCUCCGCCACCACCCCCUGGUGGUGAUGGGCAGGCUUGUGGGGCCCACAGGCACCUGCCUCCCCCAACUCCAGCUCUAUAAGUUGUCUUUCGUCCCAGAAAAAAUAAAAAGAGAAUUUUUCGUCGCGUUUUCAAUACGGAGGCGUCGCCACCUCCUGUUCUUCAUCUCGAGGGAAGAUCUGGAGUCCGUCUUGGGCUCCGGAGAGGGGAAAUCGUCGCCAUCGUCAUCAUCAACCUUCUUCCCUCUCCAAUUCCAUGAAGCUCUUCGUCGUUCGUGAGUAAUCUAUUCGUAGGCUCGCUGGGCGGUGAUGAGUAGGAUGAGAUCUAUCAUGUAAUCGAGUUAGUUUUGAUGGGGAUUGAUCCCUAGUAUCCACUAUGUUUUGAGAUUUGAUGUUGCUACUACUUUGCCAUGCUUAAUGCUUGUCACUAGGGCCCGAGUGCCAUGAUUUCAGAUCUGAAAUUAUUAUGUUGUCACCAAUAUAUGUUUGUUUUAGAUCCGAUCUUGCAAGUUGUAGUUACCUACUAUGUGUUAUGAUCCGGCAACCCCGGAGUGACAAUAACCGGAACCACUCCCGGUGAUGACCAUAGUUUGAGGAGUUCAUGUGUUCACCAAGUGCUAAUGCGUUGGUCCGGUUCUUUAUUAAAAGGAGAACCUUAAUAUCCCGUAGUUUCCUUUUGGACCCCGCUGCCACGGGAAGGAUGGACAAUAGAUGUCAUGCAAGUUCUUUUCCCUAAGCACGUAUGACGACACACGGAAUGCAUGCCUACAUCACAUUGACGAACGGGAGCUAGCCACAUAUCCCUCCGUGUUAUAGCUGUUGCAUGAUGAAUAUCAUCCAAACAAAUCACCGACCCAUUGCCUACGUGUUUGUCCUACUGUUGCUACUGCUGUUACUUGUCUUGGUCUGCUGCUGCUGCUACUACUGUUGCUACUGCUGUUACUUGUUUUGCUCUGCUGCUACUGUCGCUUGCUACUGCUGUCACUACUGCUGUUCCUUGCCACUGCUAUUGCUCAUUACACUGUCGUUACUCGCUACUUUGCUGUUACUACUGUGCUUGCACAUACUAAUCUUUCAGGUGUGGUUGAAUCUGACAAAUUCAGCUGCUAAUACUUGAGAGUAUACUCUCACCUCCUGACGGGCUUAUCAACAAAUUGGGUCGAAUACUCUACCCUCGAAAACUGUUGCGAACCCACGCGCUGGUGGGCCAUCAACAACAUUCUUCCAGUUUCAUUGCCGGGGAGUGCUAGCAGCAUUCUUCUGGUGUCGUUGCACGAGAAGGUUCGUUGUCAUAAGCAUUCAUCUAGCUAACGUCAGAGAUUGCAGGAUCAGCCCUUUUUUGGAGCCAUUGCCAGGGAAGCACAACUGACAUCACCCUUCUUUAAAGGAAACUAAAAUCUAAUAUUCCCUUCCUUCAUAUCGAUGAUAGCACCGAUAGUCCUUAGGAAAGGUCUACCAUGGAUGAUAGGGCAUGCAGGAUUGCAUUCCAUGUCAAGCACAAUGAAAUCCAUGGGUACAUAGUUCCUAUUUGCAAUAAUAAGAACAUCAUUGAUCCUUCCCAUGGGUUUCUUGAGAGUAGAAUCCGCAAGAUGCAAAUUAAGAGAACACUCCUCAAUCUCAUUAAAACCCAGAAUAUCACAUAAAGACUUUCGAAUCGCGGAAACACUAGCACCCAAAUCACACAAAGCAUUGCAUUCAUAGUUUUUGAUUUUGAUUUUGAUAGUAGGUUCCCCCUCAUCAUGAAGCUUUCUAGGGAUAGAAACUUCCAAUUCAAGUUUCUCUUCAAGAGAUUUUAUCAUAGCAUCGACGAUAUGAUCAGUAAAGGACUUGUUUGGGCUAUAACGUGUGGAGAGUUUAGCAUGGAUUGCAUCAAGGAAAUGCAUUCAAUCAAGGAGCAACUAUCAUAAUUGAAUUCCUUGAAAUCCAAAGUAGUAGUUUCAUUACCAAUCAAGGUUUUAAUAUCUUCUACUCCACUUUCAAUGCUUUUAGCAUCAAGAUAGAUGGACUCCUAAUCAUUGGGGCGUUUUUCAACCAAAGUGGAUUCAUAUCCAGCCCCAUCAUCAUUAGGUUCGACACAAGAAAACAAAGAUUCAAUGGGAGUCACACCAAGCACUUUAAGAUCUUCGUGAUUCUUAUCACGAGAACAUGCCCUUUUAAGCCAUUCAUGUCUAGCACGAAUUUGGGCGGUUCUUUCUUUGCUCUCACUCAUGGAAACACGCAUAGCUUUCAAAGUUUCAUCCAUAUUGAUCUUGGUUGGAGCACAUCUAACUUUCAAAGCAUCAAUAUCACUAGACAUUCUAUCAACACUCCUAUCCAAAUCGUCAAUUUUGAGUAGUUUUUCCUCUAUGGACGCAUUGAAAAUCUUUUGCGAGUUGAUAAACUCUUUGAUAUUACUCUCUAGAUCACAGGGUAAUCUAUUUUAAUUUCCAAGAGGAUUGUUGUAGGAGUUUCCAAAAUUAUUAGAGGGGUUACUAGGAAAAGGCCUAGGAACAUAGUUUCCUCUAAAAGCAUUGUUGUUGCCAAAAUUAUUCCUACCAACAAAAUUAACAUCCAAGCUAGUGUUGCUACUCUCAAUCAAGGAAGACAAGGGCAUGUCAUUAGGAUCUAAAGGAGCACUUCUACUAGCAACCAAAUUCAUUAAGUCAUCCAUCUUAGCACUCAACGAGUUAAUUUCUUCUACAACGUGUACCUUCUUACUAGUAGGUGACCUUUUAGUGUGCCACUGAGAGUAGUUCAUCAUGAUAUUGUCUAGGAGUUAUGUGGCUUCUCCUAACGUGAUUUCCAUGAACGUUCCACGUGAGGCAGAAAUUCAAGCCAGCGUAGAAGAUUUUUAUAAUCAUCCAAAUACUCAAGCCAUGAGCGGGACAAUUUCUAAUCAUCAAUUUCAUUCUCUCCCAAGAUUGUGCAACAUGUUCAUGAUCAAGUUGCUUAAAAUUCAUGAUAUCAUUAUGGAGAGAGAUAAUCUUAGUCGGCGGAAAAUACUUGGAUAUAUAAGCAUCUUUGCACUUGUUCCAAGAAUCAAUACUAUUUUUCGGCAAAGACGAAAACCAAGUUUUUGCUCGAUCUCGCAACGAGAACGGAAAAAGCUUCAACUUAAUCACAUCAUUAUCCACAUCUUUCUUCUUUUGCAUAUCACAAAGCUCAAUGAAGGUAUUAAGAUGGGAUGCGACAUCUUCACUAGGAAGGCCGGAGAAUUGCUCUUUCAUAACAAGAUUUAGCAAAGCAGCAUUGAUUUCGUAUGACUCCACACUAGUGGCGGGAGCAAUCAAAGUACUAAUAAAAUCAUUAUUAUUAGUAUUCGAGAAGUCACAAAGUUUGGUGUUUUCAGUCAUGGUGACUUCAGCAAGCAAACAAGCACACAAGCGAACAGUAAGCAAGCGAGUGAAAAGGGCGAACGAAAAAGGCAAACGAAAAAAGGCAAAUAUUUUUGUAAUUUUUUUUUCAGAAGUGAGGGAGAGGAAAUCGAGAGGCUCCCAACACUAUAAUAAUGAUUUCAGAAGUAAAUGCAAGAGAUGAGUUUGCGACAGUUACUUGGAUGAGUUCUUGACUUGAUCCUCCCCGUCAACGGCGCGAGAAAUCCUUCUGCUGCCUCUUGAGCUUGCGUUGGUUUUUCCCUUUAUGAGGAAAGGGUGAUGCAGCACACGAGCAGUAAGUAUUUCCCUCAGUUCGAGAACCAAGGUAUCAAUCCAGUAGGAGAAUCGAGGUCAAGUCCAGAGUACCUGCGCAAACACAAAAGAGCUUGCACCCAACGCUUUGAAGGGGUUGUCAAUCCCUUCAAGAUUGAUUGCAAAGUGAGAUCUGAAGGCGGAAAGUGCAACGAAGUAAAAGUAUAAGGCUGAAAAUAUGGUGUGAAGUAGACCCGGGGGCCAUAGUGUUCACUAGAGCCUUCUCUCAAAAUAGCAAAUAAUACGGUGGGUGAACAAAUUACUGUCGAGCAAUUGAUAGAACCGCACAAAGUCAUGACGAUAUCUAAGGCAAUGAUCAUACAUAUAGGCAUCACGUCUGAGACAAGUAGACUAAUACUUUCUGCAUCUACUACUAUUACUCCACACAUCGACCACUAUCCAGCAUGCAUCUAUUGUACUGAGUUCAUGACAUACAGAGAAACGCCUUAAGCAAGAUGACAUGAUGUAGAGGGAUAAACUCAAACCAAUGAUGAAAACCCCAUAUUUUUACCCUUGAUGGCAACAACACAAUGCGUGCCUCGCUGCCCCUUCUAUCACUAGGAGAGGUCAGCGCACGGUAUGAACCCAAAACCAAGCACUUCUCCCAUUGCAAGAAUCAUAGAUCAAGUUGGCCAAACAAAACCCACAACUUGAAGAGAAUUACAAGGAUACGAAAUCAUGCAUAUAAGAGAUCAGAAGAAACUCAAAUAAGAUACAUAGAUAAUCUGAUCAUAAAUCCACAAUUCAUCGGAUCUCGACAAACACAACGCAAAGAAGAAUACAUCGGAUAGAUCUCCAUGAAGAUCAUGGAGAACUUUGUAUUGAAGAUCCAAGAGAGAAAAGAAGCCAUCUAGCUACUAGCUAUGGACCCGAAGGUCUAUGGUGAACUACUCACGCAUCAUCGGAGAGGUCAUGGUGUUGAUGAAGAAGCCCUCCGUAUCCGAAUCCCCCCUCUGGCAGGGCACCAGAACAUGCCCCAAAUGGGAUCUUGCGGAGACAGAAUCUUGCGGCGGCGAAAAAGUAUUUUCGUGAUCUCUCUCGCAGUUUUGGAUUUUUUCUGAAUUUAUAGGGGGAAGAGGUAGGGCAGACGAGCCACAGGGGGCCACAAGCCUGCAAGGCGCGGGCCCCCUGUCCGCGCCUAGGGGGCUUGUGGGGUCCCCUGGUGGCCCCUUCCUUGGUUCUCAAGUCUCGUGCAUAUGUUUUGUUCCGGAAAAAAUCUUUUCGGAAGUCUUAUUCUGUUUGGACACUGUUUAAAUUCCUCCUCUGUAAAGGGUCAAAAACACGGAAAAAAUAGGAACUGGCACUUAGCACUGAGUUAAUAAGUUAGUCCCAAAAAAGAUAUAGAAGGCAUACAAAACAUCCAAAGUUUGACACGAUAAUAACAUGGAACCAUAAAAAAUUAUAGAUACGUUGGAGACGUAUCAGACACGUACCCACACGUGGCAACUUCGGGGUGUUGUGCUGGUGUGUGGGCGGACGCGUGGUCCAUGCAUCAGCGAUGGCUUGCUCGUCGGUGGAGGCGUUCUUAGGACGGGAAGGCUCCCUGGGCCCACACCUCUCUUCGGGCCUUCUUUUCCUCCCCNNNNNNNNNNNNNNNNNNNNNNNNNNNNNNNNNNNNNNNNNNNNNNNNNNNNNNNNNNNNNNNNNNNNNNNNNNNNNNNNNNNNNNNNNNNNNNNNNNNNNNNNNNNNNNNNNNNNNNNNNNNNNNNNNNNNNNNNNNNNNNNNNNNNNNNNNNNNNNNNNNNNNNNNNNNNNNNNNNNNNNNNNNNNNNNNNNNNNNNNNNNNNNNNNNNNNNNNNNNNNNNNNNNNNNNNNNNNNNNNNNNNNNNNNNNNNNNNNNNNNNNNNNNNNNNGGCCUUCUUUUCCUCCCCGGCAGGGUUACCUUGCCGGGGGCUCUUCUCGUUCCUCUCGGCAGGGAGGUGAUGGCCUACCAAGGCCUUGUCAAUCUUCCCAGCAACGAUGGUUUGUUGGGGCUCAGUCCUUCUUCCUUGGCGGGAGGGUCUCGCCAUGUUAGUGCCUAUCUUCUCGGCGGGGAGCUCCUGCUGGGGUCUCUUCUUCAGUCCCAACAAGCGGGCGCUUGCCGGGGGGGGGGGGGGCNNNNNNNNNNNNNNNNNNNNNNNNNNNNNNNNNNNNNNNNNNNNNNNNNNNNNNNNNNNNNNNNNNNNNNNNNNNNNNNNNNNNNNNNNNNNNNNNNNNNGGGAGAGGAUCCGCCACUACUAUAUCCUCAAGUUGUUUCCUUUCUCGCUAAAGGAUGAUGCUAAGACUUGGUUCACUUCUCUUGCUCCUGGUUGUGUGCGUAGCCCCCAGGAUAUGGUCUACUACUUCUUUGAAAAAUAUUUCCCUGCCCAUAAGAAGCAAGCUGCCUUGCAAGAAAUAUACAACUUUGCGCAAGUUGAAUAAGAGAGUCUCCCACAAGCUUGGGGGAGGCUUGUCCAGCUACUGAAUGCUUUGCCUGAUCACCCUAUUGAAAAGAAUGAAAUACUUGAUAUCUUCUAUAAUGGAUUUAUCGAUGCUUCUAGAGACCACCUAGAUAGUUGUGUUGGUUGUGUUUUUAGGGAACGAACUGUAGAACAAGCUGAGAUCCUAUUGAAUAAUAUCUUGUGCAAUGAGAAUGCUUGGACUAUUCCCGAACCACCUCCUAAGCCAACUCCAAACAAAAUAGGUAUUCUAUUCCUCAGUCCUGAAGAUAUGCAAGAAGCUAAGAAAUCUAUGAAAGAGAAAGGCAUUAAAUCUGAAGAUGUCAAAAAUCUACCACCUAUCAAAGAGAUCCAUGGUCUUGAUAACCCGAUACAGGUAGUAGAAGUAAAUUCUCUGUGUAGGUUUGAUGAGAGUGAUAUUCCUUUUGAUAAACCUGCUAGCCUAUGCCUGGAUGAAUUUGAUAACUUUGUUGCCAAACAACAGAGCUUCAAUGAUUACGUUAGCAAACAAUUGGAACAGAAUGCUCGUAUGCUUAGUCAUUUAAGUGCUUGUGUAGACAGAAACGUCAAUGAUCUUAAGCUCCUGAGUAAGCAUGCCUCUAUGGUUACCAAGGUUGUCAAAAUCGUGAUUCUGAAUCGGAUCGGAGCUCCGUUGGUAGGAUCGUGAAUCGUAGAAUCAUAACUAUCAAGAUAGUAGAAACUUAGAUUCUAUGAGCAAAGUCGUGGAAUCAGAGGGGCUAGUUUGGAUCGUAAAGUCGUAAGAUUCUAAGACUUGAGUCGCGAUUCUGAUAACUUUGAUGGUUACUACUCAGGUAGAACAAGUACUUAAAGCUCAGAAUGACUUGCUCAAUGAGUUGAAUGACAAUUCUGUUAGAGUCAUCACGAGAGGCGGUAGAAUGACCCAGGAACCUUUGUAUCCUCAGGGUCAUCCUAAGAGAAUUGAACAAGAUUCUCAAGGAGUUAGCACUGAUGCACCUAGUCAUCCUAGAAAGAAGAAGAAAGAUGAUAGGGAUUUGCACGUUAGCAACCCUGUUGCUGAUUCACCUGAGAGUCCAAAGGAUGUCUCUGCUUCUGAUGCUGAGACACAAUCUGGUGAUGAACAUGAGCCUAAUGAUAAUAUCAAUACUGAUGUUCAUGAAGAUGCUCAACCUAGCAAUGAUAAGGAUGUGGAGAUUGAACUUGUUGAUCUUGAUAACCCACAGCCUAAGAAUAAGAGAUACGAUAAGAAUGACUUCACUGCUAGGAAGCAUGCUAAAGAAAGGGAACCAUGGGUUCAGAAACCCAUGCCCUUUCCUCCCAAACCAUCCAAGAAAAAGGAUGGUGAGGAUUUUGAGCGUUUUGUUGAAAUAAUUAGACCUGUCUUUCUGCAAAUGCGUUUGACAGGUAUGCUCAAAAUGUCUCUGUAUGCUAAGUACAUGAAGGAUGUUGUGACUAAUAAGAGGAGGAUACCUGAGGUUGAGAUUCCCACCAUGCUCGCUAACUAUACCUUCAAGGGUGGAACUCCUAAGGAACUAGGUGAUCCCAGAGUGCCCACUAUACCUUGCUCUAUUAAAGGUAACUACAUUAGAACUGCUUUAUGCGACCUUGGAGCCGGUGUUAGUGUUAUGCCUCUCUCUCUUUAUCAUAGACUUGAGCUGGAUAAGUUGACACCCACUGAAAUCUCUCUGCAAAUGGCCGACAAAUCAAUUGCUUUCCCUAUCGGCAUUUGCGAGGAUGUGCCUGUUGUGGUUGCCAACGUUACUAUCUUAACAGACUUUGUUAUCUUGGAUAUUCCCGAGGACGAUGCCAUGGCGGUCAUCCCCGGAAGACCCUUUUUAAACACUGCAGGGGCUGUUAUAGAUUGCAACAAAGGCAAUGUCACUUUCCAUGUCAAUGGUAAUGAGCAUACGGUGCACUUUCCGAAGAAACAAUAUCGAGUACAUUGCAUCAAUGCUAUCGAAAAAACUUCAUCGAUUCUUAUUGGGAGCUUUGAAUGCCCUAUACCUACUAUUAAGAUGAAGUAUGAUUUGAUUGUCGGGGAUAUGCACAUCCCCAUUGAGGUGACCUAGUGACUAUUCGAAAAUUCUCUGUUCUCUUUUGCGAUUUGAAAAAGUUUGACAAGGAGACUUCAUCAACCUCAUUGACGGAUUUCUUUCGAUGACCAUGAGACGGAUGAAUCGAGGAGUCACAAACCUAUGUUCCAAGUUUUCACAUUCGGUUGCUUAGAAAAAAAAUGAUAGAACUAGUUUAGUUUUCCCUGUUUUCUGCUGUUAGCGUCCCGUAGAUAAGUACCCCCAAAAUAAAAGUUCUCCGGAUGCCGUGAAAAUCAAAUAUGAUUUUUUCUGGAAUUUUUGAAAAAUAUUGAGACGAAGAGCUAGUCUGGGGGUUGCACCAGUGGGCCACAAGUCCUGGAGGCGCGGGCACCCCCCUGGCCGCGCCUACUAGGCUUGUGGGGCCCACGUGCACCCCCUCCACUCAUUCUAACUCCCAUCUGCUUCUCCUACCUCCAGAAAAAAUCGUUUCGCAGCUCAAACCCGUGUUCUUGCUCUUCUUGUUGGGAUUUUCGAUCUCCUUGUGCAAAGCACCAUUUACCAAGCUGUUUUGGGGAAAUUACUCCUUGGUAAGUGACUCCUCCAUUGGUCCAAUUAGUUUUUGCUCUAGUGCCUUAUACUUCGCGUAUUUCUGCUGCCUUGGUGACCAUGUUCUUGAGCUUUCCAUGCUAAUUUUAGCUGGUCCCAAGUAGUUUUGAUGCAUAAUAUGGCCUCUAGGCACUUGUGGGAGUAGUUGCUACGAGUUUCGCUAGGCCUUGUUCAUUUUUCCUUAGAGUCACUGAAAAUUUCAGAAAAGGAAGAUGUUCAGGAGAAACUAUCAUGGUGGUUCCUCAAGCAAGAGAGGUCCCCGUCUCGCGAUUCGGGAGCCCGGUCCUUACCAACCAAGGAACGCACAGGUACAACCAUGUGAAUGGCCUUCUGAUGAAUUCAUGAUUGAGGCAGGUUUCAAAGACGAGUUUGAUACACUUGUUCAUAGCGUCGGACUCGAAGAAUUCAUCUCCGAUAAAUGUGAAAAGUAUGUUGCUCUCACUGCCUCUUUUUUUCGUAGAUUCAAAUUUUUAGUUGGCCGUGAUACAUCUAUACUGUUUGAUCUCUAUGAAAAAUCGUAUACCAUGGAUUUAGAGGAUUUCAAUAGAAUUUGCAAGAUACCUAUUUGGGGUAGUCUCAAUGAUCCUCCUAAAUCUUUGGUUAGAGAUUUUUUUCUCUGGUAUAACUGUUGGAGAAACUAGAGAUAUUACGCAGGCUACCAUGGGGAGCAUUCAUUUUCCUGCCUUGCAUUACUUUGCCCUCUUCAUAGGCAGAUGCAUUAAUGGCAAGAUUGAGCAUUGUCACCUUUGUGCACCCAACCUUAGUAUCCUAAAGAGCGCAGUAACGGGUGAUAGAAGUUUUAACAUGGGAGCUAUAAUAGCAAGGAGGCUGAAUAAUAAUGCUAAUGAAGGGGAUUUCUUUGGUGGGAUCUAUGCCACUUGCAUAGCAAAUUUUCUUGGAGUACCCAUCCGCGAAGGAGAUCCCCCGCUCCAUACAGCUUUCCUUGAUCGCACCGCUUUGACACGCUGUCAGUUCCUUGAGAGGGAUGAUGAAUCCCUCCUAUAUCGUUUAAUAUUUAACCGGCAGCGUGUUUUCCAUAUUACCCUUCCUGCUCCUACCUUCUUUGACUUUCAGGUAAAACAGAGAUAUUACAUAACCAGAGGAGAGACCGAGGAGUAUGAGAGGGAGGCAAAGGCUGCUCGUCUCCGUGAGGCAGCUAUUCAGGCAGUGGCUGCAGCGCUCCCGUAUAACCCCCAUUAUGAUUUUGGGUAUCGCCCGGACCAUCCUUGGGAGUAGACCAACUUAGGCCAAAAGCCUAAGCUUGGGGGAGUACGUGUUUCUCACCGACUUUAUAUUCUUGCUUAUGCUUUCACUUUGUUUAUUCGGUGUUCACACUUUGCCACUGUAUCAUCCAUGCUAAUUUAUUUCUUUUUCUCGUUUUCUUUUCGUGUGUCUGUCUAGUUCGAAAAAGCCCAAAAAGAUUUUCUUGUUCUUCUUUUGCUUGUUGGGAGCUUUCCCGUGUAAAUAGUUUUCUUUUUCUUUGGGUCAAGGUGGAAGACCAUGGUUACAAUGUUUAGUGGCUCUCGCUUGCAUAUCUGUUUAUGUGUCAAAGAUCCAUAUUACCUUGUCUUCUCCUUUGUGUUUGCCUACAGAUUCCAGCGUAGUCCAAUGCACGAGCACUCUUAUUAUUGUUCACAUCAUUCGGUCGUGCAAGUGAAAGGCAAUAAUGAGGAUAUAUGAUGAAGUGACUGAGCCUGGAAAAGUUGGUAUGAACUCGAUCUAUUUUGUUUUUGUAAAUAUGACUAGCUCAUCGUUCCUGAUUCAGCUUUGUUGUGAGAGAAACAUGUUUGCAAUGACAACUUAGAGAUCAUAGUUUCUGAUGCCAUGCUUAAUUAGCUAGGAGCUUAUAAUGGUUUGUCUUGGAUGCCAACAUGAAUCUUGAGAUGAAUAUGAUGUAGUAUGAUAGGAUGGUAUCCUCCUUUGAAUGAUUCAAGUGGCUUGACUUGGCGCAUGUUUAUGCAUGUAGUUGAAACAAAAUCAACAUAGCCUCUAUGAUAUUCAUGUUCACGGUGAUUUAUGUCCUACUCAUGCUUGCACUCAAUGCAUUUUGAUGACUGUUGUCGCUCUCUAGUUGGUCGUUUCCCAGUCUUUUCCUAGCCUUCACUUGUACUAAGUGGGAAUACUGCUUGUGCAUCCACUUCCAUACACCCAAAGUUGUUCCAUAUGAGUCCACCAUACCUACCUAUAUGCGGUAUCUACCUGUCGUUCAAAGUAAAUUUGUCUGUGCCACUGUCUAAACCUUCAAGAAAUAAUCUGUUUUGCAUGCCUGAACCGCUCAUGUGGUGACAGGGGGCUAUCAGUAUCUUCCAUGCUAGGCGUGUUAUCCUCGAUAUGUGUUUAUUCACUAUCAUUCACGAGAAAGGGGUCGGUAAUUGGAAUGCCCAGUUCCAUGCUCAAAUUGAAAAGAUAAUUGCAAACAAAACUCCCCAUGGAUUGAUGUUGGUAUGGACGGCACCCGAGUAUUCGGCUAGUCGUGGAGUGUGAUUGAUUGGUGGUGGGGGAGUCAAAACUUUAAUUUUCUGUUUGGGAACCGCCUAUAGUAUGUGUAGCGUGGAAGAUGGUGAGAACUCUUAGUCAUUGCGUUGACAAUGAAAGCAUGCCACCCAAAAUUAUUAUCUCUGUUUUCAAAGCUUGAGCUCUGGCACCUCUGCAUCAAUGCUUCCCUCUGCGAAGGGCCUGUCUAUUUAUGUUCAUGUUGAGUCAUCCUCCUCUUAUAAAAGCACCAAUUAGAGAUUACCUCUGUCAUUUUUAUGCUUUCCUUUUAACUGUGUUGAGUAUGACUGUGACUGGAUCUUCUUUGCCAUGAAUUACAAUGUUUAGUCAGCCCUUGGUCUUUGAAGGUGCUCUGCAUUUAUAUUUUGCGGUCUUAGAAAGAGCUAGCGAGAUACCAUCUGUUCGUACUGCUUCAUGAUUGUUUUGAUUGAAGUGUUGACGUUUGAGACUUAUUAUUAUUUGCUCGCUAGUUAAUUAUGCCAUUGAUAUGAGUUUACCGUGAGACCUAGAUGUCAUUUGCUUAUGUGGUUUGCUUGUGAUCUUGCUGAAAUUCUGGAUAUGAGUUAGACAUAGUUGCAACAACAAGAUCAAACAGAGUUCGUAAAAGUUUUCCUUUUGUCUCUUUCAGUUUGUAAACUGAAUUGCUUGAGGACAAGCAAGGCUUUAAGCUUGGGGGAGUUGAUACGUCUCCAUCGUAUCUACUUUUCCAAACUCUUUUUCCCUUGUUUUGGACUCUAAUUUGCAUGAUUUGAAUGGAACUAACCCGGACUAAUGUUAUUUUCAGCAGAAUUGCCAUGGUGUUGUUUUUGCACAGAAAUAAUAGUUCUCGGAAUGACCUGGAAAUUUACGGAGAAUUUUUGUGGAAUAUAUAAAAAAUACUGGCGCAAGAAUCUGCGGAGCAAGUGGAGCGUGGAGCCCACAAGCCCACCAGCCGCGGGCACCCCCCCCGGCUGCGCCUGGCAGGCUUGUGGGGCCCACAAAGCUCCACCGCCUCCAAAUCUAGAUCUAUUUAAUAUGUUUCGUCCGGAAAAAAUCAAGGAGAAGAGUUCAUCGUGUUUUACGAUAUGGAGGCGCCGCCACUUCCUCUUCUUCCUCUGGAGGGCAGAUCUGGAGUCCGUUCUGGGCUCCGGAGAGGGGAGAUCGUCGCCAUCGUCAUCACAGACCUUCCUUCAUCGCCAAUUCCAUGAUGCUCUUCACGUGUGACAGCCCGAGACCGGCGUUCCAGAAGAUUCCCCUUUCUUUCCGUUUUCGUCGUGUGCCUAUUUUAUUUUGUCGCGUCAUCAUCGCAUCAUGCGCAUCAUCCACAUUGCAUCGGCAUCUCCGUUGCCGACAGUUUUCAAAACUUGCAUCCGUUGUUAGUUGUCGGUUCACGUCGUUGUCCGUUCUAAGCCCGACCGCACACGCACGCGCCCGCGGCAUCGUCCAAACCCUGUUUUAAAAAGUGUUCGUAAAACUUUUGCUGAUCGGGUUGAGAUUUGACGUGCGGUCUUAUUUUAAUAUAGCUAGGCCGCCUGUCAAGUUUCGUCGCGAUCGGAGUUCGUCUGGUACCCGAACGGUCGCCCAUAGCGGCACCACAAUCGGUCUACCGUCGGACGUCUGCCGGUGUUUUAAAAUUCGUUGUCGCGCCGCCCGUUCUCCCUCUCGUCUCCGGAUAUCCCCUCUACACGGCCGCGUACCCAUACCUGCGUUCGGAAUCGUCCGAAUCCGACCCCGCGGUUGGAUCCGGAGCGCGAUUCCGGUUAACCGAGCCCCCCGUUUGUCUAUAUAUAGACCCCUUCUAAUUUUUCGACAGCCUCCCUCUAAUCCCUCCUUGAUUUCCGCGCCACCUACCCGAAACCCUAGCCUCCCACCUGCUCUCUCUCUCUCCUCCCCCGCGCCGCCGGCCCACCAGGCCCAGAUCGGGCCCGGCCGAGCCCAUCGCGCCGCCGCCGCCGUGGCUCGAGCCCCUGUGCUCCCGAGGCUCCCGAGCUCCUGGCCAUGGCCGCGCCUGCCCGGAAGAAGCCCCCGUCNNNNNNNNNNNNNNNNNNNNNNNNNNNNNNNNNNNNNNNNNNNNNNNNNNNNNNNNNNNNNNNNNNNNNNNNNNNNNNNNNNNNNNNNNNNNNNNNNNNNNNNNNNNNNNNNNNNNNNNNNNNNNNNNNNNNNNNNNNNNNNNNNNNNNNNNNNNNNNNNNNNNNNNNNNNNNNNNNNNNNNNNNNNNNNNNNNNNNNNNNNNNNNNNNNNNNNNNNNNNNNNNNNNNNNNNNNNNNNNNNNNNNNNNNNNNNNNNNNNNNNNNNNNNNNNNNNNNNNNNNNNNNNNNNNNNNNNNNNNNNNNNNNNNNNNNNNNNNNNNNNNNNNNNNNNNNNNNNNNNNNNNNNNNNNNNNNNNNNNNNNNNNNNNNNNNNNNNNNNNNNNNNNNNNNNNNNNNNNNNNNNNNNNNNNNNNNNNNNNNNNNNNNNNNNNNNNNNNNNNNNNNNNNNNNNNNNNNNNNNNNNNNNNNNNNNNNNNNNNNNNNNNNNNNNNNNNNNNNNNNNNNNNNNNNNNNNNNNNNNNNNNNNNNNNNAUAAAAACGUACCAGUAGCUCAAUAACCGUUGAAAGCAUCCAAAAUGGAACUACUGGUACGUUUUUAUUGGCUUAAAUAUGUCACACACACUAGAGAGUAACUUUUGUUCCCACAAUUCAUCAAGGGCAAAAGAGUCAUUUUACAACCACAUUUAACACCGUUAGUGUUCAGAUUGCACUACAGGGCCAUAUUAGGAAGGAAAUGAAGUUUAGAUGUCAAAUAGGGAAAAAAAUAAUAUUUAGGGCCAAAUAGGGAAGAAGAAUUUAAGAAAGGGCCAAAUAAGGAAUUCUCUCCAUAUUUUAUAUGUUUCCGGGGUAGAAAAAUCCCAUGGAUUUUUCUGUGCAAUUAGUUUUAGCAUUAGAGCAAGUUAGUUCGCGAGAUAUUUUGCUAAGUUGCCCUUUUGUUAAUUCGUAGGAUUUAUUCCGUGCCUCGUUUGAAUUAGUUCACAACUAGAGAGUUGAUCUUGGAUGUUUUGUUUAGCCCCUGGUAUUUUUGGUUGCAAUAGAAAUGCAUGUUUAGGUGUGUUUUGAUUGCCCUCAAGCUGCUAGAAAUAGUGUUGUUUUAGACGUGCUGAAAUAUUUCUAUGUCUGGAAUCUGUUAUAUUUUUGUUGUUGUCUUGUCUUGCUUGCAUCUUGUGAUCGGUAGCUCUUUUGAGGUUGGUCCAAUGGAGUAAGUUGCAGCCCUUGUGUUUCUCUAGCAUGCUAUGAAGUUUCAUUCCAUUUGGAGUCCUGUAGCUAUAGGUUUUUCUGCUGUCAAUAUAGCUUCAGAUCGAAAACUGCACUUUCGUGAAGUGCUAUUUUCACUAAGUCUGAAAUAGUGUGUGAGAUGCCAUUUGGUGUCUUCUUUUCCUAGUGCUCCUUGCUGCCAUGCUAGUUGUUGUUAGUUGUUUGUAGUAGAGCGUCUUGCCCUCUUUCGUGCCAUGCCUUACUUGCGUUUAUCGGAGUUGUGUAGCUCGUAGUUGUGGGGCGUAGAAAGUGCUAUGUGGCUGAUUUUGGCAGAUUGUAGUGUUUUCUUGUUUUACUCGUAGUUUUCGAACCGUAGCUCCGUUUUGAUCGUGUCCUACAUGGAACUUGCUUAGAAUCUCGUGUAGUUUCAUUUUCUCUUGCUGUCUGUAUGUGUUGAAGUGCUCGUAGCUGCCGUUGCACACAUUUUUCCAUUCAUGCCAUCAUAUCUUGCGAUGCUUGUAACUUUUGAUCCGUAGCUCCGUUGGAGGUGUUCUUUAUGUGUAGAUUGCUUGCCAUGACGCGUAGAAUCAUGUGAACCUAUUUGGUUUGCUGUUUAACAACUAAUUAAAUGUGUUAAUUCAGAUCUGGACAGAAUUGUAAAUUAACAUAUGAGGUCGUCUCGGAGAUGCUAUUUGUCAUUUCCGACCUCAUUUAAAAUGCCUAGAUAAGUAGUUUAAUUGCGCUUCACCUCUUGCCAUGUUUAAUCACAUUUAAUAUUUCCGUGUAUCUAAUUGGGAUAGAACUAAAUAAUUAAACGUGGAGUUUCGUCAAUAUGCAACUCGUUGCAUAUUGAACUUCACUUAAUGUGUAGUGUUUGAUUGAGUGGAUUGUCAUGCCGUGACGUGCAUGUUUUCAACUGCUCAUGCAUCAUAUGUGUUGUGCGUCGUGUGGUGAAUAUCGUGUGUUGAUUUGUGUUUCCGGUCUGCUUCGUCUCGAUAGAGUUCCGCAAGCGUGUCGGAUGUGAGGACCCGUUCGACUACGUCGGUUCGUCUGCUUCACGGAGACAUUCUUCUUCCAAGCGGGAUCUCAGGCAAGAUGAUCACUUCCCCAGAUACCAUUACUAUAAUUGUCAUGCUAGUUUAUCGCUUCUAUCGAUUAUGUCUCGUUGCCUACCACCUGUUAAAUUCAGCCUCUCAACAAUGCCAUGAAACCUUCAACCUGUUCAACCUAGCAAACCACUGAUUGGCUUGUUACUGCUUGCUUAACUCUGUUGUUAGCGUUGCUAGUUGCAGGUGCAGUUGCUUCCAUGUGAAACAUGGGUUCCUUGUUAUAUCACCAUAUUAAUGCUAUUUAACUUAAUGGACCUAUAUACUUGGUAAAAGGUGGAAGGCUCGGCCUUUCUAGCCUGGUGUUUUGUUCCACCUUUGGCCCCUUAGUUUCCGGCUACCGGUGUUAUGUUCCAUAAUUGAGCGCUCCUAACACGAUCGGGGUUGUUAUGGGGACCCCUUGAUAAUUCGUUUUAGAUUAAAGCUGGUCUGGCAAGGCCCAACAUUGGUACUACAUUUGCCUAAACACCUAAUAAAAUUGCAUAGGGACUUUCCGGACCCCGAGGAUAAUUUAAUCAACCCCCGGGCCAGUGCCCCUCAUGAGUGUUGGUCCAAAACAGAGCAGCUUAUUAAUGCUACCCGGGCAACUUGGCGUUUGGCGUGGUAACCAUCGCUCAUCCGUCGUGUCUUGAGAACGAGGUACGCGACUCCUAUCGGGAUCGUCGACACGUCGGGCGGCCUUGCUGGAUUAGUUUUACCUUUGAUGAGAUAUCUUGUGCAUCGGGAUUCCGGUGAUGCUUUGGGUAAUCUCAGAGUUGAGGUUUUCCACUAGGGAAUCCGACGAGAUCUCGAGCUUCGUGAUUGAGGAUUUCUAUGCGGCUUGUGGUAAUUUGUGAUGGACUAGUUGGAGCACCCCUGCAGGGUUAAAUCUUUCGGAAAGCCGUGUCCGCGGUUAUGUGGCAACGUGGAAACUUUGUUUAACGCUGGUUCUAAAUAACUUGAAGUUAACUUAAUUAAAACUUGCCAACUGUGUGCGUAACCAUGACUGUCUCUUUCGUGAGUUCUUUCUCCGAUCGAGGACACGGUGGGGUUAUGUCUGACGUAGGUAGGUGUUCAGGAUCAUUCAUUUGAUCAUCAGUAGUUCACGUCCGUUAUGCGUAGAUCUUCCCCCUCUUAUUUCUUGUACUCGUAAGUUUAGCCACCAAAUAUAUGCUUGGCCGCUGCUGCAACCUCAGCACUUAACCAUGCCUCACCCAUUAAGCUUUGCUAGUCUUGAUACCUUUGGAAAUGAGAUUGUUGAGUCCCCUGUGGCUCACAGAUUACUACAACACCAGUUGCAGGUACAGGUAAAGGUUACUUGACGCGAGCGCGUUGAUUGUUCAUUUGGAGUUGCUUCUUAUUCUUCUUCAUCGAUCUAGGAUGGGUUCCAGGCCGGCAGCCUGGGAUAGCAAGGAUGGACGUCGUUCUUCUUUUGUCGUUUGUUUCCGUCCCUAGUCGGACCCUGCUCUUACUCUUGAGGAUUAUGUAAUGUACUGAUGUGACUCUGAUGUAGCUUGUGGCGAGUGUAAGCCAACUCUUUAUAUAUCUCUUCUUUUCAGUACAUGUACUUGUAACGAUAUCCAUUCUUGCGACACGACGAGAUGCGCUUCUAUCCCUGACGAGGCCCUCGAGCCAAAUCGAGGAUAGGGUCGCAUCUUGGGCGUGACAUCACCGUUCGUGAGUAAUCUCAUCGUAGGCUUGCUUGACAGUGAUGGGUUGGAUGAGAUCUAUCAUGUAACCGAGUUAAUUUUGACGGGGAUUGAUCCCUAGUAUCCACUAUGUUCUGAGAUUGAUGUUGCUACUACUUUGCCAUGCUUAAUGCUUGUCACUAGGGCCCGAGUGCCAUGAUUUCAGAUCUGAACCUAUUAUGUUGUCGCCAAUAUAUGUGUGUUCUUGAUCCUAUCUUGCAAGUUGUAGUCACCUACUAUGUGUUAUGACCCGGCAACCCCGGAGUGACAAUAGCCGGAACCACUCCCGGAGAUGACCAUAGUAUGAGGAGUUCAUGUAUUCACUAAGUGUUAAUGCGUUGGUCCGGUUCUUUAUUAAAAGGAGAACCUUAAUAUCCUGUAGUUUCCAUUAGGACCCCGCUGCCACGGGAGGGAUGGACAAUAGAUGUCAUGCAAGUUCUUUUCCUUAAGCACGUAUGACUACAUACGGAAUACAUGCCUACAUUACAUUGACGAAUUGGAGCUACUUAUAUCUCUCCGUGUUAUAGCUAUUGCAUGAUGAAUAGCAUUCGGCAUAGUCAUCCAUCACCAAUCCAAUGCCUACGAGUUUUUCCUACUGGUCCUUGCUAUGUUACUUUGCCGCUACUGCUGUCACUGCUGCUACUGUUACUCUGUUGCUACUUCUGUUACUUUGCUGCUACUACUGUCACUUUGCUACUACUGGUUACCGUUGCUACUGCUCCUAUCAUACUACCUUGCUACUGAUACUUUGCUGCAGAUACUAAAUCUUUCAGGUGUGGUUGAAUUGACAACUCAACUGCUAAUACUUGAGAAUAUUCUUUGGCUUCCCCUUGAGUCGAAUCAAUAAAUUUGGGUUGAAUACUCUACCCUCGAAAACGGUUGCGAUCCCCUAUACUUGUGGGUUAUCAGAGACUAUUAGGAGGACUGUUGUAGACCAAAAGAGAUCUUGUGGAUAUGCCCCAUACAUUCAGAUACUUAUCAAUGGCAAACUUGGCACGCAUGCAUAUCUGCUUGAUCGUCCCCAUUUUCCCCUUCAGCCUGAAUUUGAAGAUAAUGAAGUUGUGAUGGAUGCCAAUGAUCCCAGCUCACCGCAUCUAGAGAGACAGCAGAGGCAGCAGCAGCACAGGCUACUAGGAAUGUGCCACCACCAGUUCCACAACUCAGAACUCAAGCUGAGCAAAUGACAUUUCUAGUGAGUUCUAUCCAAGGUAUGGAGAAGAACAUCUCGGAGAUUAUGCUAAACCAAAGGAUUUUAGAGAGGAUCGUGGAAAUCAAAUUCCAUGAUUUGGACGUCAAAGUGACAGAGACAUCUGCUAGUGUUGAUCAGCUCAAGCAUCAAGUUGAUGGUGUGAGGACACCCAGUUCAACUACUGAUGAUGAAGAGUCGCCUCCUCACACUACCACUUAGUUUAGUACCAAGCCCCGGUCAGCGGUUGUGCCAGUGUCGGAAGCAAGACCAACUUCAUCAACUCACGCAUUUGUACCUUCAUCUUCAGCCCCAGCUCGAGCACCUCCAGUAUCGACUCCUCCAGCUCCAGGACAUUCUCCCGAAGUCUUUGCCGACGCUCUUCUGUCUACUCCAUCAUCACUACCCCAGUAGAUAGGGCCCACAUAGACGAUUAGCUCAAUACUUUCGAACUUUUUGGUAACUCGUUGCCAAAGGGGAGAAAUGUAUAGAUCUUAGGGCUUCGAGCGAGAGAGAGAUUUUGACAUUAUUUUCUCUGUUUGGUCGUUUGGUUUUUACAAAACUUUGUCUCGUUGGAUGAAUUUAUCUAGUUACCUGUGUUUGAUCAUACGCUUUGGUUGGUUGAUGCUACUACAUUAUUAUCUUUGAGCUAUGCAUACGAUGAUCAUUCACUUAUUCUUUUGGUGCAAUGUGCAUUACUAUUCAUUCAUAUCAUGUAUAAGCACCACCAAGAUGUAUGUGACAUGAAAGAGUGACCCAUGAUAUUAAUCGGUUGUGCAUUUGCAUUCAAAUGCAAAUUAUAAAUAAUGCACAAAUUUAGGGGGAACUCUUGCUUUUCACAUACUUCUCAAAGCAUCAAUGCUAAUCAUUGAUUAUAUCUUUUGUCGAAGCUUUGAUCUAUAUGUUGUCAUCAAUGAGCAAAAAUGGGGAGAUUGAAAGCACAAUUGCUCCCUAAGGUGGUUUUGAUAAUUGAUCACAACAUAUGCAUCAUUGGACUAAUGAUUUUAUCCUAGUAUAUUUCAGAAAAUUUCAAAAGAUGCAUUGGUAAAGGUUUAUGUGGAGAAGCUCCUUGGUGCAAGAAAGGAAUAAGAUUGGCUCAAGCUUCAAGCAAAAAGAGUCUUCGUUUUAUAUUUGUGAGAAAUCACUUUUGAGUCCAUAGGAAAGCCAAUACUAUUAAAAGGGGGUGAGGUAUUAAAAUGAACUGGUUCCUCAAGUGCUCACACGUAGCCACCAAAAAUACUCAGUCAGUUUUCCACAUAACACUUCUUUCUAUAGCCACAUAUCCAAAAUCGGUGCCACCAAGUUUUCAGAUUCGGCCCUACCGAUUUUCAACCCACACAGAACCCUAGCCAAACCUACCAUUUCGGUACAACCAAUUAUGCAUCGUUGCUACCGAGUUCAGGUGACCAACUUUCUAUUGCCUUGGUACACGAAAUUGGAAUUUUUGUGUUUUGGUAUCGGAGUCACCGAGUUGGGCCAUAUGACCGUUAGCCACAUUUUCAGUUCCACCGAGUUGUGUAUACCGGUCUCACUGAGAUUCAAAAGUUGCUGCCUUUUGUGCAAGUCGGUACCACCAAUUUUAUGACUUCGAUGUCACUGAGUUGGUCACUUCAGGUGUAAUGGUUGGAUUUUGGGUGCUGCCUAUAUAUACCCCUCCACCUACCUCACAUUCGUAGAGGAAGCACUUAGAACACACACUUCAUUGCCAAAACCAUUUUUCUGAGAGAGCGCCACCUACUCAUGUGUUGAGAUCAAGAUAUUCGAAUCCAUCCAUUUGAAACUUGAUCUCUAGCCUCCCCAAGUUGCUUUCCACCAAAUCAAUCUAUCCUACCCACGCAUAUUCUGUGGGAGAGUGAUUGAAUGUUGAGGAGACUAUCUUUAGAAGCACAAGAGCAAGGAGUUCAUUGUUCUACCACAUCUAUUGCCUUUUGGAGGGUGGUGCCUCCUAUAUAUGUUAGGUGUCGCUUGGGAGCCUCGUACAUCGUGUUGUGGAGUUGAACCAAUAUGUUUGUAAGGGCAAGGAGAUCGCCUACUUCAUGAAGAUCUACCGUGAGUGAGGCUAGUCUUGUGUGGACAAAAGCCUUGGUGGAAUAGACAAGACCGCUUCUUCGUGCACCCCUUGUGGGUGGAGCCCUCCGUGGACUCUCGCAGCCGUUACCCUCCAUGGGUGAAGUCUCCACUAAAAUGGACGUACGAUAGCGCCACCUAUCAGAACCAUGCCAAAAAUUGUCGUGUGAACCUCUUGCGUUUGAUCUCCCUACCUUACUCCCUUUAAUUUACACUUGCAUGUUUUACCUUCCCCUGCUAUAUCCUUAGAUGUGCAUGUUAAGGGUGUACUUGACUUGCCAUAAUUGCUAAAACUUGCCCACAACUAAAAUUGGGAAAGGCUAAGUUUUUAUUGGUCAAGUAGUCUAAUCACCCCCUCUAGACAUACUUUCGAUCCUACAGUAUGCACCAUAUAUUCAUAUGCUCAUCAAUGCGAGCAUUGGCAAGCAUGCAUAUCUACUUGAUCGUCCACACAUGCCACUUCAGCCAGAGCUCGAGGACAAUGAAGUUGUGAUGGACCUCGGUCGUCCCAGCUCAGCUACAGCUCGUUAGCACGCAGAGACAGCAAAGGCAGAUGCAGCCAGAGAUGCUCCAGCACCACAGUUGAGAUCUAGAGAGGAGUAGAUGUCAUUUCUUGUCAGCACCAUCCAAGGUAUGGAGAAGAGUAUUUCAUAGAUCUUGCUGAAUCAGAAGAGCCUUGAGAGGAUCGUGGAGACUAGAUUCCAUGACCUGUAUGUCAAAGUGAAAAAGUUGGCUACAAUUGUUGAGCAGCUCCAGCGUGAGGUUGAUGCACUGCAUAUAUCCCAUUCCAGAAAUGAUGAUUAUGAUUUGCCUCAUUCCACAACUACUCAGUUCAAGACCUAGUCUAGGUCUAUAGCUGUGCCAGUGACGGAAGCAAGACCAACUUCAUCAACUCAAUCAUUAAUGCCUUCGGCUCCAGCUCCACCUCCUGCACCUUGAGUGUCAACGCCUCCACCUCUGGGGACAUCCGCUUAAUCCUUCAACGAUGCUCUUCUGUCGACUCCAUCAACUACUACCGGAGGAGAUCGAGCCCAGAGCAACGGUUAGUUCUAGACCUUUGAACUUUUUGGUAACUUGUUGCCAAAGGGGGAGAAGUGUAUAGAUCAUUCAGGGCUGAGAGAGAGAGAGAGGGGGAUCUUUGCUUUUUUAUUUGCUCUCGUUUGGUUUUACAAAACAUUUGGUCUUUUAGAUGACUCGAACUUUCGUGUUUGAUCAUACGCUUUGAUUGUUGAUGCUACUACGUUAUACCUAUGAGUUAUCUACAUGAUAAUCAUUCACUCAUUUUUUGGUGUUAUGUGCAUUACUAUUUAUUCAUAUCAUUUAUGCGCACCACAAAGAUGUAUGUGACAUGGAAAAGUGACCCAUGAUCAUAAUCGAUUGUGCAUUUGCAUUCAAACGCAAAUUUAAAAUAAUGCACAAAUUUAGGGGACCUCUUUCUUUUCACAUACUUCUCGAAGCGACAAUGCUAAUCAUUGAUUUUAUCUUUUGUCGAAGCUUUGAUCUAUAUGUACUCAUCAAUUACAAAAAAGGGAGAGAAUGAAAGCACAAUUGCUCCCUAAGGUGGUUUUGGUAAUUAAUAAGAACAUAUGUGUCAUUGAACGAAUGAUUCUAUCCAAGUAUAUUUCACAAAAGUUCAAAGAUGCACUGGUGUUAGAGCAUAUUUCUCCAUAUGUGGUUUUGGUAAUUGAUGACAAUACCUAUGGACUAAUGGUUGCCUUAAGUUAUAUUUGUAGGAUUUGUCAAUAGACACUUCUUGAAGUCCAUCUGCUGGUUUCAAUGAGUUUAUAUGAUGACCAAGGUGGUAUUCAUGAUUUUAUCCAAAGAUUGGCCAUAAAAACACAAGGUUGAUCAAGACUAAGUCAAAGAGUGAAUCAAGUUGAUCAAUACACAAAGCGUACAAGAUGUACCGAGAGGGAUCAAGUGAUCCAAUGGUAUGGUAAGCAUUGUCCAUUACACUUUUUGUACUAAUCCGUGGUCUUCAUGAGAGUAUUAUGUGGGGUUAGGUGGGUUUCCAUGGGCUUCUGUCAAGAGGAAGAUCUCAUACAACCCAUCGAGGAUGACGUCAAGUGGUGAUCGUCAUCAAGAUUGUAGUUUGCAAGUUCAAGUGGAGCAUCACGAAGAUAUCUUGCUUAUAGCUUGUCGUCCAUUGUGGUGGCAAUGGACUUGUGAAGAUGUGCUGAAGAGUGGCUCGCCCAUACUGGAGUAUGGGGGGCAAUCAACUUGUCUUCAUCGAUCCAACACAAUCAAGAAAGGUGGUCCAUCUUGAGGAAGUCAAGAUCGUCAUAUUCUAGCUCAAGUUGACUAUAUGCAAUGUAUAGGUUUGCCAUUGAUAGGUUUCUCUAUUUUAGGAUAGAUCGUCGUACUGUCAAGGGGGCUCCCAAGUGAGUUGCUUGAUUGUAUCGUUCAUUGAGAGCUCAAACCAUUUACAUCUUUGCAUCAUCUUUCUUGGUUCUUUUUUGGUGAUUCUCUUUGUGAAUUGUAGAUCUUAUGGUCAUCUUCAUUACAAGCUCGAGUUCAUCGAAAACGAAGUCCAUAUGCAUCUUCUAUGAUAUUUUCGAUGUUGGGAGUUUUGUCGGUUCUUCAUUCAUAGAGGUCUCACAUCUCUAUAUUUUUGGUGUUAGAGCAUAUUUCUCCAUAUGUAGUAUUGGUAAUUGAUGACAAUCCCUAUGGACUAAUGGUUGCCUUAAGUUAUAUUUGUAGGAUUUGUCCAUAGGCACUUCUUGAAGUCCAUAUGUUGAUUUCAAGGAGUUUAUAUGAUGAGCAAGGUGGCAUUCAAGGUUUUAUCCAAAGAUUGGUCAUAAAGACACAAGGUUGAUGAAGACUAAGUCAAAGAGUAAAUCAAGUUGAUCAACACACAAAGCGUACAAGAUGUACCAAGAAGGAUCAAGUGAUCCCAUGGUAUGGCAAGCAUUGUCCAUUACACUUUGUGUACUAACACAUGGUCUUCGUGAGAGUUCUAUGUAGCGUUAGGUGUGUUUCCAUGGGUUUGCGUCAAGAGGAAGAUCUCAUUCAACCCACAGAAGAUUGUGGUGUGCAAGUUCAAGUGGGGCAUCAUGAAGAUAUCAUGCUUGAAGCUUGCCGCCCAUUGUGGUGGCAAUAGACUUGUGAAGAUGUGCUGAAGAGUGGCUCACCCAUAGUGGAGUAUGGGGAGCAAUUUACAAGUCUUCAUCGAUCCAGCGCAAUCAAGAAAGGUGGUCCAUCUUGAGGAAGUCAAGAUCAUCAUCAUCUAGCUCAAGUGGACUAGGUGCAAGGUAUAGGUUUUCCCUUGAUAGGUUUUUCUAUUUUAGGAUAGAUUGACGUACUGUCAAGGGAGGCUCUCAAAGUGAGUAGCUUGAUCGUAUCGUUUGUUGAGAGCUCAAACCAUUUCCAUCCUUGCAUCAUCUUUCUAGGUUCUUGUUUGGUGGUUCUCUUUGUGUGUUUUAGAGCUUAUGGUCAUCUUUAUGACAAGCUCGAGUUCAUCGAAAAUGGAGUUCAUGUGCAUCUUCUACGAUGUUUUCGAUGUUGGAGUUUUUAUCGGUUCUUCAUUCGUAGAGGUUUCACAUCUCUAUAUAAUUGGCAUUUUUCUAGUACCUCUUAUUGCUAUAACAUUCGUUGUUAGGAUAGUACUUGUCAUCUGCUAUCCAACAAGCUUGAGUUUGCUCAAUUCGGAACUCGUAUGCGAAAGUUAUGGUUGUUUUUGUCUUACGUGUUUUUCACUCAGAGGUUGUACCGCCCCUAAGAGAGAUAUACCGCUUGACCGGUACAACCGGUGUUUGGAGCGGUUGUACCGCUCCAAAAUUGGUCCGGAGGUUGUACCGGCCAUGUACCGCUCUACCACCGAACUAGGUUCUAUUUUGGAGCGUUUCUUGGGCGGUUGAGGGUCGGUUGCACCGCCAUAUUACAUUUACCAGUUGUACCACCCACAUCACCCGUUGUACCGCCCGUGUGUUAUUCUAAACAUAACAGGCAUAUUUGUGGGGACCCAUUUAAGGGGGUCUUCUUCCCAAUGGUUCCCCAACUCUUGAGCUCGUUUUUCCCCAUUGUUGAACUUCUUAGAGCUUGCUAACUCUCAAUCCCUCCAAUGAUUCUUGCUCCUUUUUGAGGGAAAAGAUAGGGGAGAUCUAGAUCCACAUUUCCACCAAUCACUUUCUACUUUGUGUGAGGGGAACCCCUUGGAUCUAGUUCUUCGAGUUCUUGGUGUUCUUCUUUGUUCUUCCUCUCAUUUUACACCAUAGCAUUAGUUGUUGUGGUGGGAUUUGGGAGAGAAGGACUUGGGCACUCCGAGUGCCCUUGCCAUUGCAUCUCGUGCAUAGGUUUGAGUUCUCCACAGUGAUACAUGAAAGUAAAGUUUGAGAAUCUUAUUACUCUUGGGUGCUUGGUACCUUAAAGCUUGUUCUUGUUGGGUGCUUUAGCAUCCUAGAAGCUUGGUGGUGCCUGGGAGAUCAACCAUUGUGGUGUACAGCUCCGGGCAAGUGUCGGGGGUCUCCAAUUAGGUUGUGGAGAUUGCCUCCAGCAUUUGAGGUUACCUCGAACAAUAUUCCAUUGUGGUGAAGCUUUAUGGUGUUGUUGGGAGCCUCCAAUUAAGUUGUGGAGAUUGCCCCAACCUUGUUUGUACGGGUUCGGUGACCGCCCUCAAGGUUCCCUUAGUGGAAUCACGACAUCUUCCCUUGUGCGAGGGAGUGAGGAGAUUACGGUGGCCUUAUUGGUAUCUUGGGGAGCAUUGUGCCUCCACACCGCUCCAAACGAAGAUUAGCAUCCGCAAGGGUGUCAACUUCGGGAUACAUUGUCGUCUCUGCGUGCCUCGAUUAUCUCCUACCCAAGCCCUUUACUUAUGCACUUUACUUUGUGAUAGCCAUAUUGUUUCUUGUUAUAUAUCUUGCUAUCACUUAGUUGUUUAUCUUGCUUAGCGUAAUUUGUUGGUGCACGUAGGUGAACCUAGUUGUUUUAGGUUUUGUGCUUGACAAAUUAAACGUCAGUUUUAUUCCGCAUUUUUUCAAGCCUAAACCGUAAUUAUUUUAAAGAGCAUAUUCACCCCCCUCUAGGUGACAUCCACGUCCUUUCAAUUGGUAUCAGAGCUAGGUCUCUCAUUAUUAGGUUUUACCACCUAGAGAGUAAGGAUGUCGACUAGGGGAUUAGGAUUCUUUGACAUUCUUAGUUUCAGUGGCACAAAUUUUCAUGUUUGGGUAAUUCGCAUGCUUAAUCUCUUUAGGGUUAUUGACCCAAAUUUAGAGCAAAUUGUAGAUAUGGGGUUUUCUCCUCCAAAGGAUUCCCAAAACACAUCUUUAGAGGAUGCGAAAAACUCUUAUCUCAAUGCUCAAGCUUCUAAUGUGCUUUUUGAUGUGUUGAGCAGUGUAGUUAUAUUUCAACUCAUGCCAUUCCGGGAUGCUCAUGAGUUGUGGACAAAGCUUCAAUAUAAAUAUGGUGUGUCCAAGAUUUGUAGGGAUGAUUGUUCUCCCUCCACCUCCGGUGGUGUUGUUUUCUCAACUUCGUCUACUUCACCUACAUGUGGAUUGCCACAAUGUAAUGAUAUGGUGAGUAGUGGUGAUCAUUGCAAUGAUGAUAGUGGGCUUAUUGUUGAUGAUCCUUCAUCACUAUCUUAUUGUAAUGCUUCAUCUUUGGGCGUUAACACUUGGACCGCUCUAAAUUUUUUACAUGCUUGUGUUUAUAGUCCUUGCAUAUCAUGUAAAAACUGACUGACUAAAUCUCAUGAUGACAUGCUUUCUAUAUCUUGUUGCCAUGAUAAAAAUGUAUCUAUUUCCUCGAGUUGUUGUGCUAACAAUGUAGAGGAAAUCCAUCACUUCAUGGAACAAUAUGUGGCCUUGAAUGAUGCUUCAAGGGAUCCUACAUCAUCAUCUAUUGUUUCUCACUUUUGCCUUAUGGCUAAGGCUUCAAAGGUAUCUACUACUUUGAAUCCCAAUAUAUUUCAUGAUGAUGAUGUUGAUGAUAAUGAGGAUGAGGAUAAUGAUGAAGAGAGUGAAAAUAUUGCAUCCUUAAAACUUAAGGGUGAAAUGAUUUUUAAAGCUCUUCAUAAGAAUAAUCUUGCUCGUUCCAACUUCAUGGAAAUCAUGUCUAUUGCCAUUGAGUGCAAGAAUUAUAUUGAGGAGUUGGAAUCUCAUCUCGAGGAGCAUGAGGCCACCAUUGAGAUAAUGGAAGGUCAUGAGCGUGAUUACGCUAAUGAGAUAGUGGAGCUAUCCCAAGCUAUUGAAAAUGAACAAACCACCAAGGAAUCUCUUGAGGAGACCUUUGCCCUAGAAUUAUCUAGAUUAAAUAAAUCCCAUGAUAGAGCUCUUGAGGUGGCUAAUGAUUUUAGAACUAAAAUGAUAAGCUUGAAGUUGCUCAUGCUAAACUCCUUGAGGACAAUGAGCACCUCAAAAAUGUCUCAAGGGCUAUUAAUAGUUCGCUCAUCGAGCUCACUGAGUCUCAUGCUCAACUUGGAGCUUCAUAUGCAAAUGAGCUUGCCACGUUGCCUUCUCCUCUUGUUGUUAAUAUUGAUGCUUGUGCUUCUAACUCUAUUUCUUGUGAAGCAUUUGGGGGAUUUGGGAGAGAAGGACUUGGGCACUCUGUGUGCCCUUGCCAUUGCAUUUGGUGCAUAGGUUUGAGUUCUCCACGGUGAUAUGUGGAAGUAAUGUUUGAUAAGAUUAUUACUCUUGGGUGCUUGGUACCUUAGAGCUUGUUCUUGUUGGGUGCUUUGGCAUCCUAGAAUCUUGGUGGUGCCUCGGAGCUCAACCAUUGUGAUGUAAAGCUCCGGGCAAGCGUCGGGGGUCUCCAAAUAGGUUGUGGAGAUUGCCUCGAGCAUUUGAGGUUACCUCGAAGCCAUAUUCCAUUGUGGUGAAGUUUCGUGGUGUCGUUGGCGGCCUCCAAUUAAGUAGUGGAGAUUGCUCCAACCUUGUUUGUACGGGUUCGAUGACCGCCCUCAAGGGUCCCUUAGUGGAAUCAUGACAUCUUCCAUUGUGUGAGGGCAUGAGGAGAUUACGGUGGCCUUAUUGGCAUCUUGGGGAGCAAUGUGCCUCUACACCGCUCCAAACGGAGAUUAACAUCCGCAAGGGUGUGAACUUCGGGAUACAUCGUCGUCUCUGCGAGCCUCAUUUAUCUCUUACCCGAGCCAUUUACUUAUGCACUUUACUUUGUGAUAGCCAUAUUGUUUCUUGUUAUAUAUCUUGCUAUCACUUAGUUGUUUAUCUUGCUUAGCAUAAGUUGUUGGUCCACACAGGUGAGCCUAGUUGUUUUAGGUUUUGUGCUUGACAAAUUAAACGUUAGUUUUAUUAUGCAUUUUUUAAGCCUAAACCGUAAUUAUUUUAAAGCGCCUAUUCACCCCCUCUAGGCGACAUCCACGUCCUUUCAAUUGGCAUUUUCAUAACUGCAUGUUCUUAAGAUUUCCAGUCGUUGUUGGAUCGCUCUUGUCGUCCUGAAUCCAACAACUUUGAGUUUGCUCAAUUAGAGCUUGUAUGCGAAAGAUAUGAUAGUUCUGGUUUUCUUCUUUUGCGUGUGGUCUACCUGGAAUGAUCCAAGGGUAGUACCGCCCGGGCCGGCGGUAGUGGCCCAGCUUGUACCGCUGGCUAGUACUGCUGCCCAUAAGUUCGACACCUUUUUUGGUCGGACUUUGCGGUAGUGUUGGGCGGUAGUACUUCUCCUGCUCCUGGCGGUACUAUCGGCCCUGCACCCUCUCAGUCCGGCCUCCCUCUGCAUGAGCGGUAGUACCGCUCUGGCUCGGACCGAGGGGGUAAUUGUUGGAUUUCCCCCUUCCUAUUUAAGGGGUCUUAUUCCCCAAAGGUCUCUAUCCGUUGAGCCCGCGUUCUUCCCCCAUUGUUGACCUUCUUUGAGCUCGCUAACUCUCAAUCCAUCCAAUGAUGCUUGCUAAUUCUUGAGGGAAAAAAGGGAGGAGAUUUAGAUCCACAUUUCCACCAAUCACUUUCUCCUCUAUGUGAGGGGAACCCUUUGGAUCUAGAUCUUGGAGUUCUUCGUGUUCUUCUUCGUUCUUCCUGUCAUUUUCUUCCAUAACAUUAGUUGUUGUGGAUGGAUUUGAGAGAGAAGGACUUGGGCACUCCGUGUGCCCUUGCCAUUGCAUUUGGUGCAUAGGUUUGAGUUCUCCAUAGUGAUACGUGGAAGUGAAGUUUGAGGAGCUUAUUACUUUUGGGUGCUUGGUACCCUAAUAACUGUUCUUCUUGGGUGCACGUUUUUCCGUUUACCCUAAUACCCCGAGAUCUUUGUCGUUUGCGCGUUUUUCCUUGAAACUUUUGUUCCAGCGAAGUACCGGUCGCCUGAGCGGUACUACCGCUUGUACACACGCUGAGUGCAUAACAGUUGGAUUUUGAGGGUCCUAUUUAAGGGGGUCUUCUUCCCCAUUGGUCUCUAACUCUCGAGCUCAUGUUUGCCCCCCAUUGUUGACCUUCUUAGAGAUUGCUAACUCUCAAUACCUCCAAUGAUUCUUGAUAGUUCUUGAAAGAAAAGAGAGAGGAGAUCUAGAUCCACAUCUCCACCAAUCACUUUCUGCUCUAUGCGAGGGGAACCCCUUGGAUCUUGAUCUUGGAGUUCUUUGUGAGCUCCUUGUUCUUCCUCUCAUAUUCCUCCAUAGCUUUUGUUAUUGUGGAGGGAUUUGAGUGUGAGGGACUUGACCACUUCGUUUGUUCUUGCCAUUGCAUUAGUUGCAUCGGUUUGAGUUCUCCACGGUGAUACGUGGAAGUGAAAAAUUUUAGAAGCUUGUUACCCUUGGGUGCUUGGUACCCUAGAGAUUGUUCUUUGUGGAUGCUUUGGUGUCCUAGAAGCUUGGUGGUGCCUUGGAGCUCAAUCAUUGUGGUGUAAAAGCUCUGGGCAAGUGUCGGGGUCUUUAAUUAUGUUGCAGAGAUUGCCCCGAGCAUUUGAGGUCAUCUCCAAGCCACAGUCCAUUGUGGCGAAGCUUCGUGGUGUUGUUGAUAGCCUCCAAUUAAGUUGUGGAGAUUGCCCCAACCUUAUUUAUAUGGGUUCGGUGACCACCCACAAGGGUCCCUUGGUGGAAUCACGGCAUCUUGCAUUGUGCGAGGGCGUGAGGAGAUUAUGGUGGCCUUAGUGGCAUCUUGGGGAGCAUUGUGCCUCCACACCGCUCCAAACGAAGAUUAACAUCCGCAAGGGUGUGAACUUCAGGAUACAUCGUCGUCUCUGCGUGCCUCGGUUAUAUCUUACCCGAGUUCUUUACUUAUGCACUUUACUUUGUGAUAGCCAUAUUGUUCCUUAUUAUAUAUCUUGGUAUCACUUAGUUGUUUAUCUUGCUUAGCAUAAGUUGUUGGUGCUAAUAGGUGAGCCUAGUUGUUUUAGGUUUUGUGCUUGACAAACUAAAUGUUAGUUUUAUUCCGCAUUUGUUCAAGCCUAAACCAUAAUUAUUUUAAAUCACCCAUUCACCCCCCUCUAGUCGACAUCCACGUCCUUUCAACGACUGAUAUACGAAAGGUCACUUGAUAGCUGAAUGGUUUUGGUGUAGUGGAGAUUGAAUAUGAAGGCUGCACUCUUCGGCUGCUGCCUGUUCUUUUCAUCUCCCUCUUUUGCUUCGCCUCCCGUCGUUGCAUGUUCGUCUCCUUCUCUUGUGGCCAUAAAGGAGAAGUCACUCCUCUCGAGAGAAACACACAAGAGCAUCAUCUUCCUCACGCCAUCUAGUUCCAAUAUCUGAGCUGCUGGUUCUUUGCCAUCCCGGCUUGCGGCGUGCACCACAGGCCGGGACAGCAUGCCUCCGAAACCCCGCCUCUUUGAGUCUUAUACGGGAGAAGGGUGAUAAGAUUUUUGGGGAGCACUGUGCACGACUACUGGCUUCUUCAUCAUAGACACCACGGACGUCGACGACCUCUUCCGGAACGACAACUUCUUUCUCGACGUCAACAACCUCUUCGACAACAUGGAUGAUGUCAAUGCCAGUCCCACUCCUGCUGCUGUUGCAACUCAGUACGUGUUCGUGUUCUUCUUGUUUGAAUUCCUAUCUCAACUUAUUGCUCUAGUUUAUAUUGGAUAUGUUGCAUUCCUACUCACCACUUCAGAUGCUCCUUGCAUACUUUUUAUUUUAUUGCGUGACUUGUCUUAUAACUGCUAUAGUAGUCAUGAUUUAUCUAUUAUUUCUGCUAGUAAAAUCACAUGGUAAAACACUUAUAUUUCUAGCAUUUGCUAUGUUUGAUUUGAACUAUUUGCUAUACUUGGAUGGACGUGAUGCAACCAAAAGACGACCACACAUUGGAUGCACGCUUUGCGCAUCAAGAAAUCCAUGCAAAUGUCGCUCCAAUGCGACCUCAAACGAACAAAGUCCGGAUAAAACAGACGUCCGUUUAAAAUAUAUUUUUUAAACAUAGUACAUAUGCAAACCCUCGUAUACAGACACAUACACUCACCUAUAUGAAUAUACACACGCACUCCUUGUCUUUAUGAGCAACUUAAAAAAAACUGAGCUACGCAUGAGCUUAAAAUUUAUAAAAUCAUCAUAGACACCUCGUUGUCGACGGGAACGCCUUCUUUCACUAAAUACGCAUCAUCAAAAAUAUUAAAAUAAAAGCGAACACGAGAAUUCAAGACCUGAUCGACUGAGAUACCGUACUCUAACCAUCCAACCAUGAUUCACGUCCAUUUGGAAUAGUUCGAGUCGCUGUACCGCGCGAAAGGAAAGAAAGGUUUGACAACGAGAACAGCUACUGACUGCGCAUGACACGCAGAAAUUUACCUUCUCUAUUGAGCACCAAAAUCGAUGGUCCGUCGGUCCAAAGCACCAGACCACCCUACAGUUCUACACACCGACAGCGAUAGCGCGCGGUAGAGUGUGGACUGUGGACGGGCCCGACGUCAACGGCACGGCGACCCUCCGGCGUCACCCUCCAGGCGUACGCGGCCGCAGCUGGCACCAUUUGCAUGAUCACCACCGCACCGCACCGCACCGUCUGCAGGGCUGGCAUAGCGUGGCCGCAUUGACCUCGUGCCCUCCCACGCCGGCGCGAGGAGGUAAAAUAGUAAGCGGCAGCGUACGGGGGUAGGCGCCGAGCCGCCGACCGACACAGGGGCAGUAGGGUACUAGGGUGCGCGUCGGCGCGAGCGGGACCAAGACGGAAGGAAGCCACGCGAAGCUCGCUGCUUUCUUUCUUGCUUGCCUCCUCCGUCCUCCCGCCCCCAAAAUAAAAAUCUGAAAACAGCAAGGCACCAAACGCCCGGGAGCACCCAACACACCACCACACACCAUUUCUUCCCCCUCCCCGCGGACCUCAGCCGGCUUACCCUCCCGCCUCCUCCUCCUCCGAAAGCCCAGGUCAAACUCCCCCAGCCAGCGAGGGAGACGGGGGAGAGAGGAGAGAGAGGCUCUCGGAUCCGAGCUGCUCCCUCCCGUGCCCGCCCAGAUCUCCUCCGCAGCCCAGCACCCGACGCCCCGGAUCUGCGCCCGUCGCAAAGGUAUUCCCUUUUUCAUCCAAUCUCGCUCCCCGGAUCUGCGCCUCCUCCCCGGAGCCGGAGGUGGCUUCCGUUCCUAGCUCCGCGGCUGCAGAGUAGGAGUAGCUAGCUAACUUAGCUGAUCUAGUUUAGAUGAUGAUGAUGAUAAGCAUCGAGAGCGGAGUUUAUGGUAGGCCCACCAGAGCAAAUCUCGCCUCCCGGCUCCGGGGAUCUCGAGCUCCGGUAGAUAUCAUUAUGUCUUUCCAAUUUAAACCCCGCAAAAUGUUUUAAGGAUCUGGGUCUGGCUUUGAUGAAAUCUCCGAGGCUCAUGCCGUGCUACUUUUGGUCA